RNAcentral lists this long non-coding RNA (93878 nucleotides) under Coffea arabica (coffee). RNAcentral's name for it is "long non-coding RNA (CARA_LNC003331)". Lineage: Eukaryota; Viridiplantae; Streptophyta; Magnoliopsida; Gentianales; Rubiaceae. The record is from RNAcentral.
UUCCCUUAGUUUCACAACUUGCAGUUUACUGCUUUUUAGUUUAGUUGGGUAUGCUUUUAUGGCAAAUACAAUUUGAAUGUUUUCAUGUUUGAGAGGGUGGAAGAAUUGACUCUGAUGUCUUUUUAGUAUCCAGCAAAAUCAUCAAUCUAUUGUAGCAUUGGAAAUAGAUAAGAUGUCCAAACAAUGCAUGAUCCUGAAGCAAUGCAUCCACUUUCCUCAAGGUGUUUCCCACUGCCUGCGAAACACAAGAUCUAGUUCAGGAGCACUGCUGCUUCCUUUUCUUCUUCCACCAGUUUUACAGAUGUCCUUAGUUUGCUUUUUGAGCACAAACAUCCUGCAUGACAUGACUGUUAAUAUUCUUGAUCAUCUAUUCUAUUGUUUGUAGUUUUGUCCCUUGAGUGCUCACUGAGAGGAUACAUAAUUUUUUUUUUUUUACGACACGGGGGUAUCCGGGUAUUCGAUCUGACUAAUUCCCCUGUGGUUCGGGAAAGGGCACCAUAAUCCACUCCGAGCACGGUAAUUAUAGGACUCGAACAUUGAUCAAUGUUUUAAAGAAGGACUACAUGACCGGCCGAGCUACCGUGGGGUGAAAGGAUACAUAAUUAAGUAGACAAAUUUGUAAACGGGCUUUCCGCAAUGUGUUAUUAGACUUGAUAGCCAUUCAUGAUUGUAGAAUUGCAAUUGCAUAAUUAAGUGAGUUACACUUGUACCACUUAAGCCUCCUUUUCUUGGAAUUUCCCAAUUUUAAAGUACAGUUUGCUAAACAAUAGACUUGGAGGAAGAAAAAACCAUUUUCCCUUAAAAUUGAUGGACUAGAUGACAAAUUUGAUUUUAGAUCAGAAAAAAGUGAAAAGCAUAUAGAAAUGCUGUUUAGAAAAUGAUAUCCAUGAGGGAAGAGGUCGCUUGUCAACUAACAGCACAUUCAUUUCCAAAGCAGAUUCUGUCUUUUCCUACAUGAGAACACGAGUUCUUUUAGGAAAUGGAUCCAAUAACCAAUCAUGCAGAAUCUAGAAGAAAGUGGCCUUAUUGUUAAUUUCUUUGAUUACCGGCCAUUUUCUUUGCGCUAUCAUCAGGGUUCAGGUCCAGUAGGUGACCUGUCCCACCUAACCCAUCAUUACCACCAAUUGCAAUAAAAUCUGUACUCUUUCUAUCAAUUAAUGUCAUCCAAGUAGAGCCCGGGGAUAAGCAGGUGCCAAACAAACAAUUUUUGGAUUGAGUAUUAUUUGGAAUAUUAUUUGAAAUAAUUAUUGUAGUAUUAUUUGUGAUGUGAUAUAUGUGAGAUAAAAAGGUGAUUGAAAAUAUAAAAAAGUGAGUUGAAAAAUAUGUUUAUAAUGCAAGCGAAAUAUUAUUUUGGAUAAUUUCACUGUCCAAACACUGUUCAAAUUUCAUUUGAUUUCGUACAAAGUUUUGAAAAUAUUUUCUUAGAACUUGUCUUAAAAUAUUUUCUUAAAUGAAGUAAUCGUGACCAAGAUUUUAUCUCACUGAGUUUGAACGAGUUUUUAUGUGCAACAACAGUCAGUUUUAUAUUUUUGAGUCGAGUUAGAAAAAUCAACGAAUACUUACGUUUGGAUUGUAAUUUUUCAAAAAAAAAAAAUUUAUUACGUUUUUCGUGAACACAUUUUUCAAUCACUUUUUUAUCUCACAAAUAUCAAAUAACUACAGUAAUUUUUUUACAAAAAGUUCCAAAAAAAUGCAACCCAAACAAAACAUCAAAUCUUGUGCAAGUUUAUUGUCCUCACUCAAUUGACCAGCUCUAAAGUCUUAUAGUAAAACAUAUUGGGGCAUGAACGCUUUGUGAAUCGACCAUAUAAUUGGUAAACGAUUAAUAGGAGGGGCAAAUUCUUAAGUCUCUAAAACUUAAGAUUUGUGUAAUGUCAAAGUUAAUGAGAGGUGAGAAACGAAACAUAAAAAGAUAAAAUCGAUAUUUCUUAAUGAUGAAUUGCUUAUGUAAAGAGUUGAGAGUUAUCUUUGGACAAUGUCGAAUUCGUACUAGAAUAUGAUGUAUAGAAGCACUAUACAUUCUAUUAGCGUAAAAGCUUGUUCAAACUUUCAUUUUCUAAAGGCGCAGUCAAUGCGUUUGAAUAGCAAUAUAUUUUUGUUAAAUAUUAUUUUAUUGACAUCACGAUUUCAAUUUUUAAUCAUAAUAAUAAUCUAUUCAUCUUUUAUAUAUAUAUAUAUAUUAUAAAAAGUAUUACGGUAAUAACUUCUUUAUCCAAAUAUAUUGGAUCAAUUAUUUUUGAAAAAUUUUACUAUAACAAUAUAUAUGAAAAAUUUUUACUAUAAAUAUUUUUUAAAAUAUUUAAUAUAUUGUAUAGAUAAAUUAUUUUUAUUCAUGUAUUAUUGGAAUAUUAUAUUUAAAAAAUUUAUUUUGAAAAACAUGACUAAUGCAAACAGACCAUAAAGGAAACUCUCACAAGCAUCCAGAUUCCAUACACAUUCAAUUGUGUUUUUUCAUAGUAGCCUACCUAAGUAUAGUUACUGACUACUCCUUGUGGCCACAUGAUAUCACUUGUCCACACUCGGCUUACUUUAAUUAUGCCAUCUCUCUUUCACACACACACACAAAAAAGAGAACUUUCCUGAUUUCUGAACGUCCUUGCUUGCUUAUCACUUCAUCAGUUCAGUUUUCUGACUAGGUUGCAACCCUGUUUGCACCUUCUUCUACUAGCCAAAAUCCAAGAUCGAAACGGGACAAAUAAAACUCUGCUAAAAAUGCGAGGUGGUGGAUCUGGAGCUGGAAGCUUACUUAAAGUUUUGGCCAACAACUUUGAUGUUCUUGCUUGGUACCAUCAAUUAAACCGUUUUUCCCGUCAAUUUUCACUUAUUAUUACAGCUUUUGGACUCACAUUUAUGGUUUUUUAGUACAUAAGAAUUUGUGGGUUUUACUUUCCUUUUCUUGGAUAGUUAAUUAAUUUCCUGAAGACGGUCUUUUUAUUUCUUUUUGUUUUUUUUUUCCUGUUGUUUUCUUAAAUACUAGGCUGGAGCCUAGAUGGGCUAAUAUUAUUUAUCCAAAGGGUUUCUCUAAUUUUGUUAUGUUUGUUUGAUAUUGCAGGCCUGUGGUUAGUUUGGUGUAUCCUCUGUAAGUGGGUCAUUUGGAAAUCUGAAUGUGUGAUUCAAAUUCAUAGUAUUUCUUCUUUAUUGUGUUUCCUUAAAUUUGAAAGAUUGAAAUUUUUUUUUAAAAUUUUUGAGACUAUCUGUGUAUGUUAAGGAUUUUUGAAAUGGUUGCAUUUAUUGUGAUUAUUUUGGCAGUUAUGCUUCCAUCAGGGCAAUUGAGACCAAGUCUCCUGUAGAUGAUCAGCAGUGGCUGACUUAUUGGAUUCUCUACUCCAUGAUCACCCUGUUUGAGCUUACUUUUGCAAAAAUCAUUGAAUGGUAAUUCUCCUUUUGGGGCAGACAUUUGACUAUCAGUAGAAAUCUUUUCCCGUUCUUUGGGAUUGAACUUCCCUUCAUAGCCUUUUAUCAAAGCUUAUUUUGCGGAUUUAUAGCAAAGCUAAAGUGGACCAUUUAGCUGUAUACCUGUUCAAGUUUUGAACUUUAUGCUGAUCUGUACUUAUGGAUUUAAGUUUACAUUGUUGAUCUGCAGAAUUCUGUUACCCAAAUGAGGUGUGUCGGUUCAUUAAAUUGUCUGAGGCUAAGGAGAUUGUGAAAGGAUAAUUCAAGAGAUGGGUGUAAUUGAUUUUGUCACCUGUGGACUAAAAUUUCACUGGUGACGGUAGAAGUUGGAUAGCUUCUUUUUAAGAUCUUAGUACUAGCACUGAACUGCCUGCAGGGUUCACAAUGGAGAUUUUAGGGGACAGUUUUAAGUUUUAAUAAUUCGCGAUUGGGGAGGAAGGGGGAGGUUUGGGUUGAGUUGAAUGACAAUUCCGGUAAGUAAUGCUUUGGGAGAAUUAUACUGACUGUUACUACCAUUUCUUCCACAUAAUUGGGCUUGCUAUUUAUAGCCUGCAAACCAUCUGAGUAUCCCGUCGGGGGUGAAUUGAUUAUAUUGCUCUCCACACCACUGGACAAAAAACAUAUCUUCAUUAUAUCUCAUGUUUUAAGCCUUGAUCUUUGUUUUCAACAGGUUGUAGGUUUCAGCAUUGUCUAUCUGGAAAAUUUUUUGUUCAUUAUUGCUUUCAUGUUUUCUUUUAUGGAUUGAGAUCAAUCUAGAGAUUUAAAAGUGUGAUUUUUCUGAAGGUAUUAUGUUGUGGUUUUGAUACAAGUUGGUGAAUUGCAAAUUUGUAUUUGUCCUGCACCAGCGUACAUGUGAGGUCAGAGGAUGUUGAGUACCUUUUUAAUUUUUUACCCAAUCUUCUGGCGCUUCACCUACUCUAUUGCUCUGGCUUGCAGUAAAGAAAGCGGCUUGCCAAAAAUUUGAUUUUCUGUCAUUUACUCAAUAAGUAGUUUGAACAAGGGAGGAACCAAUUGCUUUAGGGGGAAGUGAUGGCUUGCAGAAAAUAAAAAAGAUAAUGGAACUUAGAUUCCUUAAGGAUUUUAUGGAUUGCAUUGAUUGAAAUGACUUCACCAAAAUGACUCAUUGUGCUUUGUAUCUAACCAUUAUCGUUGGGCUGUUGCUUCAAAAACUUGUGGUUUAGGAGGAGAAAGCAGACAAAGUGAAGGUCUAGUUUGUCCCUCAAAAGUCUACAUCUGUGUCUUAAAAUUCAGCAUUUUAUAUGAGUUUUGGUGGUGAGGAUCAAAGACAAGUUCAAGUCAUGUCCUCUUUCACUUUCCCCAUGGUUGUGGGGCUUCAUGUGUUUCUAUCAGCUGUUUACAAACUUUUACCUUCUUUUUAAUUGGUACUUUUUUAAAAAUACCAAGGAAACUUAUAUGUCUUUAUUUGCUAUGUACUCAAAUAUUAUGACUCAGUGUGGAUCUUAUUGAUUGUAUAACCACCAUUUCGUUUUUAGGUAAACAGCUACAGGUGCAGUAGAAUUUGCUUUUUGUUUAGCUUGGAACUGCUUAAAUCUCAGGGCAAUUCAAAUUCAACUUAAAAGGCUUGGUUUCAACUUAAAAGGCUUGGAAUUUGCGUGUUAGAAUCUGCAUUUCUAUCAUGGCAUCGUGUAUAAAUUAGUCAUAUUUUCUGAAUUUUCUAAAGCAGCAUUAUGUUAAGAGCUUGCUCAAAGUUUACCUUCUCAUAAUGCCAGGAUCCCUAUCUGGUCUUAUGCAAAACUGAUCUUGACCUGCUGGUUGGUCAUGCCAUACUUCAACGGAGCUGCCUAUGUCUACGAGCACUUUGUUAGGCCUACCUUUGUUAACCGACAGCCCGUCAACAUUUGGUACGUUCCACGGAAGAAGGAUGUCUUCAGUAAGCCAGACGACAUUCUCACUGCAGCUGAGAAAUACAUUCAAGAACACGGAACAGAAGAAUUUGAGAAGAUGAUUCACAGGGUAUGUUGACUAAUCUUUCUUCCAUAUGUUUCAUUGUACCCUUUUUGAGAGCAAGUGAGCAAUGCAUUCCUGGCGAUGCAGUCCUAACGUAAAAUUAUCUGUUAUGGCAUUCUUCAUGGUUUAUUUUGGCAGUUCUUGCAGUUUGAACUAAUUUUCGUUCGAGUAUCAGAAUCAUGUUGCUAUUUUGUUCAUGCAGACUGAUAAGAAUACGACGUACAGCAGCAAUGACUACAAUAACUACAGUUUUUACGACGAUGACUACAGAUACUGAUCCGUACUGGACUUAUGGCGUACGGAUCUUAAAGGGUGUUAUUGUUGCCAUCUACCCUAGUAUGUUUAUGCUGUUGUAAAGAGUUUUGUUGCUGAUGCUUCCAUGUUUUGUCAAGUGGUACCAUGAGUCUACGGUGUUUGUAUUAUUAACUGUGGCUAGUGUUGUACCAUCCUUCUUGGAACUAAUAAUAGUAGAGAACCUUCACCUGCAUAUUUGGAUUCUUGGUUAUCUCUAUGCAUUAGAUGUUGGUGUCAUUUUGAUGUAGCAUAAAUCAUGUAAUCACCCUCUUCUUGAAUCUCAUCCUGAAAGCAUGAGUCGUUAAUAUGAAGGAGCUGCACACAUAUUAAUAAAGUCAAAGAAGAUGUGAGGAAUCUGAAUCUGAUAAAUGUGUUGCAGCACAAAUUUUGUGUGUAGAAAAUCUUGCCAGUGAAUUAAACUCAUUAAGCUGUCGAGUUUGUGCAUGGUGAUCAUUAAAGUGAUGGAUCUAAGCUUGAUUCUUCUUUUAUUAAAAAUUGUUAUCGAAUCACUCAUGCUUGACUCUUUUAUGGAAAUUUCACCAAUUAUCAACGUAGAAACACAUUUUUUGACAAUCCAACACCUGGAAUCCUGGAUUGUACACUUUUUUUUUUUUGGAUUGAACUCUUUUUUUGGAAUCCUGGAUAUGAUGAAUUAGUGUAGAAAAGUAAAAAUUCUAAAACAUGCCAUGCCUAAAAAUACGCCAUGGGGUGGGCCUCAUAAGUUUCAUUUCAUGCAAUUUGAGAGUAAAUUUGUAAUUUUUAAAGGAUUAAUCUUUUAUACACAGACAGUGUAUACACCAUCACCAUUGAAUGCAUGACAACUCAUCUGAAUUUAAAAUUAAAAUUAAAAAUUUAUUUAUGUGUUAUGCAUCCAAUCGUAAUAGUGUAUGCACUGUCAGUGCAUGUAAGAUUUAUUCAUUUUUAAAUUGCAUCAAACUGUAUCAGAUUAUCUUUAAAUGGAUUAAUUUUUUCUACACUGACAGUGUAUAUACUAUCAACGUUGGAUGAAUGACAACUGUGUAAAUUUUGAAUUUGAAAUUUAACUGUUGCACACGUGUUAUGAAUUUAACGGUGAUAGUGUAUGUAUUGUUAGUGUAUAUAAAAUUUGCUCUUUUAAAAUUAUAUCAAUCUGUAUCUGAAUUAUACCAAACGGUAACAAACAAACUUUAUUUGACUUGCACUUGAAUCUAACUUGUUUACAUCUAAAAAUCUAAUUUAUUUACACCAAACUCUUUUAACUUUUAAACCGAAAUUCUAAUAGUUCAUAGCAGAGAAAAACUUGUACGAAAUUGUGUUAACACAAUCCAUGCGCCACUGGUUAUAAUAAUGUUUAGUGGUUGCUGAUGCUUAGGUAGUUAAGGCUGUUCAACUGAAAAAGAAAUUGUAACAUAAAUACGUACAUGGGUCGCAAUUUGCAUGAGGAAACUGUUGAAACUUUGCGAUAGCUUAGAGAAAAGAACAAGCAAAAGCAAGGAAAAUAGGGGCAUUCCGAGAAUUGAACUCGGGACCUCUCGCACCCUAAGCGAGAAUCAUACCACUAGACCAAAUGCCCAUUGGUGCUUUGCCAGCUAAUUUACCGAUUCACAACUUAGUGCUGUCUUCUCGAUUAAUUUCUAUUUUAUUUUUGAAUAAAUUUUAUAUACAGCAAAAGUUAAAUUUCAAUUCAAAGUUUGUGUGAUUAUCGUUUUCAAAAUUUGCAUAAUUAUCGUUCAUCCAACGCUACUACUGAUGGUGUAUACAUUUAAAAAGAAUUGCUUGCUUUUUUUUUGAGAAGGCAGAGGUGGAAAAUUUCUGGAGUUAAGGAUCUCUCUUCAUUUAAACUGCCCCAUGUCUGUUAUUCGAGGCUCCUGCACUAUGAUAGAGUCCACAAUAGAGUCUUCCUCCAUUUCAGUACUACUAACAUCAGAUUUCUUAGUAGUUGGCACAAUUUUCUUGUUCACUGCAUUUUCCUCUGGAAUCCAGACUGUUUUAGUGUGUAAAUUUUUUUGGACAAAACUUCUCAAUAUAACCAAAAUUUACUACAGCCCUUACACCAUUGGGGCAGCCAUUUAUAGUCCACCUUUUAAGCACCAAUUUCUCCAGCGGAACUACAAAACUUACUUCAGAAAUGUAGGAGUUUACCUGAACCAAGCCCAGCGAACUAUUUCGAGGACUCGAUCACUUUGCACGGUUUUGACCUCACAACUAUAACUUGUCCCAAAUAAAUCAUUGAACCAAAAAAAAAUGCAUAGUUUAAUUUUUUUUUUCACUUAGGAGGUGUCCCAGCCUUUUUUUGCCUAGACUAAUCUUUCUAAGGCCAGCAGAAUCCUGCCAAGGAUGCCAGCAAUUUUACCACAGCGGGGGUCAAACAUGGGACCUUACCGUAAAGACGGACUUAUCAAUCCCAAUCGAGCUACCUGUGGGAGGCUCAAAUGCUUAGUUUAAUAACUUCCAUCAAUUCUGAGCGUUAAAUGUAACGGAACUAGGGAUAAAACUAUCAACUAAUAACAUGGAGUUUAAUUUUAAUGUUUCUUCCUCUUCUUUCAUCUUUCAUCUUUUCUAGUCCUAAUUUGUUGAAAUAAUCAUUCAACGAAACCUUUUAGAUUGUUUUCUAGUCUUAAUUCCGUGACACCUAAUGGUUAAAAUUGACGGAAGUUCUUAAGAACCUAAGUUUCUUAUUGGUUCAAGGAUCUGUUUGUGAUAAUUUAUAGUUGACGAGUCAAAAUGGUAUAAAGAUAAUAAUUUAUAUGCUAUCUGAAAAGCUUCAUUUAUUUACAUAGAGCUCACCAGAUGGAUGGCAUAGUACAAUCUGAGCCAUUGAUUCUUUGAAUAUUGGAUCUAUUCAAGUGUGAGUCUUUAUUUAUAUAUAUAUAGAGCUUACCCAAAAAAAAAUGAAAAAGAAUAACAAUUUUGUAGGCACCCAAAAAUCAUCAUAUAAGCACGCGUCUGGUCACCGGUGGGCUGCAGAAACUGGCGGGAAUCCACGUGAUUGGAGGCAACACCUGAGAUGCUGAUCCCCCCUAAUCCAAUCACUAAGCUAAAUUACAUAAAUAGCCCUACCUAUUCCAACAGAUUCAGAUUCUGUAGCUGACGUGUCCCCACGCAAAAAAUCCCCUGGACCCAAAACCGAAAAACAAAUUGACAAAAAUAGGAAAAAAAAACAGUUGAAUUCCGCGAGGGAAAAAAAAUACAUACAACACAGCUAUAUAUAGACAUCGGAAAUGAGACAGAGAGAAAGACUUGCUCAGUUGGAAAUUUUGCUCUGUGCAGGAAGAAUUUGAUUCCAUCACAAGCUUCAUCAUCGUCGUUCUCGCCGGAGGGGGAAAAAAUACCUCCGCUGCAUAGAUUUCGAUAUAUUCAAUUUCGGCAAUUUCAGAGCUCGUAAUCACCUCGGAUUCGUCACGUAUUCGGAGCAGCAAGUUACCCUUUUUUUUUCAGCUUCUUCUAGGUAAAUGCAUUAAUGACUAUCAAUGCCGUUAUUGUACUGAUUUCUUCAUUUACGCAUUUAGUUUUUUUUUAAGAAGAGAGAAACUGGAUUUAGAAGAUUAAUUGUUUGGAUAAUGCUGUUUAGUGAUCUUUAAUAAUGUGUGUUUAUCUGAAUAAUUUUUGAACAAUCCCUAGCUGCUGUUGCUGUUUGAAGUUAGGAAAAGUGAUUUUAGCGCUGGUUUUUUCCAAUUUCUUAUGGCACAGUAGAAGAUUGAAGGAAACUGUAGUGAUUAAUGUAUGUUCUCCGUAAUGUUUUGAUGUCGAUGUUUUCCUCUUUUUUGUUUGUUUCAGCUGUUAUUUGUGCAUAUAUAUUGCAUAAAGUAUCACUAUUUUGAUUUCGCGGAUUUAUUUUUCUGAUUUAGUCCUGGAAACGUAUAUAGUGUUUUCUCUGUACCUAUGAUGUAUCAUUUUAGUGUUUUUUUUAAUGGUUUUUUUUCGGUCAAAAUGGUAUACUUUUUAUUCUAGUAAAUAGAAGUGCAAUACUUUUGACGGAUCUUAGAGAUUGAACUGUCUUUGUCAUAGUUAGAGUGGUGUUCAUCCAAGGUUCUGUUUCUAAGGAUAGCUUAUGAUUCCUUAGCAGGAUACCAAUAAUCUAGAUCCACUAGUAUUGGAUGAAAACUACGAGUUUGUAGUGGUUCUUCAUAUGGUUUUCAGUUUUGUAAUUUCUAAAUUUUAGGAAUUUAAAUGAUGCCAGGGAGUUUCAGUAAUAGAGUUUUGAGGUACCUGAGCAUGUUCAUUUGUGAUCUAUGAAUGAAACUAGUAGGGAACAUCAAUGAUGUAAAUACACUGGAUUUUGGUUGUUUUUGUUUACUUUUGGACUGUAGAUUUGAUUACUUUAUUCCGACUUAUCACCAUUGGUAACCUGCUCCACCUAUCAUUUAGAUUUUCUGUGGAAAUAAUACUAGAUGAGAACCGAACACGUAUCCAAGGAUAAUAGCAUUUCAAGAUUUCUUUGGAGGAAAAUUUGGCUCUUUUUUCUCAUGUUCUACAGGCAUGGCAUUGUAUAGAUGGUUUUAUCUGCUCGAAGCACCAAGCUUGAUGUAGCAGCUUAAAUGACUAACUUACAGCGAAACAGUGUUGCUGAGAGGAACAUUGAUCAGGUAAUAAGUUUUCGCCAUGUCUUGGGUAUAUAUGUUUUGAAGUUUUUCUGUUGCACUAAAUGAGAAAGAAACUUUCAGCUCUCCAUUUAAUAGUACAAUGACCGGAUUGAAUGACUUACAUACAAGCUUUUUCUCUACAAGUAUGGUUUUCUCCCUUCGUGAAGUUUACAGAUCUGACUCUUGUCGCUGCUACUAGAUUAUAGAGGAGUUAGAAUUUGACAAUUACAUCAUAAAAUUCGUUUACAAUUCUUAUCUUCAACAUGUCGUUCCAUAAUAGGAAAAGAUAUAAUUCCCUAAUUUCACAUCAAGAUAUUGUUGCUUAUAAGAGUUUAUAUGCUUGAUGAAUUUUAAAUGAGAGUUUAUAUGCUUGAUGAAAGUCAAAAUGAAUCUAUGAAACACAGACUUUAUUUACAGCUGAACUAAUCUGCAGUCUGGUUUUUCCUUUGGUUUUGAGGUGAUAGUCAUUAAGUGGAGACUGUGGCAGACUGGUCAGAUUAGUCCCUGUUCUAACUUAGUGUUCAGCUGGUGAAAGAGAAUCAUUCAGAAAACUAAAUAAAACAUAGGAAGACCUUCCUGGCCAAAUUCAGCUCCUUAUUUCAUUUUGUGCAUCAUAUAUUUCUUAAUGUUUGUCUUCAAAAACUUGAUGACAAUCUAGUACUGACUACUUUUAAAUCUAUUUUUGUUUUUAUUUUUUUUAAAGGAAAUAUUCCAAAUUCUAACAUUGAGUGAUUGCUUUAACCCAAAUUCUUUAGUUUGGUGGUGGUUCAUUCAUAUUCAUUAUCUGUUGUGUACCUGGUUCUUUGAUGGGGAUUUUCGAAGUUGAUUUUUGCUUGUUAACUGCAGGCUAUUACAGCAUUGAAAAGAGGCUCGUAUCUACUAAAGUAUGGCCGCAGAGGGAAGCCAAAGUUUUGCCCUUUUCAGCUCUCUAAUGUAAGCUCCAUUGCACUCAUAUCCAGGAGUAAUUUGACUUCAAUUGAUUGCUAGUGUAUGGAUGCUAUUCUAAUUUUAGGUUUCCUAAAUUUCAUUUGAAAGUGUUUUUAAAACAGUGAUUUAAUUAUUGCAAACUUGGUUUAUCUGGCAUUCAAUUUUCAGUCCAUACAUAAUUCUGAAAACUAAUAUUAGAAGGUUUCUUGAUGGCUCCUUUCUGUAUGUCACUGAAAUUUGAUUCUAGGACAUAGGUUGCUUGUUAAUCUCUUGUAGGGAUCCCUGGUCGAGGGAAAGGGAUCCAGGUGGGGACAGCUUGGUUACUCCCAAGCCAUCUACUGCUCGAUUAGUUUCUGGGUUGGGUCCCCCCCCCCCCUCCUCUUCCUAUUCUUGAUGAACCACAAAAUAAAAAAUAAUAAGAGGUUGCAAAUAAUUUUCGGACACAGUUAGGAUGAUUUUAGGGGCUUCUACAACCAGGAUGAGCCCUUCUUCUAUGAUUUUGUCGGAUUUUACAACCAAAUAGGGUCCUAUAUCUAAUUUUUUGGUUUUUAAUUUCUUCCUCAUGUUCCAUUUUUCUUCACACCUGUAGCCUCCUAUAAAAUGUGCAUAAUGAGGCUUUCAGACACUUCUUUAACAAACUUGGCUCACAUACAUGCAUUUCAGGAUGAGACAACACUAAUAUGGUUUGUUGGUAAGGAGGAGAAACAGCUUCGACUGAAUCAUGUUUCACGAAUUAUACCUGGACAGCGUACUGUAAGUUUGUUCUAUGUGCAUCUCUUGCUUGUAUUUACCAUUAAUUUUGAAAGCUUUGAGUGCUGUGCUGUGGUUUACCACCAGAGAGAGAAUGAAAAUAUGAAUUGCAACAGAAGAAGUCAUAUCUACUUUGGUUUCUUAGAGUUUGAAGAUCUUGCUUCGAAUUAAAGUUCCUUUUACUUUGGAUUAGCUAAAACACAAUAAAGAGUGGAGCCAUAUGAAACAUAACAUGCAGGGUUUGACACUUUCAAGAUAGUCUCAAUCUUCCCAAUUAUGGUUGGACUCAUAUGUAGAAUUUGCCAAUGAUAUUUGACAUUUAAAGAGCAUGAUGUAAUACCAUAUUUGGAGACCUAUGUGCAGAGGCCUAUUUAGCAUAUUGUUGACAGCGGUUAAAUUAAAAUCCUAGGCAGAUAUAGCUGUUUGUGAAUUUUUAGAUUACCAAAAGUAUGCUUACGCUCUAUGAUAUUCAGCCAUCUGUUUGAAAGAAAACUACAAAAGAUGCUGCGUAAUGUGCUCUGUUCAAUAAGCCUACAAAAUAAGCUUUAGGCAUAGGGAAGUGAACUCAACCAAUCAUUCGCAUGCUUGAUUUUCUGAUAACAAGUCUGCAGUUUAUGCAUCAUGUUGCACAUAAUGAUUUCUACUCUGAUGCAUUUAGUACCAUUGAGUGUUGAACCGGUCAUGCAACUUUGCAUGAGUAUUUGUCAUGAAUCUAUCUUGAGCUUGUCCAACAACUGACUUGGUCGCUUACAACUAUCAAUAGAGCAUAAUCAUUGCAGCAUAUUCUGACCACCUCUCUGGAUUUGGUUCUUGUAUCCUGCUUCGGCAUCCUGUUAAUCUUUACUAGCAUCUUAUCCUCCAGUUCCACUAAUCAGCCUUGAUACAACCAUGUCACUUAGUGAUUCCCCUGCUGCUUAGUUUUUCCCUUAGUCCUUAUGCUGAUUGUCUUAUGAAGGCAAUUUCAGUUCAUUCUACAUGAUCAUGGAUGUUAUUUCUGUUUUAGUACAACAAGUCUGCAUGAGUGCAUCAGUUGUAUUAAUGCUGUUUCUGCUGCAUCUCUCAUGUACUUUGUUGACUUUCAUAGGAUGCUUGUCCUUUUUUUUUUUUAACUUGGAUUAAGAUCAUAUCUAGCAGGUUUAGGUGAGACUAAAAAAAAAAAAAACCAAUAGAUAGUGUUUGCAUUUAUGUAACAAUGAGAGCUCGGUGCCAUCUAUUAUCCCUGAAACAUUAUCUAUCAUUAACUUGAUUUGACAGUUAAAUUCAGAUUAUAUCACUCAACUUCUGCCACAUCCACGGUUCAAUUGACUCAUCUUAUGGUUGUUUUUGCAGGAUGUAUUCCAACGUUUUCCUCGACCUGAAAAGGAAUAUCAAUCAUUUUCUCUUAUAUAUGGAAAACGAUCCUUGGAUCUGGUAGGCAAAUUAAUUUGUUUUUCUUAGAAGGACUCUCAUGUGAAUACCUUAAUUUUGACCUUCUAAUCAAGGAUUAAUUGUACAUAUCUGCACUGGCACAUCCUUUGAGUAAUUCGGAUGGCUUUCAAACCUUGCAAAUCAUCUAUAUGUUGAAACCAAGAUGAAUAAUAGGGGAUUUCUCUUUUCUGAAAGGGAUUCUGUGACAUGUUAAAAAAAGUUAGGAGGUAGAAGGCCUUGCGAAAAGGGACCAGGUACUUAAUGAUCACCAUGGGCGAUCAUUUUGAGGCAUGUUUUGGUUCGGAUUGGGGAUACUGUUUAGUUUUUUGAACAGUCUAGAUUGACCCACAUACACCCUCUUCCAUACAGUGAAUUAAGCAAUACUUUGGAGCAUCAUAUUAUAGCUCAAUCCUUCAUAUCAUUGAGGUGGCAAUUUCACAAAAACCCCAUCCUCCAUUUCACGAAUCAUUGCACAAAAAAUUGCAUCUCCACCCUUUCCAGGUGGAACUAUGAAGAUGAAUAUUUGGCUGAUUCAAAGUAGAUGGAGUUGACUUAGUAACAAUCAUGAGAAUUUAGAGGUAAAAGAAACUAGGACAUGAAGUGGAAAAGCAAUUAUUGUAGUUUGCUAAUGAAUCCUUUCUAAUGUCUAUACAAAUUAACCAAGAGUGACAUGGUUUUGAACGAAAAUGUUGACAAAUUGAAACAUGUAAGAAGCAGAUAGCAAAUAUAGCACCGAAAUAAUAGAUUAAGUAGCUAAGCAGAUGGGUAUGAGAUUGGUUUUUGGUAUCACAUAAGGACAUGCUAAUUCCCGGGCCACUUAUUGUACUAGUUUAGAAAAUGAAUUUUGCUCUUAAAAUACUUACUUCCCGUUAUCCGACUAGAAACAAGGAUCUAUUGUACACUUAAGUUGAAAUGGCACACAGCUUUUAGAGGGCAAAAAGAAAUUUGGAAAAGCUUCAUACCUACAACUGACCUGUUGAAUUUUAAUAUUGGUGACAUGCAUAUCAGAGUUUUGUUUCCUUCUUGCCAUUGAAGAAACACGCUCUGCUUGAUGCUCGAUUGUCCUCCAUAAUUCUCUUUGAACUGGGACCAGAAGAGCUACUGUUUUCCUCCUGUCCAAUUUGUGGUUCUACUUUAUGGGCAUGAAUUAUUAUGUUUGACUAGCGUACACCCUUAUAAAAGUGAUGCCUUUUGCUUCUUCUACUGACCAAUGGUUCCUUUUGAGCAAUAACAACAGAAUCUUGAAGUCUCUCAUAGAACUAAGAAAAGAGUUGCUUUUACACUCAGCUUCUUCUUCUGUUUUUGGAGAUAAACUUAUGUUCAUCUCACAUGCUGCAUUCUCUAAGAAUGUUGUACUCAAUAAAGUUAAGGGAUUGUCUUAUCUGUAAACAAUAUUCACAGAUGUGCAAAGAUAAGGAUGAAGCAGAAAUCUGGUUUAUCGCCCUUCAGGCAUUGAUCUCAAAGGGGAAUUAUCAAAGAUGGAAAACAGAAGUAAAAGGUGAUGAUAUAUCAUCAGACACUUCAAGUGCUGAUGCUCAAAGGAAUAUACGGCCCACUGUGUCAACUGGCAGUGGAGAUGCUGCUUAUGAGGUUUCUUUCUCUGCUUUGAACUGACACUUGAAUUAGUCUACUGCAGUUAAUUCAAUCAGCUUAGUAUUCUUUGAACAGGAUUCCAGACAAGUACAUAGAAACCUGCUUUCUCUUCAAAAGCCUCCACAGAAAAAAUUGGGAAGAGUAUUUUCGGAAUUCUUACUUAACAAUUCAGUGGAUUUUUCUCCUCAGAGAGAUUCUUUCACAAAUUCAACAAGCUCAAUGUCCUGCACAAAUAUGGAUGAUGUAAGUGGGCAAAGCUCUGCUGAUACUUCACGAGUAAGUUCUUCCAGUGCACUUUCUUCAUCUAGCCAGAGGUCCUUUUUUGAAGAUUUUGAUAGACUAUGUGAUCUUUUCAUCUGGGGGGAAGGAACUGGUGAUGGAUUGUUGGGUGGGGGUGUGCACAAAGUUGGAGAGAUUUCUGGUGCUAAAAAAGAUGCAUUUCUGCCAAAGGCUCUGGAAUCAACACUGGUACUUGAUGUUCAGAAUAUUGCUUGUGGAAGUAGACAUGCUGUUUUAAUUACAAAAAGGGGAGAGGUAUUCAGUUGGGGUGAGGGAUCUGGUGGUAGGCUUGGACAUGGAGUAGAAACUGACAUUGCUAAUCCGAAACUAGUAGAGACUCUCAAUGGAUUGAGUAUCAACUCCGUUGCUUGCGGUGAAUAUCAUAAUUGUGCUCUCACAGUAUCAGGAGACCUCUAUACAUGGGGAGAUGGAACUCAUAAAUUAGGCCUUCUUGGUCAUGGAAAUGAAGUUAGCCACUGGACUCCAAAAAAAGUAACUGGUCAGAUGGAGUACUUAUAUGUGUUGUCUGUUUCUUGUGGACCUUGGCAUUCUGCAGCUAUCACUUCGCUAGGUCAAUUAUUCACAUUUGGAGAUGGAUCCUUUGGUGCUCUAGGUCAUGGAGAUCGUAGCAGCUCAAGUGUUCCCAGGGAAGUUGAAACUCUAAAAGGAUUUCGAACAGUAAGGGUUUCUUGUGGAUUUUGGCAUACUGCUGCUGUAGUAGAUGUUUCUUUUCAAUCAACAAGUUCAGAAACCUCAUCAGGUGGAAAGCUAUUCACAUGGGGAAAUGGGGAUGAAGGCCAACUUGGACAUGGGGAUAAAGAACCUAGACUUUUACCAUUCUGCAUUACUGCUCUUGAAGAGAUGAGCUUUUGUAAAGUGGCCUGUGGUCAAAGCAUCACAGUUGCUCUUACAGCCUCUGGUGAAGUAUACACUAUGGGAAGAGCGGACUAUGGACAACUGGGAAAUCCUGGACAUGCUGGUGGGCUGCCCACUUGUGUGCAGGGAAAAUUGAAAAACAUUUUUAUCGAAGAUAUAGCUUGUGGCUCUUUUCAUGUUGCGGCCCUGAGUUCGACAUCUGAAGUUUACACCUGGGGGAGGGGAAAAAAUGGUCAGUUAGGGCAUGGGGACUUUAAUGACAGGGACAUUCCUACACUAGUUGAAGGUCUGAGGAACAAACAAGUAAAGGCUUUAGCUUGUGGGAACAACUUCACUGCUGCUAUAUGUCUUCAUAAACAAGUGUCUCUAGCUGAUCGUUCAACUUGUUCAGGUUGCACUCGUCCGUUUAAUUUCAAAAGGAAAUGUAAGAACUGCUACAAUUGUGGGCUUGCCUUCUGCAGGGCAUGCUGCAGUAAGAAAUCUCUAAAAGCUUCUUUGGCUCCAAAUAUGAAGAAACCCUAUCGAGUUUGUGACAAUUGUUUUGCCAAACUGCAUAAGGGCUCGGAUUCAGGUUUUAGUUUUCUACCUCCCAAGGCCUUGAGCGGAACCAAGGGGAGAAAUGCUGUUGAGGAAAAGGAGAAAGAGAACUUUCACACCAAACCUCGUGGUUUUCUUUCUAAACUCUCCUCUUUUGAUUCAUUCAGACGAUCUAAUAUUGGACAUUACAAGAAGAGCCUAAAGUCAACCUCAAUCAGUGGGCAUUCCUCUUCCAUCGGUAGUGAAAAUUCACUAUGUGAUAAGUCAUGCAUACCAACUCCGUCAAGGUCUAUGUUGGACUACCCUGAGAAAGUAUCUAUUUCUGCUCCUGGUUCAACAGGGCAUUCUCAACCAUCAUCUCCUUACUCUAGAGGAUCAAGUCCAUUUCAAUCUGCAUUGGUUAUGCCUUCUUCUUCUCCUCCUCUUUCAAUUCCUGAUGCAGUAUUUGAUGAUUCAAAGCAGAAAAGUGACAGUUUGACAAAAGAAAUAUUGCUCUUGAGAGAACAGGUAAGCUGUUACACUUAGAGGAAUACGCUUGCCCUAAACUUGCAUGAAGGUCUUUCUACUGUUAUUUUGGCAUCCCUCACAAGCAUCAGAGUAACCAAAUUUGACAUUUUAUUUCUGGAUGAGUUAUGCAUAUUGAUGUCACUGUAGAUAUAUAGUAACUAGUAAGCACAUAUAACUUUUCACAUUUGAGGGAACUGAUAAAUGCACUAGUGAGUCCUUGCCUUUGCUCCUUGUCUAUGUGUGAAGACUGCCACUUGUCUAGAAUUAUCAAUAAGCUAAUGUUGUUGAUACUAUACUUCUUGUUAAUGACAUCCCAUUUUCUUUGUGUGCUUUUGCAAAAACCACAAAGGAGGCAGCGUGCCAUUAAAAAUAAUUAAAGUGCCAUUGGCAUUGCCCCAACUAAUAUUAAUCUUAUCCUCUCAGAAAUGACGGCUAUGUGGUAUUUUUUAAUAGACUGUCUGUAAGAUAAUUAAAGGCGAAAGUAUUCAACUUAUCUGGCUAAUUCUAUUUAUUGCAUGUAAUGAUUACUCUAUGAUCUUCAAAAUGUAGCUAAUACUUGGAUUCUACUCAGGGCUUGCAUCAUUUUGUAGUUUGCUUAAACAUUUUAUGUAAACUCCUUGAGUAGUUUCUGGUUUUGUGGGUAUGGGAUGUGCUAACUAUGGUGAUGAAGAGUUGACUCCCAUAUAUAUAUAUAUAUAUAUAUAUAUGUAUAUGUACAGACGCACACACAUAUACUGAUGCCAAUUUUUCAUGGGUUAUCUUUCCUUAGCCAUAAGCUUUUAACACAUGUCUGCAGACAUAUAUUUUUGUUAUUUGUUAUGAAAGCGAUAUUAUGCUUUUUAUGCAUGGUUGAUCUGUGAGGGCUUCACAACACAGCAGGCCCUAUACAACCUUAUUUCGUUGCACAAUCUGUUGCUUCAAAAGUAGUAUCAUCUUCAUCUAUAAGUCUGAUGAUGAUGUUAGCCUUAGAAAAUAUCCAGUUUUCUUACUUCAUUCUAUAGGUAACGAUAAUGAAUGUUGGCUAUACAUUUCAUGAGACAACAAAAUGAUAAUGUUCUUUGCAUGACUAACAAUUAGCUGAGCAAGAAAGAUCAUUUCAUCAAGCUUGUUUAGUGUAACACUAAAAGAAUGACCUUUUAUGGUGACAACUAAAUUAACUGGCAAAACAGUUGCAACGUGGAAUAAGUAAUACCAGCAGCUGGAGAAAUAAAAUUCAACUAAAAUAUCAAAAUACCUGUGCAGUAAUUGGGAUUAACAGAAAUAUAUCUUUGAAGUAUGAUGAUGACUGGAGCUGGAAUACUAUAUGUAGGUGGAGAUUCUUACCUGCAGGUCUCAGUUCCUGGCAUCAGAACUGGAAAGAACAUCAAGCCAAAUAAAGAACGCUACAGAAUUAGCAAGGUAUGAGGCAGAGAAAAACAAUGCUGCAAAGGAAGUAAUAAACUCACUGAUCAGGCAGGUAUAAACUGCAUCCUGGGCAUAACCUCUGUUAUCUGUCAAAGAUGAUUCUAAAUUACUGCAAAAUGAGAAGUAUAUUAAUUAUGUGGAUUUUGAAAUAGACUUCGAGUGAAAAGAUUUGUACAUGAGUGUUUUAAAAGAUUCAUGGCGCUUUUCAAGGAAGAUAAUAUUGGUAUAUGUUCCUGUUUGCAUAUCAUGAUUUAUCAAUCUUUUAGAGAGCAUGCCAUCGUAUAUUGGUUUUACAACGCUUUGGACUAUUGGACAAUUGUCCUAAAACUUUUUGGCUAUAAUUUUAUUAGCAAGCAUGUUCUGCUGGAACAGUGCGCAUGCAUAUUGCCUAAUAGAGUCAAACUAUGAGGUGUUGAGCUGAUAAUAAGCAUUUAUUUUUUUAUCCUAUACACUGAACUAUGUGAUACCCAUUUUAUUACUAGUUUUUCAGGGUUUAUUUCAUAUGUGAUGCUGUUUGUCCAUUCUCCGUGAAUCAUUGACUUUUCAUUCAUUGCUGACAUAAGUUGCAUUAAAUGCAUUCUUCUUGUACAAAAAUUUUGUGUAGUUGAGGGACAUGUCUGCAAAAGUGCCUCAAGGGGCUUCCUCCUGCAGAACUUCGGAUCCAUUUUCAGAGAACAACUCCAAUUCCCUGAGCAUUUCUUCUUCCUGGAGCCAAUUAACCAGCUAAGCUCCAAUGAGCUUGGGAGGUGUUCUGCACAUAGUUGUAGAGGAUGUCUGACAUUAAGUAGAUUUAGACACUAACUCAAGCCACUUGGCAGUCUUCUGGACAAAUUCACUUCAGGUAUAUUUACACAUGCCUUUAAGGAGCUACUAUUACGUGCUUUCUCAGACAUUACCUUUAUGUGAUUUCUUUACUGAAGAAUGUGGAAAGGAUUACAUGAUCGGAAAAUUGUUUCCAGAUUUAAACUAAAAUGCCAUCACAAAAUACUUUGCUGUUGAUUCAAAACAUCAUGUAGUGAUUUCUGUUUUUUGGUGAAGAGGGGUUGGCAAUGCAUUCUUAAUGUAUUAAACAGUUGAUGCUUAACCAAUUGCUCCUGGUAAGAUGUUUUUGUUCUUUCAAAAUUUCAAUAAGAUAUUGGUUAUCUCCAGCUGCCAUACAAGAAAUCUGGGCCAAGGCAUUUUGUGCUUUAGGAAGUCUAGUUAAGCAACCUAUAUGACAGCCACUGCAGUCUAGUUUUUGACUGUUAAGGAAUUUACCAACUAGAGUACAUGGAGGACAUCACUGAAAAGCAAUGGCAUCUUUGUCUCUGGAUAGCUGUUGCUGUAUCUUAGUUAAUGAUUUGGAAAUACUUUUUAACUUUCUCGUGGUUGUAGGUGGUAGUCAUUCUAGUACGAAUCUUUUAUGAUUUAACUUGUCUGUGUAGGUGAUGUGCACAUAGAUACAUAUACACACACUAGAUGUAUGAGAGACUGGCUAUGCUUGGUUUUUUGUUUAGCAUCUAAGGUUUCGGAUCCAAUCAAAAGGAAGAAAAGGUCUCUCUUCAAUCAACUCCAGGCUGUGGAAAUGGUUAACCCAAAAUAUCAAAAAUAUUUUGUUUAACCUUUGUGUGUGUGUGUAUAUAUAUAUAUGUCAAUAAGCUACUACACAAGCAUAUGAUGAUCAAUCUCUACUCUGUGGAAGUCAUUUUCUACUAGGAGAAGAGAUCAAUAUUGGUCGCACACAAAAAUGUCAAUCUUACAACUCUUUUGCUCCUAUUCUUCAGUUUUGGACUGUCUUCUCUGUCUAUCUGUUGCAGCUUGAGACAUUGACAACUAAGAUCGAUAUCCGAGCAAAUGAUAAACUGAUGCAGUAAGAGCAGCAAGACUUGGGUUGUACCAAAUCUUCGGCUUUAUAGCUACCCUUUUUCUGAGAGCUCUUUCACUUUUGUUUUGACAGUAAUGAAAUUCUGCUUCAGAUGUGAUGUACAGUCAUUCUUGCCCGGUGUAUAGUUAGCAUUACGUGUAGAGGCGUUAGAAUGUAGGCAAGGAAAAGAACGCUAAGAUGCAGUUCAGCAUUCUGCUGCGAAGCGUGAUUUUUCUCAUGGUGCUUCCAUGCAAUUUCGGUUUUUUCUUUUCAGGGUAUUUUGAAAUUUGAUCCCUAUUGUGAUCAGCUCAAAUUUGUUACGCCAUACGGUCGCUCUAUCCUCAGCUUCCUCUUCUCUUUCAAUUUGUCACUUUGCGCCAGAAUUUGCCAAGCAAGUUUUUUUUUUUUUAAAUCUUGAUUUUACAGUUAAAGUUGGCCGGUUGGAAAUUCCUACAGUUCUUACUUUGUUAUAUGAGUAAAUCUUGUAUACACUGAUAGUAUAUACACUAUCGUAGUUGUAUGCAUGACAUAUGAGCAAAAUUUAAAUUUUAAAUUUAAAUUCAGAUGAGUUGUCAAACAUCUAAUUUUCACUUCAACAACUUUUUUUUAAAAUUUUAAAUUCCCUACAUAAACAGAAAAAAAAAAAAAAAAAUCUAAAGGAGGUUACUACCGAUUGCACUCAUAUACCAUCGCGGAAACGAAGAAUAAGCUGGUUUUAAGGUGAAUCAAUAAAUGCCUUUCCUCUUGUAAAUUUGAAGAUUUUGCUCCUUAUUUUUUAUUUUCCAAAAUUAAUCUUCCUGGAUCAGGUAUGAUGUAACUACCACAGCUAAUAUGAAGGAUUGCCUUCAUCGCCUGCUUAUAGUUUAGUUUGUUGGCUUUUGCACUUUGCCAAUUUUCUUGUGAUGACCGUUUUUCCAGAAUGUUGGAAAAAUAAAAAAGAGAAACAACAACUUUUGAAUACAAAAUAUGCUGCGGUAGUUACAUGACCAAAUGUUUUUUGAUCCAUCAAUAAUGUUAAUAAUAAUGUCAACUGAGACAACUCUAAUUGCUGGCAUUCAACUUAAUAGCAAAAGGACGUACUACAGACCCUACCCACAAACUACCACCACUCUCUUCAUCUACGUCACUAAUGUACUUCAACGUCUCCCCUUCUGAACUCUCUAUCGUUUCCAAUGUGUCGCCAUUCUCACUCAGUCUAAUUGCAAAAGCGUACGCAUCAUCGGGAUUACCAAAAAGCGAGUCCAGUUUAGUAAAAUCAAAAUGGAUUCUGGCUAGGAAAUUUCCUAACCGAGGACGUGAAAGAAUCCAAUUGAAUAAACCACCCUUUUCUGAAUUAGCCGCCACCCAAAAUUCUCCGUUUUGGUUCCUUUUGAUGUUGUCCGGCCUUCCCGGAAGAUUUGCAAAGACUUCAACCUUCCCGAGCUUUGAUGAUGGCUCAAGCCAAUAUCUUAGUAUUCUGCUAUUUGUGGUCUCGGCGACAAGAAGGAAAUCGCCAUUUUUGCUCAGCGCAACUCCAUUUGGAAACAUGAGGUUGUGCAGGAGAACUGUUACUUCAUUGUUUCUUGGAUCAAACUUCAAUAGCCUUCCUGAAUUGUCACCGCUAAACAUCACAUUGGCAAAUUCCCUGAAAUUUUGGACCAAAUCAGUGCCAUAUAUAUAUAUAUAUAUGUAAUUAUGAAGGAAGAAAGCACGUGUAUGAGAUAAAAGUUCAAGCAUUGGACAAUACUAAAAAAGCAAAAUCACACUCUUUUGAGUUAUUAAGUUUACCUUCUUUCAAAUCUUGUACUGGUAUCAGUAAAAUAGAUUGCUCCACUAUCUUGAUCAAUAACUAAAUCAUUGAGGAAUUUAAAAGGAAAACCAUGGACUUCCUGCACCACUGGUGUGGCCAAUCCACCUUUGGAACCCACUGCUAAGAGCCCCAUAUAUGCAUCCGCAAUAUAAAGGUCACCAGUCUUGUGAUCGAAACUUAGGCCUAGUGGCCUUCCGCAUCUAGCCUCCGUGUUGACAUGAUCUUCUGAACCUUCACAUCCGUCUCUGUGUGUAAAAAAAAGUUUCAACAAAAUCUAUUUGGAUAGAGUUGUAUUUGCAAAAAAAAAAAAAAAAAAAAAAUCGAUUGAAUCAUAAAUAUGCUUUUUUAAUAUUUAAUAUUUUAUUUUUUAUUUUUUAAUAACUUUUUAUAUAUAUAUAUAUAUAUAUAUAUAUCACGUUACAAAAAAGUGAUAUAACUUUUUUCAAAAUAUUAUUCGAAAUAAUCUCCUAUUUGAACAUGACAACUGAUUAAUAUCUCUAUUGCAUGCUUUCAAAAUAGAUACGAUUGCCUUAAUUAAUCGGAGGAUUAUUUGUGGCUUGUCUUCUAGAGGACAAAAGCAUGCCUCAAAAUUCUUAUCUUAUUUGUAGAUAAUUAGUAGCUACUACGUACGAUUUCAAAUCAUACGAACAUUUUUUUUUUUUUUUUUUUACAAUUUCGCUAAUUUUACAACAAAAACAGAAGAACGAUGACAGACGUGCGAAAAGUUAAUCAUAAUCUACAUAAUCUGAAACCCUUAACCAGUAAUUUCUCUAUGAAAUAAUCCAAAAAAAAUUUCAUAAUGUGAUGACAAAUAGUAAUUUUGGUGAAAAAAUAAUAAUAACAACAAUAAUGACCUUUCGUACUUAAUCACAAUAGCUACAAGAAUAUGCAUGGUCACAUACACGUAACAAGAACAGUACAGACAGUCCACAUAAAUAGUUAGAACAAACACAAAUUUUUCACAAAUAAUAGUUGUAAGAACAUUAAUUGUAACCUGAAAGGAGUUGUUGUUGCGAAAUUUAUCCACCGACUCUGGUUCCGAUCCCACUUGAUAAUCCGGCCAUCAGAAACGCCGGUAUAGGGACCAUCACCAUGACGAUCGAAAGCAAGGCUCUCUGGUCCGGAUGCACCAGAGAUUGGAAACGGUUCAUGAGACCAUUUACGCUGAGAAAUAGGAUGUCUUGGUUCAUAACCAGAAUGGACUGUUCCAAGAGAACCAACGAAAAUUAGAAUGGUUGUUAGAAGUAAGAUUGAAGAAGAAAAAAAGGGCUUAGAAGAGAUCAUGAUGGCUAUGGAGGGAGAAACAAGAAAUUACUAAAGGCUAAAUAAUUUCAGAGAGUACGAGUUUACGAGGGUAUUAUAUAGACAAUGUGAUGAUCAGAGUAGGGUGUCAAUUGUAAUCCCUUUUCGAUUUUUGUUGGAACUGUAAUUGGUUUGGUUAUAGGAGUUCAUAUCAAAGUUGGUUCCAUGGGAGUUUAGGUGUUUUCAAGUUUCAUGAGCACAAGGUUAUUACUUAUUAUACGGACAAGCUAGGUGACUAUGUAAUCCUAUUGGGUUUUGUGUUAUUUAACUGGUCAAGGUUUAGAACUAAAAUUCGUUUGGAAUUCGAUUCGAACUAAAAUUCAAUUCGAACUAAAACUCGUUUGGAAUUCGAUUCUUCAGCAAUUUACCCUUGAGAACUUUAGUUUAUUUCCUUCCAAAAAAAAAAAAAACACUUUAGUUUAUUAAGGAAUAAUCCUUCAAGUCCUGCCGUGCAUAGUUAUUAUGUAUUAACCCAGUCCGGAUCAGCUUGGCAAGGCCACAGGUUUAAUAGGUUAGCGGGUUAGUUGCGGGUUGCCAGUUGAACAGGUGUUACAUAAUAUAAUAAUAUUUUUGAAUAUUUGAAAAUAAUAUCUAUACUAUAUAUACAGGGAUAAUUUCAGAAACCUCCCUUGAGAUUUCUAACAAUAUCGCUAGCCUCCCUUGAAGUUUGCAAAAUUACACAAACUUCUCCUGAGAUUAAGGUUUUGAUAACAAAAUUAGUCUAAUUAGAAAAAGUAACAUUAAAAAAGUACUUUAAGAAAAGAGAUGAAACUUUUAUUCCAUAAAUACCCCUAAUGCAUGUAUAUAAGUUGUAUUAGUAAAAGAACAAAAAUAAUUAAAAAUUAGAAAUAAUUAAUACACACAUUUCAUAAUUUAAAAAGUUUACAUUUAAUAAAUUAGACAAUACAAAUAAGCGACAAAGUUGCACCUGAGUAAGGAGUUUGACAUUGAGGUUAACAUUUAUCGUCACUUUAUGAACUUUCUUUUUUGCUCUUACAAAAACUAUUUUUACUUUAACUACCUAUAACUAUCCAUGACUAUUUUAACUUUUAACUAUUUAAGUGUAUGUCUUCUUCAAUGUAACUACUCCUAAACAUUACAACUAUCAAUAUAAAAUUAUUUUAUGAAAAGGAUUUAAAAAUUUAAAGUUUGCUUCAGUAAUAAAAAGUUUAUUUAAAAUAUAUAACCAUAAGUAUUAUAUAUUUUUUAAUUGUACACACAUUUGGUGUGCAUUGAGCAUUAGUAAGAAUUAAAUUGGUUGUUGAAUCCAUCAGUUUUCUUUGAAUUUUACUCGAAUUAAAACAUCAUGUCAUUAACUAGUCAAUAGACUACUUCGUUAUUAUUAUCCAAUCUAACGAUCAACCCAAAUUGUCCAGAUGGUUAGUUGAACUGUUGAUCCGGCCGAUUAAUAACUAUGCGAAUUAAACCGACAAGUCAUUGACCGAUCAGCGGUCUAACUACCAACCCAACCCAUCUAGAUCAAGAUGGUCGGUUAAACCGUUGGCCCGGCCGAGUAAUAACUAUGCUCUUAUGGUCACAUACCAUCAUCUUGUGUAGAAUAUGCUGGCCUUUGCUCUUUGGAUCUUUCAUUCUUUAGUUGUCGUUACUCUUUUUGCACAAUUUACAGGGGGAGGGGGAGGGGGAAGUUGACAACUGAAACAAACAAAUCAGACAGAUUCCAUAUUGAAUUGACGAAAGCCAUAAACUUGAAUUAAAAAAGUUGACCUCCAGCCCCUAAUCCACCAGGGGGAAUAGCGAAGGAGGAAGGAGCUGAAGGAUUCAUACUUUCAUUCCCUACACAGAAAGUUGCAGCUUAUACCCCAGUAAACUAAAUGCUGUUUAUUUGACCAUUUUGAUCCAAAGUAGACAUUGGUUUCUUUCCAGGGGGAUAGCAUUGGCAUCUUUUUAACACAUCCAAGACAGCUGAGGGGUAACAGGUUAUUUACUACAUUACGGGAUAGAUAACCAACAUAAUUUGAGCAAAGCUAAAAGAGACUUUCUGGGACAAAUGUUAGACUGGUCUCCCACCUUUAAUGGCAAGAAACCCAUCUCGUCUAAUCUUCUUCCUCCCCCUCCUUGCUCAAUUCGGCUUGGCCAUCCAUGGUUUGGUGGAUAAUUUCUUGAGCUUCUGUGAGUAGAGACUCUUUUUCAUCCGCAGCAUACAAAAUCUUCUUAACUGCAACAGCGAUCUGCAAAAGAUUUAAGAGAAAGCGAUGAAUAAAAUUCAUUUUGCUAAUGAUAUGCAUUUGUAACAAAGUACAAAUCGAGGCACCAUGAUGAAUAUAUCUAACUCAGGAAAGCUGGGAAACUGGAACAGGUUCUGACGAAAGUUUAGAUAUUUUGACAGGGGUACAGAUUACAUUAUGGCGUAAGACGGGUUUGAAGAAACACCACAGAGACAAGCAAUAGCAAUAGACAAGGAUUCAGGGGACCUUUGAGGAAAUCAUACUGGGAUAUUUUCUAAUUCAGGACUCUGACAGAGUAUCUCAAUAUCCCGUAACUUCCCAAAAUAGAAAUCUCUUUCUUUUUCCAAAAGGUCAACUGACAGCUUCAGAUCUGUAAUCUGCAUGAGCAUGUAAUGAAACCAAUUAGUACAAGACAUUCAAAGACUGGAAAAACAUGUUUAUUUUUGCACAACAUUUCAGAAGAAAAGCAUCAUCAGCAGAGUGAGUAAAUAGAUUUGCAGAGUCAUAGCAAUCAUCUAUUUAUCAUUAUGAUUCAACAUAAACUCGAUUUUAAAUUCUUGACAACCUUAAAUAGAUGCGAUAGAUGCUACUCAUUUACUCUUGUUUGCAUGUGUUUAACUAGCAGUGAUGCAAGUACAACUUAGAUUAGAUAUAUUGACAGCUAAAAGAUGUUUUAAGAAUGUAAUUCGAGAUAGAUAUGACCUAAGUACCUCCUUUGUCAAUGCCUGAAUCUCCACUGAGGAAUUAACCCCACUAGAUACUGGGCAUUGCCUUCCUAACUUGGUCCCUUCAUUAACACAAAGCGAACAAGAAUCUUAAGCUCGGAGAAUGGUGAAACACAAAUAGUAAAGAAGAAGAUGUGAUUUUUCCCUACCUGCAACCUUGUUGAUGCCCAACCCAUCCCCGAUGGCAUGGUCAUGCGUGUUGCUUGUUUGCAGAGACUUUGAGCUCUUCUGGGUCCUUACAAAUCGUUCCUUCCCACCUUUACUUCUGCGCUCCACAGGGUUAUAAUUCCUGGAUGACUCAAGAAUAUGCAAGAGACAAAUAUAAGGAAGCUGGUGUCAAUGAUUUAACAUGUCUAAGCAUAUUAGAAGUACUGUACUCAUUCAUGAUGCCACCAUUGAUGGAAUCACAAUAACGUUUAAGCCAUUGCAAAAACUCCAGGUUGUCCAAAGUUCUACCCUUGACAAGUCUGUUGACUUCAAUAUGCUGCAAACGUGAAUAGAAUUAUCAAUGUUCGAUACCAGGUCAGCAACAAGUCAGUACACAUAGUCUAUAGAAACGCAUGGCUUGAUGUUCAAUGACAAUGAGUAGUUAAUAGAAUUUGCCCAAGCCAAAAUGAUGAGAAUGAAAUAUUAAUGGCACUUAUCCACCAUUGUUGUUUUCACAAGAAGGAAUCUAACUUGAACAGAAAAGAAAUUGCAACGGUGCAGAAAUUUCCAACUGGAAGCUGCAUAUUAGAAUGGGCACAAUCUAUCCCUACAAUAUCCAAAACAGCCCUGCUUUCUUCCAAGAAAAGAAGAACAAAAGGAAAAAAGGAAAAGGAGCCUAACAAUGCAAGAGCUUAUAGCAAGUAGAAAGCACCCCAUACAGAUGGGUACUUUAACAACCUGCAUCUUUCUUCUUAUGCUUAACAAGUAUUAAUUGAAUUUCUUACAUACAUCACUUGCAUAACUCAAGUUGCUCAACUUGCAGUAUGGUUUUUAGUAAACAAAUAGGUACUUCAGCAACCUGCAGUUGUUAUUUCUUCCGCUUAACAAGUAUUGAUUAAAUUUAUCAUAUCACUUGCAUAACUCAAGUUCCACAACGUGCAGCAUGUCAAACAUACAAUUCUACUGAAGGAGACUAUUUCAUUUACUUGAGCUAAGUUAUAACUGAUUCUUAAGUCUAAUGCUGACUAAAGGAUCGUAUGAACAAAGAACCCAACUAAGAAGAAAAAGGUAGCAGAAUAAUGUCUUAAUGGCCAGUAAGAAACUAUUGAGUUCUUAGGUCAACAUGAACAUGGAAGCAAAGUUCUGAAGCAUAACUUAAAUGCUUCAAAAUGGGUCAUAGAAAAGAUUUACCUUGUCAAUUUUCAGUUUAUUGAAUACAUCUUGCAGCACCUUGUAAUUUUGAAUAAAAUCAUAUUCUGUCUUUGCGUCAAAAUUCACCUAUGUAAAAAUAUCUGUCAACAAUUCUACAAGUGCACAAAAUGGUCUAGAUGUAAGAGGAAAAACUAAAAGAAAUGCAUGAAGAUGCCAGAUUUGACAGGACAAACAUGUUACCUUGUGCAUUGGAACCACUCCUGGAUAAGUCAUGUCCAUCAUCUGGCAUUGGACAGCUCCCGAUGCAGCCUAGCAAAAGAAAUUGAAAUCUAAAACUAUGCAUCAUUGCAAGAAGGUGUCUUGCAUACCUGAUGACUAUUGAGCAUGCAAAUGAAGUUGCCAACAAAAUGCGACAUCACCUAAAAAGAUGAUUAGCAAUGGCAACAAAGAUUGAAAAUACCUUCUCACAAAUGAAGUACACAAAUGGAAGUAAAUGCUUAGAUUUUAAAAGAUAAUGUUUUUGUCUUUCAGAACUUCCAUUGCUCAGAAAAGAGAAGCUGCGGAGUCAUGUUUUGGCAUAAUUCUUUCCAAAAAUUGGUUCAGAAAAUACGACUCUGAUCCCUGAAAGUAAUAUCUAAAUUCAACUAAGUGGGCUAAAAUCCAAUGGCUAAAUCUAUCAAUUUGGAUGCAUUGAACUCUAUUAAAAAAAUUUGGCCUACCAAUUGGAUAGCCACAAUCGUUCCCCAUAAUUGAUUAAUUCCUCAUAUUUCUGCAAAAAAAAAAAAUACAUCUCCUUUGAAACAUACAUUGUACACUGCUGUGGGUGCAUGACAAUUUCCAAGCUCUUUCAUAGUGAAUUUUCCUACAUAAUUCUUGGAAGAUUAUGUCUUCCUAGUAUAUAAGACUUACAAGCUCAGCCAAAUAGAGAGAGAGAGAAAGAGACUCACAAGCUUCACACCACUUUCACAUGCAAUUUUCCCACUAAAACUGUCAAAAUUUAAAACUGCAACUAGUUUUCAACAGUAUUACCCAUGCUUAACAAGGCGAGUGGAGCAAUAAAUGAAUUCCUAUUUGUAUAACACUCACUACAUUCAAGAUAAGCACCAUGUCUCUUCACUGAAGUGUCACAAAUUUUGAAGAAGCAAAAUUCCCAAUUCAUAAAUUAACUUAUUCCUAAGCAGCUGGGUAAGUCUUUGCAAUCAAUUCUCCCUAUUCAUAUCAUUUGUGACGUACUCAGCAAGAGCAGGGAGGAUUUAUCAAUGCCCCAAAGAAAUUAUGAAUUGAUAUCAUGUCUAGUUGGCAUGCUUGGACAGUUUGAAUACUAUAUUUCCUGAAAGGAGAUGCAUAGAUGAAUGAAGACUAAAAGUAGAUCAUGCCAUAGAGAGAUCACUGCUUAUAGUAAUCUGACCGUCAAUUUGACAUAACUACAAGAUAAGCGUCCUGUCAGAAUAUUUCAGAAUUCAGAAUGACAUGUAACCUCACCUAUUAUAUCAAAAGAAAAUAUUAUAGAUAAGAUAAAUCAAUACUGCAAAGGAUAAAGCAUCCCUCUCAGCUUUCCUUUCCAGGACACACAAUGACUAGCUAAAAGAAAGCUAACCCUUUGUCAAAUGUUAUUUUCUGUCAGAUGAACACAGUAGAGAUACAUAAGUAGUUGAAUGAGAAGGGGGAAAAAACUAAGGCUGUAAAAUGUGUUUUAGCAAAGCCAUCAGCAUAUUGAAGAUCAGAAUCAGUUUUCUGAUUGGUUUUCCUUCAUCUAAAGCUACUCAAUAUUUAAGGGCAGAAGCUACUCUCAGCUUUCCUUUACAGGACACACAAUGACUAGCUAAAAAGAAAGCUACUCCUUUGUCAAAUGCUAUUUUCUGUAAGAUGAGCAAAAAAAAAAAAAAAAUCUAAGGCUGUAAAAUGUGUUUUAGCAAAGCCAUCAGCAUAUUGAAGAUCAGAAUCAGUUUUCUGAUUGGCUUUCCUUCAUCUAAAGCUACUCAAUAUUUAAUGGCAGAAGCCAUUUUCCAACAUCAAGCCAACAAGAACCACAAUGAUUAACCACAUUGAUUACCUAUCGCCUUGUUCACACUCAAUAUUACCUAAAAUGACAGUUGAAUUACAGCAUAAAACCUAAGGACGAAAACAAGAAGCUUUGACCAAGUCAGUAAGUGCUCGAAUGCAUUAGCAAAAACUUGAAGCAAUCCAAAAGAUGCUGAUCAUAUACCAGAGUCUAUUGCAGCCUGAUUUAAUCAACAACAGUCAAGCACUCACUUUACGACUUACCAGUGAAGAGAAUAAAAACUACAUUUUGAUUGCAAGAAACAAAAGCCUCCAUACAUAUUUCAAGAAAGGGUCAAGUACUUCACCUCAAUAUAAUGGCCCAGGACGAGGCAAAAGCAUAAAGGUUCAACUUUUGUCCACAGAACAUGUAAUAACAAAAGCAUCCCAUUGUAUAACCAUGACCGGAAUUCAAUUCAAGAGUCAAACUUGAACAAUUGGCCAAAACCAUUCAAGCUUGUAACUAACGUAAAAAUGGUUUCUUGAAAAUUCUAUAUGGAAAAUCACCGAAGGAAAAUAUGUACCAAAAUUCAUGCACAUAAACAAAAAAGGAGAUACAUAUUGCUGAAAAAUCCAAAAGGGUACCUCUUCAAUACGAGAAAGAUUGAGCUGAAGCCUGGCAUUGAUCCAUGCUAGAAUCUCAUUCCUCCCAACAAAGUAUGCACUAUCCAUCAUACCAAUAUUUGUUGCCAUAUUUUGCUCUUCCAAAACUUUCCAAAGAUCGAAACUUUGACUCUAAUUCUAUUAGUAUUAUUCAAAAUCAGAUAAAUAUGCUUAUGUGGUAGUAGGAUAUAGGCAUCCCUACAUUUGCUGAUAAUAAAGGUGAAGAGAGAAAGGGGUGUUGCGAAAUAUAAGGAAUUUUUGUAAUUCAAAUAAAAAUGGCUGUUAUACUAUCUUAAACCAAGUUGGUUAAAGGGGUCUCUCUGUUUUUGAAAGAGACAAAUAGAGAGAUCUCAAAAAGAAAGGAAUGAAUGGUCCAAUUUAAUUUGCUUUCAGCCUCUAACCAAUGAUGGAUUAGUGGAAAACUAUCACUGUUUAACUGUUGUUUGUUAAAGUGGAAAGCGACCCACCAAUGCAAAACCAUGUAAAAAAAGGGCAAAGAGCCAAAGAUGUUAGGAGAACGGCUGAAGAAGCUGGCAUGACUGGCCAAUUGGCACAUUUAUGUCCUAGAUCCAUUUGUCUCUCUAUGCAUGCAAUUGCAUUCUGGUCACCUGUCAAACUUGGCAAACCACUGAAAUAUGGUUCAGUUGUCAUCAAAACCGGACUAAAUCCCUCUUUGAGUUAUAAGGUGGGGAUUCGAACCCUAUCUAUUUUGAAAAAAAUUUAAAGGAGGGGUCAAACACCUUUUUGAUUUAGUCAAAUUUUUAUACCUACUAACCUCUUAUACACAAUCUCUUUAGGAUCCCUUCCCUUUAAAUUAGGUUUUUAUAUCUAAUAAUCCUUUAUACAUAGUCUCUUUAAUCUCCCCUCCUCCCAAAUUAAGAUAGAUUAGGUUAUAAAAGUACUAUCGUUACCGUAAAAAAAAAAUUGGGGAAGUUUACUUUUUUGCAUACUUCUUUAGACUUGGAUUUUGUUUAAGACUUGCUGAACUAUCAUUGGCCUGGUUUAGAUUAAAGGGUGGUGGGAUUUUUUUUUUUUUCAUCACAGGAGAUAUUCCUUUCGGACUAAUCCUCCUGGCCUGUGCUCCGCCCCCAAGAGACACAAGACAAUGGAAGGAGUCGAACCCCAAGAGACACAAAACGGGUGGUGGGAUUGGUGGUUACAUUUGGAAACAAGAAAAGAGAGGAAACAUUAUUAAUUUGCUAAAAUUGGGAUGAUAAUGCUUUAGAGCCCAAGUGGACUCUUUCACUGUCUGUAGCAUUGUUUCUAUUGGCUGGCCUUCAGAGAAUGGUGGGGUAGGUGACCUAGGCUUUAUCACAUGUCAGAUUCGGCCUUAGUCCGGUCCCAUGGAUUCCAAGAAUUUGCUUUUUAAUGCAAGAGGAGGCAUAAAUAUUAAACAUGAGCUAAGGUGGCCAGGGAAUUUUUUUUUUCCACAAACGUUAACAGAUAUAUAUAUAUAUAUAUAUAUGAAACCACUAGCUAAUACAAGAUUUAAUUACAAAAAAGGGCUACUACCCUCAUUUCCUUUCUCACUAAGACCGUCAGCCAACUUGGUAAGUCUUGUUCCCAUUCGAUAUCAUACACUAGCUUGACAGCAAAUUCAGCUAGAGUAUGACUGAUUUCAUUUUCUGAUCUAGGUAUAAAGACAAGCCUACAGCUUUCAAAAUGUGUUCUAAGUUCUUGCACAUCUUCCAAUAUAGUUGCAAUGUUGUAUUCAUAGUCAUUGCUUCCAUUUAUCUGGUCUAUUACUGAUUUGCUAUCAGAAUAGACUAUUAUUUUAGUCCAUCCUACAUGUUUAGCCAUCAGCAUUGCAUUACUGAUUGCCAGAGCUUCUUCCUUACUUGGUACUCCCUUGUAUUGAUUGACUAUCCCAUUCUUUCCUUUCCAGUUCCUUGCCACAAUUCUUUGGCCCAUCCUUUUCAUUUUUGCUGAUAUCGCUGCAUCUGUGAACAGACAUAUCUCGUCUUCCUUUGCUGUUUCUCUUUUUUUCUGGUGCUCACUGUGUAUGGGGGGUACAUUGUUGUCUUGUUCUUCUUCCCUUGCCUGCUCAUACUCCAUCCAGUCCUCCUGUGCUUUUGUGACAAUUCUGUAUGGAUUCUGGCAUUCAUUUUCAAAGACUUUUUUGUUUCGUGUUUUCCAAAUUUGCCAAAAAAUAUUGAUGGUGAGGUUAACUCUAUCUGGUACAUGAUCCUUUGAGAUAGACUGAGUAGCUUUCUCCCACCAAAGCCAUAAAUUAUGUUGUUUGUCCUUUAAACCAUCCCACCUUAUUGGAGCUAUCUUCCGUACUUCUACUGCAUUCAUGCAAAAAAAGAGUAAAUGUUCGAUGGUUUCCACACCUUCUCCGAAGCAGCUACACCUUCCCUCUCCUUUUCCCAUCCUUUUGAAAGUAACUUCAUUGGUUGGUAGGCAGUUCUGCAGGCAUUUCCACAUGAAGUGUUUCAGUUUGGCCUUUACCUUUAGUUGCCACAGUUUCUUCCACACACUAUGUUUCCUUUCUUCCCAACUUGUCUCAGCAUUGUUUGCUCCUUUUCUACUCUGUUGGUUCUCCUCCUGUCUUGCAGGUGGCCAGGGAAUUUUGAUAAUAAGAGUUCAGAGCAAAGGCCAAGCCUUUUUUUUUUUUUUUCCAUUUGAGCAUUUGGUUUUAGGGAUAAUUUUAGAACCUCGAGGUUUUUUACACUUUCAUUACUGACUUUUUUGAGCUUUAAGAAAUUUGUAAUCAAUCAUAAUGUCUUUGGGCAGAAUAGUACUUCCAUUACAUCUUAUGCAAAGCAAUGGGGCCCAAAUUUUUCAAAUUUUUUAUGGGGGAGGUCAGCGUAAUUUUUGAAAUUUGAGAGAAGGUCAAUGAAGGUGUUAAAAACCUCAGAGGAGGUUUCUAAAAUUAUCCCUAGGUUAACUAUUUUAAAUUAAGAGGAACUAUUGUCCUACGAGUCUACGACUCCUAUCCUAUAAUCAUUGGAUCUAGAGCCUCACAAGUUUCAAAUCAAUACAUAUAAUUAUCAUUAUAUUUUGUCUAAAAUCAUAGUGUUUUGGUGUAAUCACCAAUUUAGUUAUAUGAAUUAACGUAAGGGGUUAGUAGGUAUAAGAAUCUGACUAGAUCAAAGAGGUGAUCUAAUACUUUCUUUGGAUUUUUUUCAAAAUCAAACCCCCGACCUACAACCUAAAACUCUAGCACUUCUUUUGAAUUUUUUUCAUUGCAGGUGGGUUUUGAAUCACCAACCUACAAUUUCAUCUCUUUUUGGUGGCCAUUGGACCAAAGCUCAGCGGUUCAACUAGCACUUACUCAUUAGUCAAGUUUAUACAGAGGACUCUACUCUCUCUCUCUCUCUCUUCUUUUUUCUCUAUUAGCAAAUCGAAUAUUCUAGGGGAAGGAUAUGGUUGAGUGGUAAGGUUGGAGGGAUUAUAUAUAGAAGAUUUUGAAUUCAAAACCUUCCACUUAAAAAAAAAAAAAUCGAGUGCUCUUCAUAAAUAAAAAUGAAUUGGAAGAAAGGACCUACUCUUUUUUUUUUUUUUUUGCAAAACGUCUAGUAAGAAACUAAUCAAGGUAUAGCAACACCAACAACAUCGAAGGAGCUUUGAUAAAAUAAAAAAAUGGAUUUAUAAGGUAAAGAGUGACAUAUCCUUUUUUUUUGGUAAAAAAAAAAUUCCGCUUAGAAUGGUGCUACUUACAUCAAAUGUAUGUAUGAAUUUAACUCUGGGAAAAUCGCUCAAAACGUCUAUCACAUUUUACAACAUGACUUUUUUCGUCCCUCACUUUUAAAAGUGUAAUUUUACAUCCUAUACAAAUUCACAUUGACCAAAUUUGAUCCCUACCUAGGUUUCCGACUAGUUUUUGAUCGGAAUCCACCACAUGACUUGCAUGUGAUCAUUUUUUAAGGGCAAAAUUAUCAAAUCAAAUUUUUACAUAAUCUGAUUCGUAGUCCCUCACAUUUAACAAAAUGAAUUUUUUCAUCUCUAACAUAUUAUAAAAUGAAUUGUUUUGUUUCUCAGAUUUCAAAAAAUCAAUUUUUUCAUCCCUCACAUUUUUCAAAAUGAAUUUUUUCAUCCCUCAUUGAUCAUGUGUAGAAAUAGCUUCUUUUUUUUUUUUUUAUAAACCCACGUAUAUGUAUAUUUGAUUUUACUUGCAUAUUAUGAAUAACAUGUAAUUUAUCUCUAUUGGAUUUCAUCUAAACAUGCUAAUCGUAGUUAUACACAUGCUAUUCAAUAGAUAUAUAUAGGGGUUUAAAACUAAUAAUUUUGUUUGAAAUCCAUGUAUAUAUUUAUAUGAUUUCACCAUUUGAACCUAUUCAAUAUUUGUGACCUUUCUCUUUUGGUAAUAAUUUAUUUAUUGAGUUGUAUAAUAAAAUCAUCUAAUUAAUGGGUCCUACCUCGAAUUCUAUAAUUGUGCUAACAAAUUUCGAUUUAAAUCUGAAAUUUCUAUUCGACACUUUUAAGACCAACAGUUGAAUUACUUGCCUUGUGAUUGUUUUAAAAUUUGAAAGUGCCAAUCAUUUAUUUCUUUUCGUCAUACUUUUCUUUUGUUUACUUUUCUAUCCAAAUUUAAUUCGAUAUAAUAAUAUUUAGGAUUAAAUGUCUUCUGUAUUUUCAAAUUUCAAGUAAAAGAAAAUGGAUAUAAGUGAAAAACUAACAAUUUUUUUAAACCCAUGUAUAUAUCUAUUUGAUUUCACUUGAGUAGUACGAAUAGUAUGUAAUAUAUCUCUAUUUGAUUUUACAUGCUAUUCGUACUGUUCAGGUAAAAUCAAAUAGAUAUAUACAUGGAUUUUAAAAAAAAUCAUUCACACACAUGAUCAAUAAAAGAUGAAAAAAUUCAUUUUGAAAAAUGUGAAGGAUGAAAAAAUUCAUUUUAUAAAAUUUAAGGGACGAAAAAAUUUAUUUUAUGAAAUGUGAGUGAUUGUGAAUCGAAUUAUAUAAAAUUUGAUUUGACAAUUUUGCCCUUAAAAUAUGAUCACGUGCAAGGCACGUGGUGAAUUCCGUUCAAAAACUAGUCGGAAACUUAAGUAGGGACCAAAUUUGACCAAUGUGAAUUUGUAAGGGACGUAAAAUUAUAUUUUUAAAAGUGAAGGAUGAAAAAAGUUAUUUUACAAAAUAUGAGGGACAUUUUGAACGAUUUUCCCUUUAACUUUUAAGUACAAGUGUUUGCCUUCAUUGAGGACUCAAUGAGAACUUGAUCGAGAACUCCCUAGAGUGCAUGUGGUGCCAUCUAAGGGGAAGCUCUCCCAGCAGAUCUUUCUUAAAAUUUGUGUUAUUAGAGACUGUUAAUGAUAAUAUGGAUUAUGGAGUUAGAUUUCUCUUUUUGUACUGUACUCGACCACAACAUUCAUCAUCACUAUAACUUUUGGUUUGUAACCCGUUUGAAUAUAUUGCCAACACAAUCAUGUAUAUUUAAGAGCUCAUUUAAAAAAAAUAACAAAAAUAGAUACAAAUAUGAAAAUUUUUAAAAUCAAGGAGGUCAUUUAUUUUGAAUCUAUCGCAUGAGUUGCAUCGCUUAGAGUAAGAUUUUCUUAUAGUGUUUGUGUGGUUUUUUUCCCCUUACUGCAAAUGCAAUGGUGUUGACUGACUUCUUUUUUUUUUUUUUUUGGUCAAAGUGUUGACCGAUUUUGAAGGGUGUAAUUUUACAUGAGUGUUCAUUUUGUUGAAUUUUUAUACUGCAGAGAAUUUAACUUGAGCAUUAUUGUUCCAUUGUCCCUUUACAUAAGAUGUCAUGUUAUAGAAGAGUUCGUGUACCAUUUAUGAAUGCAGGAACGUCUUCAACUUAAGAUAGAUUUAUAUGUGAAUUAGUCCCUUCCUUCUUUUUUCUGUUUUUUCUUUUUGAUUGGACGCCUUCGACAAUUUCACAAAGCUUUAAAUGUCAACAUCAUCACCGUUCGGCUUAUAUCAAGACCAAACUACAAAUAACAAUUACUCCAUCCCAUGACAAAAUUCAUUGCUUUGUCAUAUAUCUGCAUACCACAUUGAUGUUAGGAAAAGAUCUAUUCUUAUAAUUUUGAAGUUGCAUGUAUAAAUUCGGAAUCUCUCACUUGCACCCCUUUCCUCUGCCAUCCAACCUAUUCUUCUCUCCCUAAUAAAAAACACUAUGAAAAUGUUGAAAACUAAAUCAUAGAAAUUUCAGAAAAUUGAAGAGUCAUGUGCACUUAUGACAAACCAUAAUUGGCAGAUUGCAUUACCUUCAGGUACAUUUCAAACUCUAUAAAAAAGAAUGACUCCAUGAGCUUACCUUACUUUGGAAAUACAUAAAACUAACUUGCUUGGUCGAAUUGGUUAACCUCAGUUAUAUCCCUUUUACUUUUCAGCAAUUUCUUAAAUGCUUGAAUCAGUGUUUUGAAAUUCGGAUCGACAUGGCCAGUACCGAUCUGGCUUGCUCAAUCGAUCGAACCAUGAAUCAAACUAGUCAUGACUUUGGUCCAAUUCAUUCUAAGGGUUGACUAGCCAUUAAAAACCGUCAAAAAACGAAAAAAAAAAAAAAACCAUCAAACAGUGCAAAUCGGUUUAAAUAGUGAAUUGCCGCUUUUGUAAUUUUGUCAAUUAAAUUGGAAAAAGGAAAAAAAAGUUUUUUGAACGCUAAACCUUAUCACUAAAGCUGCCGCCCCACUCCAAUUUCUACCUUCUCAUCUUCUCUAUUCUCAAACAUUCCUCCAAGUGUCCUAUUUUUAAUACAAUUAUAUGCUAGCAUACAGCCUUCUAGCAUUCAAUUGUAUAUCACACCAUUUUAAGGGAAGCACUCACUGUAGACUUUUCCUAGUCUUUGACAUUAAUUUUUAAAGACCGUUAGUGAUAACUAGUUGUGAGGAUAAAAAUUGAACUGAAAAAGUGAAAAACAAAACUCAGCAGUCAUCUAUAUCUUUAUAUAGUAAGUACAGAUGUAUACAUACAGCAAAAAUUCUAAGGAUUGGUAUAGUGGUUUGUACCAAUGCAUUGGUAAAGUGGUAUAAAGAGGUACAGAUGAGAGGAGGACAAGACACGUUAGCCCAAACAAAAUUGAAGGUUGUUUUCGGUCAUGGAAAGGCAACCGAAAUUGGAAGUGACAGUGGGUUCCACACUGAAAAGACAGUGGGUUUCACACCGAAAUUGAAGGUCUCAACUUUUGUCAGUGGAAGGAACCAUGCGAAGGACCGGAAUAAGAAGACUUAUUUCGCUAGUCCGAGGAAUAAUAAUGUGACGUGAAAAUUGGCUAGCAUCAUACGAGGUAUAAAGCAUUUAUUUGGCAAGAGAAUGAACGAGGAAUAUUAAUCUGUACAAUUACUUUUACCAACCAAUAUAGGUGAAAAUUAAUGGCUAAGGUAAUAAAUCAAGCUAGAUGGAUCCGUAUGAAAUACUUGUAAAAGAGCAAACAACUGAGCAAAAGUCUUGUGAAUAGUGGAGAGGCCGGGAGGAAAAAAACGCAAAUAGAUAGAGGUGAAGAAGCAGCUGGUACGUGGAUAAGGUAAUAUGUUUUGUAACAAUGAUCAAUUAGUGGAUGUCUUUUUGAAAUAUUCUUUUUGUAAUCGAGGGAAAAAAUUGAAAUGUGGAAUAAAUUUGCUUAUGCAGUAUUGUUGUUUGAAUAUAUGUUGUACUUUUGUAUAUGAAUGGUAACUCUCUUCAUGAACCAAUAAUCAUAAAAUAUGAUGUAAUUAGUUUAGUAUAUGACAUAAAAUGGGUAAGAGCAAUUUAAAAUAUUUGUUAAUAUUGUUUUCUAAAUUAUGAACAAUAGAGUGAUAGAAUUGUGAGCAUAGAAAAAAAUAAGAAAUAUUGUUUUUAGUUUCAUUGUGUAGUUGUAGAAAGUAGAAAGAAAGAAACUGGUUUGUAGAGGCAAAAUAUUGUAUAAGGUAAAUAUUCGAUGAAUUGAACACGAUUAUUUAAUGAAUAUUUGUAUGGGUUGGAUAAGAAAAUGCUAAAUGCAAUUAAAAUAUUUAAUAAAAUUAGGCACAAAUGUACUGAUUUAUGUGGAAAAUCUCAGGGAAUAUUGUAGUUGGAUUGCUCGAAUUGAUUAUGGACCCACUAAGGAUUAAGUGAAAUGUUGGGAUCAUUAGUGAAUUUCUGCUAGAAUACAAAUUUUGAAGAUUAAAUAUAAUUUUGUACAUGUUGUAAUUGAAGAAUUAGAAUAGAAUUGUAAGUAAAGUUUAUCGUUAUAUUGGUCCAUACCGAAAGUUAUUGACUGAUAUUGCUUGGUUCAAUUGAAAAUUGACUACCGGCCUGAUUUGUAGGCAAAAAUAAUAUGACAUUGUGAAAAAUAUUGUCAUCAUAGAAAAGACAAUUAGUACAUAUUAAUUGAGUGAACAAUAAACAUAAUGAAGAAAAUGUAAAGCUGGAUACAUAACUGAAAAGAAGUUAGAAAAAAUAAAUAAAUUGACAUAAGAGUAGAUAAUUUAAAUAUUUUGGAAGAAAUUUCAAACUAGAUAAUAUAAAAUUAGGUAGUAGUAGUACAAUUAUAUGGAUUACAAAAAAUAAAUUAUAUAUGUAUAUGCAAAAUUAGAUAAAUUUAGAUUAAUUUAAUUGUGUAAAAUGACAUAAGAGCAUAAAAUUUCAGCAAAGAUAAUAUAAAAUUAGAUAUUCGUAGUAAAAUUUGGAUAAAUUAAUUGUAGAUAAUUAUAUUGUGUUGAUUGAUAGUCGCAGAUGGAUCGGGAGAAAGGAAAAAAUGCAGUAAUAAAUUUGAAUGAAGAGGACGAGAAUUGUGAGUCAUUUAGCUCAAGUGAAGAAGAAUUCAUUUCCUCGGAAACAAUAGAAAAAAAUUACCCUGUUGAUGAUAUGGAUGAAGAAGUGAUGAAUAUGGUAUUUGACAGUGAGGAAGAUGCAUAUGAGUUCUACAAUUUGUAUGGCAAGCUCACUGGUUUUGGCAUUAAGAAGGCAGAUGUUAAAAUUAGUCAAGAUGGAACUGUACAGUAUAGAAAAUUCGCAUGUUCUCGGGAAGGAAAAAGGCACGAGAGAUAUUACAAUCUAGCACAGAGGAUUAGGCAGCCCAGGCCAGAGACAAGGACAGGAUGUCUUGCAUGUCUACGCAUCAAACAUGACAAAGCAUCUGAAAAAUAUGUGGUGAUGAAUUUCGUGAAAGAACACAAUCACAAAAUGGCUUCCAAAUCAAGCAUUCCAUAUCUAUGGUCUCAUCGACACGUAACAGAUGCCGAUUAUGCUCAAGUACGAACAAUGAAAAUGGCAGGGGUGAAAACAAGUCAGGUUAUGAAAUUUUUUGCAAUGCAGUGUGGUAGAUAUGGUAAUGUUGGAUUUGUGCUAAAAGACCUAUAUAACCGUGUCGAUAAAGAAAGGAGAGUUUUGAUUGAGGCUGGGGAUGCAAAAAAUGCAAUUGCAUAUUUCAAUGGGAGGAAGGCCAGUGACAAAUCAUUCAUCUUUGAAUAUGAUGUGGACGAAGAAUCAAGGUUGAAGACCCUUUUCUGGGCAGAUUAUGAGUCCCAAUUGGAUUAUAAAUGUUUUGGUGAUGUUCUAUUAUUUGAUUCGACUUAUAAUGUCAACGAGUAUCAUAAGCCACUCGUUGUAUUUUCUGGAGUGAACAAUCAUUAUAAUACUGUUGUAUUCGGUACAGCCUUGGUAUCGGGUGAGAGAGUUGAAGAAUAUGAGUGGCUCCUUCACACAUUAACCAAAGUUAUGGGAGGACGAAAGCCAAAGGCCGUGAUAACAGAUGGGGACAAAGCAAUGAGGAGGGCAAUAAAUAAUGUGUUCCCAGAUGCUCGACAUAGAUUAUGCAUUUGGCAUUUGAUGAAAAUUGCAGACGCUAAAGCCAAAUCAAAUGUAUUCAAGUCAAUGUUCGGUAGGAUGAUGAAAAAGGCGUACCCCAUUGGUGACUUGGAGGAAGAGUGGUUUGCUGUUGUGGGUAAAUGCGGACUCCGCCAAAAUAAAUGGGUGGAAAAGAUUUUCGAAAUGAGGUUGCUAUGGGCUGAAUCGUUGCUUCGUGAUACUUUUUUUGCUGGAAUGCGAAGCACUCAAAGGUGCGAACAAAUGAAUGCUUUUCUUAAACAGUAUUUGAAGAAGAACAUGCGAUUUUAUGAGUCAGUCAUCAUCCAUGAGUUGGCUCUUACUCACUUGAGGCAUACUGGGGCCAAGGCAGUUUAUGAGACAGAAGAUACAAUAGUGGUUUUGGCAAUUGCAUUACAAAAGUUGGAGAAGCAUGCAUCCGAAGUGUAUACUCGAAAUGUUUUCUUUCGGGUAAAGAAGCACCUUAACAGACAAGGCCUAUAUGAUUGUUAUGAACGGAAAGAAACUUGGAAUGGCUGCAUAUUUUUUCUCAAAAAGUAUGCCGAUGACAGAACAUGGACCGUAGAGCUCAAUCGAAGGACCCUAUCAUUAAAGUGCUCGUGCAAGAAAAUGGAAUGGAAAGGGUUACCAUGCGCACACAUGUUUCGUGUAAUGCUGAUGGAAAACAUGCAAUCAAUACCAAAAUCCUGCAUUUUAAAAAGAUGGACAUGCGAGGCCAGAGAGGAGGCGGAUAAUGAAGUUCUUGAAGGGAGGCAGGAGAUAUAUGCUGAGUUGGUUCAAACUGCAAGAUUUGGAACGAUGACAUCAAUUUGCAAGGAAAUGUGUUUCUUUGCAUCCCAUAUGGAUGAUGGAUUUGCUCGUGUACGAGAUAUUGUUAUAAAGGAGACUAAUAAUUGGAGGAGAGCUUGGGUGGAGCGUGGAUUUGAUUGUGGCACUAAUGGAAGGUUAGCUGCGGAUUCAAAAGAGUCACGCUUAAGCCAAUAUUAUGUGAAGGACCCCGAGAGGACAAGAGCUAAAGGUGACCGGUUCAUACCAAUAAAAACAAAGCUGCUAAGUGUGGAAACUGUGGGUUAGUUAUCGUGAAUAAUAAAUUAGAUUAUACAUUUGCAGUAACUGAAAAUCAUAAAAUGGAUUAUCAUUGCAUUUGUUGUACUUUCAUUAAUUUUAUUGGUAUGAUCACAGGUUGUGUGAUGGCCACAACAAAAGGACAUGUCCUCAUAACUUGCUUAGUUACGAUGCAUGUGGUAUUUCUGGAAGCCAAGCAAUUCAUUAUAGCAACCCAGGAUCAAGGACUAUGGGUGACUCAAGAUUCCAGUUCGGUGCAUCCUCAUCUGGUGAUUUUCAAGGAGUUCAGCAUCCAUUCCUAAGUCACUCAGGAAUGUUAAAUAGAGUUGACAGAGAUGGAAGCAGUAGCCAAAAAAUUGAUCAUAGUCAAUCUCACACGAUGCAGAGUCCUUGGAGUGAAUGGAAUGGAACAGGAUCAUACACAAUUGUAGACCGAAAUAGCUAUUCAGCUUCUUUCUGGAAAAGUUAAUCGCUAGGCUAUACUGUGAUAGGAAGCAUUGGAUUUUUCUUGGUAGGCCCACUGACUAACGGACGUGAUUUUAUUUUCUACUCCCGUUUGUUUUAUUUUCUACUCGCCACUUUAUGUUUACAAUUUUGAAUACCAAAUUCAAAAUUUCACGGUGAUAGGAAGCAUUGGGUCUUUCUUGGUGGGCCCACUGACUAACCGACGUGAUUUUAUUUUCUACUCCCCCUGUUUUAUUUUUUACUCCCGCGUGUUUUAUUUUCUACGCGCCACUAACUGAUUACAAUUUUCCAAAUUCAAAAUUUUCAUGAAAUGAAAUUGACGCGCGUGGUAGAAAAAUCAAAAGACACGAAUUCAAGUUUUUGUAGCCAAAUAAAAGGCCAUCUAAAGUAUUUCAAGUAGCCAUUUCGAUAGCUGACAUAGUAAACAGCAUGUCUUCAGCUUCUUCUCACCUUCGCCAUGGCUAUGCAGUUGAAUGGCCCCAACGAUUGUGUUCGUGUGGAAGGGUUUGUGACAUCAAGAUUGUUGAGAAGUCGGAGAAAAAUCUAGGGAGAUAUUACUAUGCUUGCCCAAAGGAAUCGGUAAACUAUUUAUUCAACUUCAGUUCCUAGUUUGUAGUAUAUGAUUAACUCCGACCCCUGCAUAUCAUUAACUUGUUCUUUAAUUUUUUCCAGCAAAAAUGUCUCGGAUUUAGAGGGUGGUGCGAUGUCUAUGCAACAACUAUUAAAAACUCAAACAUGCAAUCUAUCUCAGGAAAUGAAGGCGAGAGUUCGACGGCUAACCUCAUGUCCCCUAAGAGCACCAACGGCCACCGAGGUGCAGAGACAGACAUCGAGCGUGUGAGUAUAGAUGUUGCCCGGUUGAAGGUAGACAUGGCACACAUAUCGGAUGCUAUGUGGAAGGUCAAAGAAGGAGUUGUUUUGUCGUUGACCAUUGCAUUCAUUCUUCUAUUGAAGCUGUAGGCCAGUUCUAUUUGUUUAUAUAUUAAAGCAGUAGAACUAUCCAAUAUAUUUUUCUUGUGUUCUAUUUAUUUAGUGUGUCAGAAUGCUGGUGGAUGGAAAGUUAUUACGGGAUAACCACAAAUUUUUUUUUUGUUGCCUUUAUCUCAAUUUGCAUCUUCCUAGUGUUUUGGUGGGGGGUUGAAGACAAUGGUGCAGCUUUAAUUCUAAGCUUAUCACGUUCUCUUGUGCAAGAGUUAUCCACGUGAUAUUGUGUUCAUGAGAUUGCUUUCUGGCCACAAAUUCUAGACAAAGGGGACCACCACUGAAAUAAGGAGGCUAAGAAAUAAUAAAUGGCUUUGGUGGGUAUUCUUCAACCACCAAAAACAACUUCAGGAGAUGAAGAAUACUCUUCGCCGAGAGUUUUCGCCAGGAAUAUGUUUUGGUUGAACAUGCUGCAGACCGAGGAGUAAGAAGGUUCGUAAAAAUUCUGGAAUGGAAAGUUUUUGUUUAACUUCAAAUAUUUUUUUAAAAUUCUUAAGCUAAUGGAAAGUUUUUUUUUUUUUAAAAGAUCUCAACUCUCCUUCAUUUCUCAACCUUUAAAUUCUUGAGAUACGAAUUAUCUCAACUCCUUCAUUUCUGUGUAAUCUGUUUUGGGAGGUUUGGUACUGGAAAUCAUUAUCCCUGUUUCUAUGAGAUUUUAUAUAAUCUAUUACAUUUGAAGACAAAAAAAAGGACAUAAUUUUAUAGUUAAACAUAUUUUUUUAAAUUCUUGAAGUUGUUAAAUGAACUUAUAUUUCUUUAAGUUGUUGAAGUUAUUGUUUAAUGAACAUAAUUUUUUAGUUAAACUUUCAAGGUUGUUGUUUAAUAAACUGAUUUCUUUAAAUUGUCAAAGUUGUUCUUUAGUAAAUCUUGAAUUUUUUUUUUUGAGCAAUCUGAUGUGAUGAGAUUUCUACUGAGGAUUCGUUGCUGGGAGCAUCGUCAGCUUCCUUCCAUUGUCCGGGUCACCAGGUCUACCCGACCCAUAAAUUGCUAUUUCUCACUUACAACGGAGAAAUAGCAAUGAUUUCACCUACAAUGGAGGUUACGGAGGAGGCGGAGGAGGUGGGUGUUUCAAGUGUGGUGGGUUCUUUGAUUUCACUGUCUAUGUUUUCUAUUUUACUUUUUGUUUUAUUUGGGGGUUGGCUUAAGGUUUUUAAAGGCUUUGAUCUGGUGAACCACACGGUACUAAAUGCGAAUGUUAUUUUGUGGUGGGUUAUUUUUGUGAUUAAGUGGUCACCUGCAUAUAAAAUAAUCUCACCUAGAAUGCACGAGUCCCUCUUGGUAGGUGUCUUUGCUCUCUUGUAGGCACCAUCUCACCCGGCUGCGUGUUCUUCUCGAAGAACCCAAAUUUCACAAACUCAAAGAUCUUAAUUUCGCUCCUUCCCUUUUCUCCUAGAUUCCUUUCACUAACCGUCUGGAUCCACCGUUAAGAAGAUCUAACAACCACACAUAAGAUGUUUGGGGGACUAUGAGAGAUCAGGUACAAGAAGAUCCCAUAAGGUGUUUUUUGUUGUAAUCAAGAUGAUUAUUUAAAUACAUGCACUUCUUUAUUCCAUUUCCACCAGCACAUAUCAAGAAAAUUCUGAUAUAGAAAGUGAAAAGGCUUUAUUUUUGUUGAAUAUUAGGAAGUGAUCGGUUCUCUCGUACGCUGAAAUUUCUUAUCUACUAGUCUAUUGGCUCCUCAGCCUUGGGUAGUCCUUUUUUCUGUUCUGCUUCAAUGUGUGAAUGAGGGGAAAUUUAUGUAUAAACAAAGACUAACAGUACCCGCGAUUAUAUCGUGGAAUUUGGGCAGACACUUUUCAAGGGUCAAAGAUGCAUGUAUAUGUUUUGUUCAGAUUCCUGGUUUUCAUUUGAAAAAGAUGCUCUCCUGCUGCUCCAUUCUUCUAUCACUAAGCUGAGAAAUAACAAGUGAAACGCUUCAUCGAGAAGGAGAUGGAUUUUGGUUUCAAAGCUGUUAAACUGGUUCUGUUUCGAAGGAGGUUGUCAACAUGCACUUCAGGUGUGUGGUUGAGAAGAUCAAAUUGGAAAGGGUGGAGGAUUCUCGGGACUUUAGCUGUGUUAUUUGACAUCCUGCAACUGAGGAAAAAGUUUCGGAAUUGCUCAUUCUCUUUUGUUAGAAAGUGAAAAUGGCAAUGUAGUGGCCCAUUCUUUGGCAAGAUUUGCCUUAAACUUAGUUGCUGAUAUAGAUUGGAGAUUUUCCAUUCCUAGCUGGCUGCUUCAGUUAGCCAACAUUGAUGUAGGAGCAGUUGCUCCAAGUGAUGUAAGCAUUUUAUGAUUUUUUUGGAAAUCUGUUAUCGUUUGGAAAAUGCAUAUGAUAUAUGCUACUGGCUCUGUUUUGCAAUCUGUUAUCGUUUGGAAAUCAGUUGCUCCGGAUAGUUUAGUCUUCAACUCUUGAUGAAUGAAUAUGAUAUAUACUACUGGCUCUGUUUUGCAAUUUGGUUGUUUUGCCACUUACGCCUGAUGUUUGUUUCGUUCCGACUUUAGCUCAGUGCUGUAAGUUUUCUUACCUCUGAAAACGAUUCAUAGAUUGACUAUUUGCCCGUAUUAUUCAAAAUUAGUGUACUAUAGAUCCUCUGUGAUUUGUAUGGAUAACACACGGACCUCUACUAAUGGAGGUCGAAAUGACGAAAUCUCUUCAACGGGGCCCCAUCUCUGCUUGCUCUUUAAUCAAAUUAGUACUACUGUUGGGUUUCAAUGCUCUUUAAUCAAAUUUUUUCCAAUGAACAGAUGCCAUGAGUUGUUCAAAGUUGACGGAUGCUUCAAUGGCCUCUGCAAAUUUUCUAAUUCAAUGGCCUCUGCAAAUUUUCAAUAGAAGAAUAAAUCGCAUAUCAUAGGCCUCUGCAAAUUUUCAACAGAAGAAUAAAUUGCAUAUCAUAGAGCCUGGAGUGGUUAACUCCAAUUAACCAAUCUCCUUCAAAAAAUUAAUAAGUCCAAUUUUGACUUGUCAAAGCAGCUCCUAAACAAGAAUAUAUCGCUGUCAUGGAAGAAUUGAUAAUCACUACUAUUGACUACCCGAGAAACAAUGAACCAAUUCAUGGCAUUAAGGCCUUGGAUAUAUAAACACUUGGGACGGUCUUCAGCUAUUUCUGCCAGGCUGAGAUGACCAAAAAAAUUUCAAACAAAAAAGCUACAAAAGAAUGUGAAGACCUUCAACUCUGUCUAACUAUCACAAAACAAUGGGAAGGUCUUCAGCUAAUUCUGCCAGGCUGAGAUACCAAAAAAUAUUUUCAACAAAAAACCUACAAAGUAAUGGGAAGACCUUUAGCUCCUUGUUCAAGCACACUUGUUCAUUGUUCAUAGGUUUAUGCCGCAAGUUUCAAUUCCCAACAUGCCCAUUACUCUUAGGCCACGUCCUUUAACCUGGUUUCCAUCAUCCAAGAACAAUCUAACAGCUACCUUCUUACGCUCUGCAACAGAAUCAAACUGCAAUAGCAAUAGCAAAUAAUGAAACCGGUGAGUAUGAAUGCAUUCUUUGGUCUAAGAAUGUUAGUGCAUAAUUUGCUAAAAUCGAGAUUUUAAUACCUGUAAUUGCAAAUUCGGACCUAAGAAUUGACACUUUUCCAUGAACUUGAGUACGUAUAUCCCACAAUCAUAUCUAAAAAUGAAUUAAGCAUGAAAUUUUUUUGUACAAUCAAUCAUUGAAUUGCAGUAAUUUUUUUUACAAAUUGCAAUAAUAUUAUCACGGGCUCCCAAGGGAUAUUACUCACAAGUUGGGCUGACGCGAGCACCAAUCGGGUGCAUCAAUAAUGAAAUCUGUGAAAAUUCUAUGAGCUUUCCUCCCAUCCAUCCCAACAAACAAAGCCAUUUGAAGUCUACCCCACUGUGGCCAAUUAUCGAUUUAUCAAAUGAUAGUACACAGAAUUGAAAUUUUGACAACAAACGGUCUAUUGAUCAUCCUCAAAAUACUUACUAGUUUUUUCGUCAUUGCCAACCGUAGGUAGUUCUCCAACUCAUUUUUAGCUGGCAACGAGUCGAGAAGAAGCACAGUUCCAGAUGUCAAAUCAGCUACGAUUAAUAGCCAAUGAACCCUUUCCCAAUUGAAGGGGAUGCAUAUCCUCUCACACUUGUCAAUAGGCCCCCCAAAUCGAUCUCCCGUAAAAAAUGCUCUAUACAGCACAUCAUCACACUUGUUGAAAUCCAGAGCUACAACCUGCCAUUAGAGGAUGUUCCAAUUCAUAAGUAGGAGUUUAGCUUAUCAUUUCAUUUCCCAUUUCAAGUACAUUCAGAGACUAACCGCAAAAUCAACUGGCAGAUACCACACAGGAUAGCUUGUCUCGACUAUAUCUUUCCUUGCUCUUCGUGUUAGCAUUGACACGUAACAAGAGAUCACCUGACAUGAAUCAACUGCGACUUAGGCCAACCAUUUCCAUUCACAUAAAUGUGGAUUUGAAAUUACAUAAAUUAAAAAAUCAGCAUAUUAAGUUCAUAAUUGGUUGACUUCACCUCGGAACUUAACCAUCCUUCAGGAAGCAAUGUUUGCAUGGCUUCUCUAGAUGCCGUGUGAGACAAAAUAUGAACGAUUAUGGAGCUGCAAUUCAAAGGGAGUAGCAUUCUUACCAUCCAUUAUUUCACCAAAAAUCUUCAAAUAUGUAUACAUGAUAAUUUGUAUAGCAAUAGCGAGAGCUUCUCACCUACGGGGCAUCGAGUCGUCAACAAUGUAAUCAAAUAUCCUAUUUAUUCUUUCAGAAUUUUCCUGUGACGACUCCGAUGUCUGUUUUAUCUACCAAUCACCAGUGUGUUUUAUAUCUAAGGUCACAUCAUUGGAAACCAAGGUAAAAAAAUAAAAGUGCAAAAACCAUGAAUGGAAUAUGUAUUAUCACAUUUAUCUGGUUAUGUGCUUUCUUCCCGUGCUUUCUUCUCUUCCUAACCAUGGUCCGGAUUUCAAAGGGACUUAGUCUUUGCUCCUUUAGUUCAUUCCUAUCUCUCUUUCCUUUACAUUUUUCUGUCAUGACUACAUUAUUACAGCUUGACAUAGAUGCAGCUAUUGCAACUGCUGUGUUGGCGCGAAUGCCAUCCCUCCUUUUAGUAGACUUUGGUUCCCAUUUUGCUGGCUUCACCUCCGGGAUCCUCCGAGGUAGUGAUAACAUAUCAUCUACAUCAUAAAUUUUCUCACAUACUGUAUCACAACCUUUCCCUAACUUUGGUGGUGUUAUUGGGUUAUGAUAAUUAGUUUCUAGGUAUCCACUCUUAUUCUCAAUCUCCUUGGCUGCCAUCUUUCCUUCCUGCCUUCGGUCAUUGGAUUCCCCAACUUUUUGUGGCGUUACUGGAUUCCUCAUACAAGUCCUUUUUGAGGCCAUCUUCUUGCCAAUCCCACUUUCCAUUCAUCUACUACAUCUCUAUCAAUUGAACACCCUUUACCUUCAUUUAUUGCAGCAACAAUAGUCAAUAGGAUCCUGUGAUUCGUGUUUAUCUUCGUCUCUAGCCUAAACAUCCUCGCUUCCAAUUCCUCUUGCUGGCCUCCUAAUUUCAUCAUAGCCAUCUGUACACCUCGCAAUGCGUCAGCUGUUAAUUGGUCUGCACAACCUUUUUCAGCUUUUUCUUCAUCAUAUAACUUUCGGUCAACUACUCUCUCAGCCACUAUAACAUCAACCUACAAUAACAAGCCAAUUUUAGGAAACUUAAUCGACAUAAGUAUAUGAUCAUUGCAUUUAUUUUUUAUGAAAUCCUACCUCAUUGCCAUCAAAUAAUCCAGCACCUUGGAGUUCUAUUAUUUUGAAUUUCAAAUCAGUUUCAGCCCAAUACCAGAUUCGUGGCGUUGGCCUCAUGCUCAUUAGAAUAGGCUUACAUCUCCUCAAUUUCACAUGCUCUAAGUAGAAUAUCUAGCAUCACAAAUCGAUACCAAGUUAGUUGCUAAAAUGUAAAUGCAACUCUAACUUUUAAACAGCAAAUUGAGCUCACCAUCAAGAAAACCAUGCAGCCCCCCACUUCUGGAAAUGGUUUCUCUACUCUGUUCGCUAUGCCGUUGGCCAAUUCAUCUAAAACGUACUUUGACCAGUUUAUCAUUUCCAGUAGGUCCACCUUUGCCACCGCAGGAAUUAGAGUUCUACUGAUGCCAUAGCCUAUGGGUGGUGCCAGUAAUCUACCUAUCAAAUAUAGAACAAAUUUCACUUUAAACUCUGCCCCACUGCUAUCCAAUUGUUGUAUGUUCCUCCCCAAAUUUGCCAAACCGACCUGGUUUCCAAUAACAUUUAUAUUCAGCUCCCUCUCAAUUUUCUGGUCAACGCCAUGUGUACUUACCAUCAGUUGCAUUCCAUGACUUUUAAGUCCUAGAAUGUACUCCACAUCCCGUGGAGUAAUCUCUAGGUUAUAUCCAUGCACAUUUAGUGUUUUUUUGCUUGCAUCAAACCUCUCAAUAAGCCAUGACAAGAGCUCCAUAUUUAUGUCAAAUUGAUUAAAAUGCAAGAUAGAUCCGAAUCCUAUGCUUUCCACUGCCUUGACCUGGUCAUCAUUCAGUCCCUUCACUAUCUCCCUUACCAUAUACAUCGAAGAACUGGUGCUGUAUAUUACCUGUUUAGAUAUAUAAGUAAUCUCAUCACUAUAUCUUUUUUUCGAUACUGAUAAGCAUAUUAUUGUAAUACUUGUAAUUUUGCACUAUUGUCUCACCCCUUUGCCUCCACUUCCCAUUCCAUCGGGACCUCCUCGCACCUCCCUGCUAGCCAUAGACAAGCCAAACAAAAAAUUUUUUUAUCCCAGGUCCAUGUCCAUUUGCAAGUCCAAAAUCAAAUGGGCUCAGUUUCCAUACUAACAAGUCUCGGUUCUUAACAAAAAAAUGCACCCAAUAUAACAUAGAAUGCUGUUUCAUGCAUUUACCAUAACACAAUCAGAUUGAAAAUUUUCAUUUUCCCCUUUUUCUUAGCCUAUGUGAACAUAAAUAAGUUUCAUGGAUUUUCUCUGAUUUCUUUCCCUUUUCUUAGCCUAUGCGAACAUAAUUAUGUUUCAUGGAUUUUCUACGGUUUCUGCCUUCAAAUUUUUUUCACACAUACCUGUACGUUGGCCAAAUCGAUCCUUCACCUGGCCAAUCUGCUUCUAUUUCAAAAAAUACCGUUGUUGAUCCACUUGUUCUCGUACUUGAUCCACUCAUUCUAUUUCAAACCUGCCACUGCUUCUCUCGGCUAAUCUUUUGUCAGGUUUACCUCUUGUGGAGGAUGAUUCAUUACACCAUUUUGGAUGUCAAUCUGGUAAUUAAAAUUUGCAGCCAGCCCAUCUCACCUUGCCCAUCUCAUCUUGGGUCUCUUACUACGGUGGGGGUUUUCUUCGGCCUUGGGUCUUUUAGCGAUGAGGGAGUGCGAAAGUCUUUUAGUGAGGAGGGAGUGCGAAUUUUCUUCGGCCUUGGGUCUUUUAGCGAGGAGGGAGUGCGAAGCGUAAUUUCUCCAGAUGACUUGCCUAUUCUUCCUACCGAAGCCUCCUCAACUUUACUGAAGUGAAAAGUGAUAAGGUUCAACUUUACUAAAGUGAAAAGUGAAAAGUGAUCAGGUUCAACUUUUCCUUCAAUUUCCUUUUACCGGUUUUAUUAUUACUUUAUACUUACUUGUCCCCACAAUUCAGACUUGUUAGCUGGUAUAACUUCAACUCAAUACUUGUGUCGGUCUAAUACCAAUUGAGUGGUACAAACCACUGUACCAUUUUGAAGAGGCUUCGAUACAUACAGAUGUGGAGACAUUUUUCAAAAAAUUUUCUGCGGUGUUUCAAUCUCAACAAAGCAUCAGAUGUGUGUCACUGACAAACAUAGGUAGUCUCAACGUUUUUUUGCCAAAUGCCAAACCUGGAGGGCUAGAUUUUAGAUUUCCAAAUCAUAGGAGGAUAAUUUAAACAUUUGCUAAAUCACCAGGGUCUUUUUGGUAUUUAACCCAAUUUUCUUUCAUCCAUUGAAAAUGUAUUAGUACAUUUGCUUCUACACAAUCUAGUACUUCCAAUCUGUAUUCACUACUGCUCAAGCAAAUGUGAUGUUUGUUCUUGUUUUUCAACCUUCAUGUUUUCUCCCAAUCUGCAUGGAUGUCAGAUUUCUAUAGACCAAAUCCUUAUUCUUAUUAAGUUCAUAUUCUAAGUUUUGAAUCGAUAGUGAUUUGAUCAAACAUGUUUUUAUCAGUUUACACUUUCAAAAUGACAAUCAAAAUAUCAUAUAAGGGUGUACGUGUGUUGUGUGUGAGUUAGUGAGUGAGGGUGUGUUCAACUCCAUUUUGAAUUGUUCUAGGUAUUUGUAGAAUAUUAUUGAUCCAAAAUUCUACCAAUGUACAUUGGCCUUAAAUUAUUUUUCUUCAAAGAAAUGAAGCCUAAUGAUUUGUUGCGGUUACUUGUAGCAUUUUUAACAUGGAUAAGACCAAAGAAUUGCGGUCUCAGCCGGCCAUCCCGCGUAAAUUACUUGGUAAUUUUCUAUAUCUUGUCAUCUUUGUGUUUGUCAAGUUCAUAAACCUCAAUCGAGGAAGACAAAUGUACCUCUUUAUAAUCGUCUCUAUGAGCAGUCAAUAUCUCAUUAUAUAUCACAUCACAUACACAUAUCUUUUUUUUUUUUUUGGGUCAUAAUGACUAAAAACCAACAAUUCAUUCUAGAUUCAAUCUUAAAUAAUCAAAUAAUUGGCCCGUUUUGAUCAUUUUCCUCUAUUCGUUUUGAGAACAGUCUCUUAUUCUUCUUCAAUUUUGCUCCUCCAGAUCUUCCUCGAACUUCAUUAUGGCCACUAUGAACUUUGAUUCAAGCGUCAAAAUGAAAUUCCAGGGGGAAGAAGAUGAACCCCUAAAGCCAAAAACCAAUCUGAGAUUCAUCAUCUAUUUCAUUGUUAUUGUUGCUGCACUAUCCUCAGCUUUCACGAUAUGGAAAUCACACCUCAGAAGUCCCUCAACUGCAAUUCAAGUCGCCUGUUCGAGGACUUUUCAUCAUGAUUUAUGCUACAAAUCUCUAUUAUCCCUCCACAAGAACACCUCCAGGACCCCAUCAAACUCCAUCACCCUAUCACAAGUCUUCACUCUUUCACUGCAAGCCGGCAUAAACGAGCUCAGUGAUCAAAUUAUUCCUGAAUUAAAGAAAAAAUUGAUCACUGAAACUAAUCGAUGGAGACUAAGGAGUUUCAAAAAGUGUGACAACUGGCUGACUGAUUCGCUGGGAUUACUCAACAGUUCCUUGACAAUAAUGGGAGCUGAUGAGCCCAAUGAGAAAAUCUUUAGUGACGCGAAUUUUACCUUCUACAUGGAGGUCAAGAUCACUGAUGCAAGAGAUAAUAUAGCUGCAUGCAGGAGUGAAUCGAUCCACAUGAAGAUGAAAGAGGCCUGGUUCUAUGCGGAUAAUAGCUUGAGGAUUUUAUAUUACAGAACUGAAAUUCAUCAAGAGUUGAAUCCAACUAUAGCAAGUCUUUGGAACUCCCUAUUUAUGAGUGGAGCAUUUGGCAUGGUAUUGGCUUACAUACCAUUUGUCUUCUUAUUUUUUCUGGUUAUCUUGUUUUUAAGGACCUAAGUUUCAAUUUAGAGUGUUAAACCACUUUUGUUUACGGCAUAUCUUUAUCGCAAUAUGAUGUUAUCUUCUGUCUUUCCUAUUUUUCCCCACCUUUCUUUACCAUGUGUAGGUUUAUUUGUGAUUUUUCAUUUCUUUGGUGACUUGAAAAAGAUUUACAAAUGGUGGACUAAUAGAAUAAAAGGGAGAUCUGUUAGUACCAUACUUGAGAAUUUUUCAACUUUUUAAUUUAUUUAUUUACGUCAAAGUCUACUUUUACUACUUUGAGCAUGCAUGAAUAUAUUGUUAUAGGAGAUGAAAUGGAUCAAUGGAUGAACUAUAAUUAACCACCUCACUCCUUCUAGACUUAUUUUUGUAGAAUAUUUUCUUUACAAAUUAUGGGCCAUUUUCUAUGUCCAUUCCUCUUGAGCACCCAUGAGAUUAUAUUACAAGGCUUUGCCACAAGUUCAAGUAUUCAAGUUGUUUUUGUGUAAAACUUUCAAGAAUGGUUUCAUAAGUCAUACAUAAGGUUUACUGUAAUAUGUUUGUGUGUUUUGGUAGCAAUUUCUUGAAAACUCGUACUUUCUAAGUAAUUGUCUUGAAUUACACCAUAAUUUAUAAACACACACGCGUAAAUUAAAUUAUUAGCAAUAGAAAUAAAUUGUCUAGAAAUUUAAUACCUAAAAUUGAUAGUUCCUUUUCUUUUGGCUAAGGGGGAACAUUUAUGAUUUAUAUGCCUAUAUAGGGGUGGCAAUGGCGCGGGGGUGCCUCGUCCCCCGCCUCCCGCCCCGCCCCGCCCCGCUUCCCCCGCAGGGGCACCCGCGAGAUUAAAAAAAAUUUUAUUAUAAUUAAAUUUUAGCAAAUAAUCAAGUACUAAAAUAUCAACACAUCAUCAAAUUAUUAUUCAUUGUAAUUUCACAAUUGAAACUCAUAAAAAUAAUUAAACAAAAGUUAUGAUUAAAAAAUAUAACUAAAAUAAUCAAGUUUUCACUUUUGAUACAAAUACAAUCACUAAAUUAUUAUUGUGUCUUUUUAGAAAAAAGUGUUAUUGUAUUAAGUGUAGUUAGGAAAUUAAUAUAAACGUAUUAAUAAAUUUAGUAUAAAUAAUUAAUAAAUUUUAUUAAUAAACAUGUAUAAUUAGUAGUAUAAUUGAUAAUAUCAUUAUAUAUAUAAUUAUGUACAUAUAUAUAUUGUUUCAAAUGGGUGGCGGGGCGGGAGAAUAUACCCCCGUCCCCCGCCUUGUUUGUAAACGGGGGGAAAAAUUCCCCCCGGCCCCCGCCCCAACCCCCGCCUCAAUAGUCCCUCGCGGGGACACCCACCCCUAUGCCUAUAGUCAACAUUGAUGAAUAUGUGUACAAUAUAUAAAGGGAGAGCAACACUCUGUGGUCUAAAAACACAAUAAUGACACUUUUUAAAAUUUCUAAUCUAUCCUUAAUUAUACGGUUAAAUUGGUCCCAAUAUAUUCUAGAAAAAAACUCCCUAUAAUCAGCAAAAAGUUAUCCUUUUGAGAACAAAUUACAACUUCUUCACGAUAACUCCCUCACAUCCUUACUUUUUUCUCCAUCCCUUUAAGAUCUUGGAUAGAUAAUUUUUCCAAAAAUUUUUUUCGCUUGCAUCAUAAACACAUUUUCCAAUUUACUUUUUUAUAUUUCCAACCACCUUUUUAUCUCAUAUACAUUACAUCACAAAAAGUACUACAGUGAUUAUUUCAAAUAAUUAUUUGUAAUAAUACUCUAUCUAAACAAAGCCUAUGUGUACAACUUCUUCACACUAACUUCUUCACAUUGCCACUUUUUCCUCCAAGAUUUUUUAAAUAUAAUAACUUCCUCUGAAAUACUAACUAGAUUUUUUUGGAUAAAUACAUAUAUGUCUAACAUGACAUGUGACUUAACAUGAAAAAAAAUAAGGGCUGCAUUUUCUUGAAAAAAGCACACACCUAUGGUGUGCCAAAAGUAUACCUAAAAUUGAAAUUUUUUUAGAAUUAAUCUUUUAUACAUUGACAGUGUAUAUAUUUUCACUAUAGGAUGCAUGACAUAUAAUUUAAAUUUGAAUCUGAAACCUAAAUUUUGCACAUAUAUUAUGCAUUUAAUCGUGAUAGUGUAUAUACUGUCAGUAUAUAUAUUUACUCAAUUUUCUAUAACUAGUGGGGCCCUUGCCCCAUAUAACAAAUAUGCUCCUCCUCUGGUAGGGGCGUGCAAAAUCGAAAAAUUCCGAUUUACCGACCGAAUUCGAAUUGAAUUCGGAAUUUUCGAAAUCGGUAAAUCGGAAAUCGGAAUCGAAUUCGGAUUUUCCGAAUUCAUAUAUUUCGAAUUUGGUUCGAAUUCGGUAAUGGAGUUUUUCAAAUCGGAAUUUCCAAUUUCGAAUUCACAAUUCGAAAUCGGAAUUCGAAUUCCGAUUUCGAUUUCAAAUUCGUUUUUAAUAUAUAAAUAUAUUUUUUAUACAUGUAAUAUAAAAUUUAUACUAUAUAAUAUUAUAUAAAAUUUAUAUAAUAUAAUAUAAAAUUUAUAAAAUUUAUAUAAUAUUAUAUAAUAUUAUAUAUUAUUAUAAAUUUUAUAUUAUAUAAUAAUAUAUAAAUUUUUCCGAAUUCGGUGAAAUCGGUGAAAUCGGAAUUUACCGAAUUCAUUCCGAAUUGAAUUCGGUACGAAUUCGAAUUCGGAAUUGGUGAAUUCGAAAUCGAAUUCGAUCGAAUUACCAGGUACCAAAAUUUCGAAAAAUUCCGAAUUCAAACUUCCGAAUUACCGAAAUCGAAUUCGAUGCACACCCCUAUCCUCUGGUGGUCAGUGCUCUCCACUACAUCAGUCAAAAAUACUUGCGUGUUGGUCUUUUUAGAUCGUGGUUAGAAAUUUCCCGAAGUUUGACCUCUUGUUUCAUACUUUCAUAUAGUUUCAUUGGUUCAGAGACUUCCACAAAACUUGACUACUUCCACAGAAAUUUCCCGAGGCCAGAGUUGACUUGACUACUUCCACAAAACUUGCACAGUAUCCAUUGUCUGUUUGGAAGAUACUCAAGCAGCUGGAAAUAAAUAAUAUCUUUUCCACUCCAUAUUCCCACUCGACAGAGUAUCAUCUCCUUAUUCUCAAACAAAUCCCACAAGAAAGUGUGGAAAUCAGAUAUGAACUCAGUCACCAACAAGGAUAGGCACCUGAUGGAAGAUCCAGCUUCGAGACAGAAAAAGAAGAUAAGGAGCUACGUUUUUUUCAUCGUCUUAUUCACAGUUAUCAUCGGAUCAAUCAUCACAGUUUCCAUAGCUCUCAUACAAGAAAAAGAGUCUGAGUUACUCUCCGCUUCAACUCCAGAUAGCGCAAUUCAUGCCAUCUGCAAGCUGACUCCAAAACCAACCUCAUGUUUCGACUCCAUAUGGAGCCUCCGCACGAAUUUCUCCACCGAUUUAGGCAAGAUCAAGACCACCCCAUCAAGAAUUUUCGCCCUCUCUCUCCGAGCUGCUAUCAAUCAGCUAGAGGACUCGAUUUCAGCUAAUGAAAAGGCAAUCUCUGAGGUCAAAGAUUCAAGAACUUUGACAGUUUUGAAAGACUGCGAUGUUUUGUUCAGGAAUUCUUCAAGGCUUGUAAACGCGUCUGUGACUGCAAUGGGAGUCGAAUCCGAUGACAAAAUCUUUAAGGUCGCGAAAUCUGUUGAUGACAUGAAAGAAUGGAUGUCAAGCUCUGCUGCAAAUAUAGACAAAUGUUUGGCCGGAUUGAGAUAUGAUCUUCAAGGAUCGAUAAAUGGGAAGUCUUAUUAUAGUCUACGGGAAAUGAGGAUCAAGGUUUCGCACGCGAGGGAUGAUGUAGCUAAUAGCUUGGUAAUGCUAGAAAAGAUGGACACCAUUCUCGGCAUGUUUAAUCAGACUAUAUUUGAUGGGAUUUUUGAGUUUGAUAUACUGGAAUAUCUUGGUUUUGGAUUGGUCCUUUAUGUUCCACAAUAUUUGGUCUUAGUCGUUCUUAUUUGCACGGUGCUACGAUUGUAAAUUAAUGAUAUUGGAACUUGGAAGAACAGUCCACAGACCUGAGAAAUGUGGACACUUUUUUGUGUAAUUUUUGCUCUUGUUGUGUAGACCGCUGUGUAGCCUAUAUGGUGAGUUAAUCACAGUCAAUAAGUCAACCUUCAGAUUCAUUUGUGAUUUUUCUAAAUAAUAUGUUUUUAAAGCACUUGUUAACGCGUCUAAUAUUCACCUAACUUAUCAGAUAUAUAUACAUACUAACAAUUAUUAUCUUCCUUAUAUUUAUAUACUUUUCCUAUUUAAUCUUACCUAAUAUCUCUUGUAUUUAUUUAUUUUCUCUAAUUAAUCUUAUAUUUUCAAAAAUAUAAGACCAGAAGGGCACACGCUAGACAGACUAAUCAUUUGCAGAGAAAAUUUUUGGAGAAUUCUUGAUCGAAUUGGAACUUUGCAAUUUAUGUCACAAAGGGAAUUUUAUCUUAAAAAAAAUUAUGCCUUUGAUUCAAAUAUUGAAAAAGUAAUUUAACAAAAAAUUUUCUUUUAUUUUUCCUUUCCCAUUUACAAAAAUCCAAUAUCAUCACUAGUAUAGUAUACUAUUCAUAGUUGUUUCACAAAGAAUGGCAACCUUUUUUUUCUUUUUAAGAAUGGCAAUCUUAUUUACCAUAUUAGUGAUUUAGUAAUGUAAAAAGGCAAAGACUAUUUUUUACUAGCAAGCACCUUGUUUCGAUCGACUAUACAUGAAAAUUGACAGACCAAAUCCAAAUUCCGGAAAAGCUAUUGGGCCAACAAAAUAGUACUGAAGUAGUAGUAAUAGAAUUCAUUGGGCCGGUCCAUAACAAUAGACCCUCCUAGUCCUUUCCAUAUAGCCCUAAUACCAAAUACAAAAACCCUCAUUCCGCUGCUGGGAAAUUUGCAUUUGCUAGGGUUUUGUUUCGUUCCCACUUCUCAGUCGGCAGCUCAAUUUUCAGUCUCUCUCUCUCUCUCUCAGAGCCACCGUCGUUGAAAAUGGUAAUAAAAAGCCCUUUAAUUUCAGUCUUAACGUUAAUCUUCAUAUUAAUCUCUGUCUUCCUUCAUGGUAAAAGCUUCUUAAUUUCUCCUGUUCUUCCUCAGAAUCGAGUUUGUAGUGUACUUUUGUACUGUUUUUCUGGGAUUGCAUUGAUUUUUUCGGCUAUGAAUGUUGUAGAAUGGUAAUAUUAAUCAUAUUCCUGUUUUCCAUUUGGUCUGCUCCUUUAAAAUUUAGCAAAAAUGUUGUGAAACUCUUAUAGUUUUCGUUGUGGAUGAUAUUUGUGAUUAUAGAAGAUAUAAUAAGGGUUGAAUGGUGGUUUUGCAGUCGAAGAGAAGGCAAAGGGAGCCGAAGGAGGAGAAUGUGACCUUGGGCCCUGCUACCAGGGACGGAGAGCAAGUUUUUGGGGUUGCCCACAUUUUUGCCUCCUUCAAUGACACCUUUAUUGUAUGUUUCACAUUUUGUUGUAUUUGAAUAUGGGGUGUGAAUUUUUUGUUUUUUUAUUUUCAGAUUUUCUUCUGAUUGGAAUCUUUAAAUUUGAGAUCGUUUUUGAGUUUCCUUGUUUUCUUUCCUACCUGCAGCAUGUGACUGAUCUAUCUGGACGAGAAACACUCGUUCGCAUUACUGGUAAAGAUUCUAGUCUUUUCAAUCCUUUCUCUUGACUUUGUGGGAAAAGAAAAGUUUUUGAGUCGUUGUUUUGUCAACUUUUGCAUUGUAGAGAUUUAAGAAACUAAAAUGGCAGUCAAAGAAGGUUAAAAAGUAUGUUACAGACACCAAUCAGUAAAAUCUGAACCCCAAGUAAAAUUGGAGCCAAUUUUUUGAUAUUUUGCCUGUUGGUUAUACUUGUAUCAUUUUUAACGUAACUUGAUAACUAACUAACUUGGAGAAGGAAUAUAUUGAAUCGUGGCUAGUUGGAAUUGAAAAAUAAUGCUUCUUUUGAAUUUGCAGCUUCUAAUUUUAUGGUGUUUGGACGAUUAUUUUUAAAGAUUGCUGUUAAAUGCAAUGCGCACUUGCAAUGUUUUCAAAUAAAAGCUUGCUUUUGGUAUGAAUUUCUUGGUGAAACCAUACAAACAGAUAUUAUUUGGGUUGUCAUUUGCUCAUCUUUCCUACUUGAUUUCCUUUCUUUGGAGAUAGACAAAAUUGUUUUGUUCAUGAAUAUUGUUCCUUUGUUUUGUUCAUGAAUAUUGUUCCUUUCCCUGAUGUCUCUCGAGUGAUUAUAGAAUAUAUUAUGUCUAGUUGAAUUACUAAAGGGCGUAGUUGAUCUUAUUGCUGUUACUGGUAUCAUAUACAUUUAGGAUAGAUCUCUUAACUGGGAAAGCAAAAUUUGGUCAUAGAUUUUAUCAUAUCCCUUCUCUUUUAGUUAUUUUAGUCACCCUUCCUUGGUUGGAUUGUGUUAGUUGUUGAAUGUAUUUCCAUUCAUAUGACAAGGUGAAGUACUAAAUUCUCUUGUUGUCUGGCCUACUUCUGCAGGUGGCAUGAAAGUUAAGGCUGAUAGAGAUGAAUCAUCCCCAUAUGCAGCUAUGCUUGCAGCGCAAGAUAUUGCUCAAAGAUGCAAGGUCGUUAUCACAUCCUUAGCUUGAUAUUCAUAUUUGGUAAAUAAAACUGAAUUACUAGCAAGUGUUGUAAGAUCUGAUAGCCUAAUUGCUUGUCUUUUGUUUCAUAUUAAUGGACUUAUUUGUUGCAUUUUUUGAUUACUGCCUAUUAUUUUUGCUGAUACUGUCAUCUCUUUGUAAUGGUUUUUGCAGGAACUUGGCAUCACUGCCCUUCAUAUUAAGCUCAGAGCCACUGGUGGUAACAAGACAAAGACUCCAGGCCCUGGUGCUCAGUCUGCUCUCCGUGCCCUUGCUCGUUCAGGAAUGAAAAUUGGUCGUAUAGGUAAACAUUUUCUUUGGGAUCAGAAGCAUCAUUACUUGCUCCUUUUUUAUUCCAUAUGAUGCCCAGGGUUGUUUUAGGUUGGAUGCAAGUGUUUUAUGAGUAGGUAGAAUCUCUGUGAGCCCUUGGCUGCAUGCUUCACUAUUGGAGGGGUGCGGUGAUAAGAGUUAUUUGCUUGAACCAUACAACAGAGCAUCUAAUAUAGUAACUACAGAAGAUAGAUCAUUCGUCUUAGAAUACAAUUUGUAUUUAGGUGCAACGGAGUGGGUGAAAAUGGUUUGCUUUGCAUUAAACUGACUGGUGAGUGUACCUGAAAACAAAAUAAGUUACCAUGGAGAGAGAUAACCAGAUUAAAUGUUUGUUGUCUAAAUCUUUCAGUAAAGUGUCACAACAAUAUCUUGAAGUGAAUACAAAUGUAAUUGGUUUUAUUUUGUAGUUUGACAUUUUUUGUUUCAAAACUACGAGGCCUUUGCUUGAACUUGAACUCUAGGUGAUCUCUAAGCUAUCUGUUUUUGAAAAAUUUGGUAGAAAUUGAAAUAUCAAAGGACUUCACCAGAAGUUGAAAUGCUUGUUGUGAAUCAAAAAAAUCUUUUUGCUUCUGCUGCUUAAUUAAUAUCUCGUCUCUUGAUAAAAAUUAGGGAGUCGAACAAGUAUUAUUUAUUUCCUAUUCAGAACUGAAUUUUUUUGGCAUAUUCUGCCUGCUAUUGGUUUGAUUUUGGAGUUCAUUAAGUUAUCCUAGAUUUGGAUCAGAUACUCCUCAUCACAUAGCUAAAAUAUGAUUGCACCCUUUUUUUUUUUCUAACAUCAGUUUUGGGUGCAUAUUAACUGACUUGAAAAUGUUAUUUUCCCAGAGGAUGUAACUCCAAUUCCUACUGAUAGCACUCGCCGAAAGGGUGGUAGACGUGGAAGAAGGCUGUAAGCUUUGGUUCUUAUCCAAUCUAAACUUCAUCACAUCAGCAGGGACCCUGAUUUUUCGUUGGACAUGGUAGUAUUGUAGCUUGAGGUGACAGAAUUUAGGUUGUAUGGAAAUGAGGGAUACUCAUUCCUGCCUUUUUGUUUCCGUGGUGAAAUUGGCCUGUCCGGUUCUCCUUUGAGUCUGUUGGUUGCUUAGAUCAUGGAUACUUCACCUGUUAAAAUGUAUUUGGUUUUUCAACUUAUUCGGUUGGCAAGAUAUCAAGCUUUGAGACCUUUGCGUUGUGCUUUAAAAUUUAAUUGAUGUGUGGAUUGGAUUUAUUAGAUUAUCCCAGCUAUUGUCUGGCUUACUAAAUCCCAAGAACAGGUAAAACGAAAUAGGACGCUCAAGUGUGUGCAUUGUUCUGUUUUGGAAAUUCAGUAAGGUGGACUAAACUGAUAAUUUCUGGCGUUUUCCCUCCAUUCUUCGUUCCUCCAUUGUUGCAGGUGAUGUUUCUUUCCUUUCCUCUCCAGUUAAUCUCCCAAACGAGAUGCGGGUUUUCAUUACCCCCUCUUCUUUUUCUACACCCAGACAAGGCCUAAACUAUCGUUUAAUUAAUUAUCAAUUUGUGCUGCUGCAUAAGCUCCUUUGGCGGAGAUUUCCAGAAAUAGGAAUUGCAGAGAAUUUUUCAUUACAACUCUACUCGCGUUGUUGGUGCAGCAGCUGAUAGGCAAUUAUCUAGCUGUUUUGGAUCAGUUGAAGUCCCAACUGUCCCAGAAAUAAGAUGCCAAUUAAUCAAAUACCUAUACAGCAUAAUAUUGGCACAAGCUCUGGGAUGUGCAAAUAUUCAAGGGCCAUCUCGACAAGAAACUUCUAUCAUUUUUCAUCCAUCCUAGCUUGGAAAGUUUCAAUCGUCGACUAUGGUCUUCAGGCUAUCAUUUUUAAUCCAACCUUAGCUUGGAAAGUUUCCAAACGUUGACUUGAAGGUGUAGUAGGUAUACGACCACACUUGGUAACUAUAAACUAAUUCCCCAGUCAGUCUUUUAUCUUUACAUCUUCAAGUUUCCUACUUUCCCUUUUCAUAAGAAUCGAAACUCCUACUGAUCUGCCCUCUUCAAUCAACCAUCAUACAAAUCUUGCCCCCAUUUCCUGAAUUUCCAAGCCUUGGAGGCAGAGAUGGAGUCAGCCAACAACAGACUAUUAGAAGAUCAAUAUUCAAGACGAAAAAGGAAGAUAACCAUCAUCAUUUCUUUGAUCAUCUCAUUCACAAUCAUUAUCAGUUCAAUCAUCUCAGUCUUAACCAUCCUCAAGCACAAAGUAGAGUCUCAAUCACUCUCUAAUGCGCCUCCAAGCAAAGCAAUCAGAGCCAUCUGUUCUCUAACUCCAUCCCGCCGCUUAUGUUUCAAGCAGAUAUGGAAACUCCAGCAAAGCCAGGCUUCAUCGAAGAUUAAUCCUUCACAGAUAUUUGCUCUUUCACUCAGUGCUUCUUUUGAUGAGCUCACCAUCCUUAAUUCCCAAAGGCAGAGGGUAAUCUCAAAAGUCAAUGCUUCUUCUGCAAGUGUCUUUCCAUCUCUACAAGAAUGUGAAAGUUUGAUCAGUGAUUCCCUAAGACUUGUUAACAUGUCUGUGACAAAAAUUGGGAUUGUCCCCGAUGGCAACAUCUUUAAGGAAACAAAAACCGUUGUGGAUUUGAUGGAAUGGACCUCUGCUGCUAAGGAGAGUCUGGAGAGGUGCAGGGAUGAAUUGGAGAAUGAUAAUGAAGGAUUGGUAUCUGGAAAAUUUUAUUUGGUGAGAAUGAAGAUGCGGAUGCUUGUGACAAGGAAAUAUCUGGAGAAUAGCUCAGUGAUUUUGGCCAAGAUGGAUACUAUUCUGGACAUGUUUUAUCAUCCUCUCCAGAGUAUUCUGUCAAAUUUUAUGCUCAGUGCAAGUGGAUUUGAUUUUGGUAUAGUCUUUUUUGGCUCACAGUAUUUGUUGUUAGUUUUUCUGUUUUGCCUGUUGGUGCGAUUAUACUAAAUUGCAACAGUUAUAUGACUUCAGAAAUGAGGAUGGAUGGUCUCUUCUUCUUGUCAAAUUUAAAUUUCUUUUCCUGACUCUUUAAUAUUUAAGAUCAAUCAUGUAUAUACUAGUGAUUUACCAAGUCCUAAACCAUACAUGAGUGAGUAUUGAAAAAAAGUUUUUUUUUUUGGGGGUAAAUAUGCAAAAAAGAUUGAAUCAAACUCCAAAUAUUAGAUGCAUGAUGAUCUCUUUUAGAGUUUUAGUAGUAUUGUUGACUGUUAACUCAGUGUCACAAAUUUGGGAUUCUUGUAGUUGCAUUUACAUUAGAAGGAUCUUUCAACAAAAAUUCUAAAAGAUGUAUAUGUUCUGUCAAGUUUUUGAAGUCAUUUAUUUGAAUUAAAAUUUUCCUUAUGUACAUUUGUCAAUAUAUUGUAGUGUUGCAUCUUUCUUUUAUCUUUAUUCAUGGUCCAGGAGUGAUAGAUUACGUUUCCAAGUUCUUUUCCCAUCUCCCAAACCCCUCAGCUUCAUAGAACUUUUCAAAAACAAACCUUGAGAAUUCAGACGACAUUAUUUUUACCUAAUAAAUUCCUUAAAUUUCACCUACAAUAAAUAUUCCUUUCUAUUUAUGGCUGAAAAUUUUUCCCUUGUCUUUUCUAGAAUCAAUUGCAGUUUAAUAUUAAUUCUGUCAAUUACAGUUUAAUUUCCAAUUGAUGGUGUUAAAAAAGGGACACAAUGCUCGUAUAGUCUAAUUUCUUUGGCCAUGUCCUAAUUUGCAAGAGUUUUAUUUUUUAUUUUUGAUAACAAAACAUAUUUCAUUAAUGGAUUGUUGGAAAUCGUCCAGCACGAUUGAUAUACAUCGUUGCCCUAAUGGCAGAUAAAACGUGCACUAAAAUUGUAGAUCUGCAAGUUAACGGAUACAAAAGACCUGAAAAAUUAAAAACAGAUAUAAAAAGUACCAUCAAUUUUAAAAUUAUCUUCUCAUAGAAUAAAUCGCUGCAGCCCACUUUGUGCAUGUUGCAAUCGUCAAAUCUGCUAAUCAACAGUUGUAAGCUCCAAUAAAGAUGAUGAGAUCUGCCGACAUAAAUCCAAAUCUAAAAUAAAUUCAUAUAUAUGACAACCACAUUUGAAGUGAAUUCAAAUUUAAACAAUAAAAUAAGGAAAAAUAACACAAAAUCUCACUUAAAACUGUUAGGAGAACAAAAAUUCUCACUAGGAAUCUUAGGAGAAACAAAGAUCUCCCACUAAAAAAAUUCAGAGGAGACUUUAUUAGAAAAAUAACAAAAACGAAACCUAUGGACUUGAAGAGGAAGGGAUUAAGAGAAAAGGAGCAGCAGAGAGAAGUUGGAGAAGUGGAGAAGAGGAGAAGUGGCUGUCACUACCCCUUUUAGCCCUCUUGGUAGGUUUGCAAGAGUUUUAUUAGUUCCCUCCUAUUCAUGUCAAAUUGAGUGCACAUCAAAUUUUGCUUGACAAAUUUGAGAGCAGUCUACCAACGGAGCGAACAUUGGAUUUUGUUGGUUGGUUAAUUUUGAGAGAAUUUGACCAAAAAGGAUCGAAUUGGACAAGUGGGAUACUUGUCCGAAAGAGACACAAGAUAUUUUGUAGCUUGUCAAACAAAUCACAAAACCUAAUACCACAAAGGACUCAAAAGUAAAAUCUAAAAUGGAAGAGGUUGAAACAAAACAAGUACUCAACUAAGGGACCAAUGGAGUAAAUCUGAAAUAGACGAGACAAAAGUAGAAAUAUAGCUAAGUUCAAGGUACUGAAACUGCAAUUAUCCAAGCACUUGAAAUAUUAUCCUUCUCUUGCCCAAUAAUUCAUUCGGGUGUACUUGUGCAGUGGUGUCUUACAGAGCAAUAAUGUACUCGGGCAGGUAGAAUAAUAGUUUGUUGUAAAUAUGUGUAUUUAAUUUACAUCAUCAAGAUUUGGUGUAUAAAUGCAUUCAAAAAUGGUACCUUUUGCAAAUUACAUAAACAAAUAAACCUACACAUAUUUAAGUGUGCAAUCAAAUCGUAUAACAAAUAUAUUAAUCAAGGAAAUGGACACAAACAGUUGUCGGUGUAACUAUUUGUAAACAGCGUAAUAUUUUUUUGAAUACAUUGUAAUUCAUUACAAACUAUUUAUACAGUUUCAUAAUAAUCAUAUUAAUAUAAUCAACUAUUUUCCACGUAAAAUUACACAUACCAAUUAUGUCAUAGUUAUAUAUCAUGAUCCCGAUCGUAUGAUUUUAAAAUUUAUAGGCCCCCAGAACUUUGGUCUAGUGGUAGUAGUCUAGUUAGGUGAGUACCACUGUUAAGGAUCGAAUUUCCGGUGAAACAACUCACACGGCUUGAUCAGGUUGGUGUGGAACACGUGUGAAUUAGUCUGGUGAUUCAGGAUAUCACACGUCAACAAAUAACAAAAAAAAAAAAAGAUUUUAAAAUUUAUAGUGAUAGCUAAAUUCGGACCGUAGAUUGCUUGGAACGGUUGGUAGGACGUCCAUUCUAAUCGUAUAACAAAUAUACAAUAACCGUAUACGGUGACACACACCACAAUUGCAUCUCUACCUCACUCGAAUACAACUAACUGUCUUAUCCAAACCAGGGAAACAGAAAGGGCAAAAAAUGAGUAAAUAAAUGCCCAAUGCAGCAGUAACAGUUGGCUGACAAAUGAGCAAAAAAAUACUACUAUAUUGGUCAAUGUUUACUUAGCACUAAUUAAACCCCAACUAAUAAAACUUGCAAUCUCAGACCAAGAAAACCAGACAAAAACUACCAACUCCCAAAGUCCCAAUUCCCCAGAACCAAAGUCACCAGGCCGCUAUGGACAACUUCCAAGCCACCAGCAAACUCAGCCUCAUCGAAAACCAACGAAAACAACAACAGCAGCAGCAGUCUUCUUCAUUAUCCUCAAACCUUAAACGAAACAAAAUCCUAAUCAAAACCUUCUUCUCACUAAUCAUCCUGUUGGCUUUCAUUACAGGUGCAAUGGUCAUAAAUCUCAUCCAUAGGCACAACAAAUCCCAAGAAAAGCUCAAACUCGACCAACAGACCGAGUCACUCCGAGGUUUCUGCUCCGUGACUCGGUUCCCGGAUCACUGCCUCAACUCAGUCAUUCUCCUACCUGACAACAGCCCAGAUGAUAUUUUCAUCGCAUCUCUCGAUUUAGCUAUAGAACGAGUCGUCAACCUCACUGUUCUCGCGAGGGCUCUGAUCUUGCAGUCAAGUUCUGAUGCUGCUACUGAAUCAAGAAACGAGUCAGCCCUGUUCAGGUGCUCGAGUUUGAUCGAUGACUCUUUGAACCGGCUCAACAGAUCUUUGACUGCCUCCGGUGAGUCGUCGUUGUUCGGUCUCCGAGUUGACUCGGGGGAGAUGGAAGAACUGGUCAGGGAGAAGAGUAAGGAGGUGAGUUCGUGGGUGAAUAAGGCGGCGAAUGAUCUUUGGAGAUGUUUCGGGACUCUUGGGGAAGACAAUUCGACGGCUGUGAUUGAAUUGAGAAGUGGGGUGUAUGAUGGUAUAAUGCGCGUGAGUAACAUCUUUGAUUUUCUCGAAUGCAGAGAUCGGAUAGUUGAUGACAUUAAAGCUCGACGAGAAAGCCAUGAGUACUAUAUCCCGCCUAGGGAUGAUUUGGAAUAUAUAAUUAUAUUUUCCCCUCAAUAUUUUGUUUUGAUAUUUUUGUUAUGGCUACUUUUACGUAUUUAUUGAUGUAAAUUGAUGAACUAUUGUUCAAUUAUACGUUUUUGUUUCCCUUCCCAAUAGUGAAUUUUCUUUGUUUUGAGAUGUGAGAUUCAUGAUUCCUUGCCUUCUUGGGUUCAAUUGAAAAUGGCUUGCUUCAAUCUUGAAUUUAUGUUAAUUUAGUAAAUCUCGAUUAAGGUAAUUAAAUAUGCUGUUAAAUAGUAUAAUAGUUGUUUGGAAGGGGUCUUAGAGUUCUCUCCACUCCUUCCCUGCAGGCAGGAUUAGAGUUCGAAUCGUAGGUAAGUCGAAUUGUGAGUCUAAUAGCGACGAAUUGUAGGUCGGGUGGUGUUUCAGUCCUCACCUGCCCCAUAGUCCAGUUGGGUCUCCCCUUAAAUAGAUAUAAAUAAAAUAGCGGCGAAUGACAAAAAAAAAAAAAAGAAUUGUGAGUCUGACAAAAAUGUGUUUUACUAUAGAAAUUUAACAAAACUUUGAAAUAAUUAAUCAUAAAUGACAGAUUAUUGGUCCAUUGCGUUGAUUUUCUAGUUGAUAUAAUAGAAUAAGAUAAAAAGUAACAUGCGACUUGAAGAACACGAUCCAUUGUGAACUUUUUUUUUUUUAAUUGUAAGAGGUUUUUAAAUUAUGGAAGUUGUUCAAAUGCCAACCAAUUCCUCAUUUCCUAAGUAGAAAUGUCCUUGGUUGUUGAUCAAAUCAUAUACAUUGCCCAUUGGCAAACUCACUUCUUUAUUGUUGUCAAUGUUCAUAUUUCAUCUUUCAGAACUUUUAUAACAUCCAAGCAAUUUUUUAUUCUGAUUCCUAACACCAAAUGAUCCUGUAAGAACAUUGAUCAUCAAGACAGAAAUUUUCUAAUCUUGAUGGCCUCUUUCAUCAUCAUGACAAAGUGCAACAAAUUGCAAGUUUGCAACAAUCAAAGCAAGAAGCCAAAUCAAAAUCAUACUUCAAAAAAUCCAUCAUCUUUAAUUAUUACUGAAAGAACUGCAUUAUCAUGACUCCCAUCAUAUUAAUUGGGGCCACUAUUUUCUCAUGGCCGUGAUAUACACAAUUCACAAGCUGUUGAGGUUGUAAACAUGAGGAUUAUGGCUUGUGAUUACCGCAUUUCUAUCAUGAGCCUUGGUUCAACGAUGUAUCCGACAGAGCCUAUAUGUCAAAUGUAUUGAACUUAAGAAACACUUCAAGGCAAAUUAAAAAAAAAAGAAAGAAAGGAAAAGGUGAAAGUGCUAGUGGUUUAAGCGAAGAAGAAAGAAUUAUGAUAACUUAUUAGAUAUUAAGAAAUUGAAAGUUGAAGAGGAUCAAUCUGUUGUGAUUUGUGAAAUGGUGAUUAUAUCUAAAUGUGCAAAUUGGUUUAAAGAGCAUAAUCUUUAAAAUUUCCUCCCUCAGGGUAUGUUUAAAACUUGGGAUAAUUUCAGAAACCUCCCCUGAGGUUUUUGAUAAUUUCACAUGGCAAUGCUAAAAUUUUAAAAAUUACACCUACCUCACUUGCUUAUUGAAAAUGACAAAACGAAUCUUAAUAUUUUAAUAAAACUCCCUUGUUGCUAUGUUUACACAAAGGAUGGAUUUUGUAUUUUUUUUAUUCAUUUCUCUUAUAUUUCAUUAGAAAUAUAGAAGAAUUAUUAAUAUUGUUCCUAAUCAAAUAUUAAACUACUAAUAUUUUUUUGAUAAUUUUUAAUAUCAUCCCUUUUUUGUAGCUCUUUUUUUUUAAUCAAAAUCAAGAAUAAAUUAACAAUAACUAUAAAACAGAUGAGCCAAAAAAAUCACUACCAAACUAUAGCAGUUCUAUCAUUGAACUGGUCCAAUAAAAAAAAAUAGUCCAUAAACUUAAAAAAAUAGAUAACUUUUUCUUCUUUAUCUUAAAAAAAGUAGCCUAUUACAACAAAAGAUUUAUUAUUAUAAUUGUUUUUCUUGAUUUAAUGUUUGCAUGAAAAACUUGACACUGAUUUCCUUUACUCCAUUGUGCCAAAUUAUUUUGGUGACCAAAGUGUCUAAUCAAGGUGAUAAGUGUAAUUUCAAGACCUUGAGUGAAGAAAUGAAAUAGUCAGAUUAGGGGAGGUUUUUCAAAUUAUCCCUUAAAAUUUAGUGCCAUAUUCACUGGCAUUGCUGAAUCCCAAGAGUGAAUUUGGUGAAUCCCAAAACGGUGACAUAGAUGGUGUAACGCUGUUGGCUCUACCUCUUCACACAGAAAGGCACACAAUUUGCAUAUGCUUGUUACUACAGGGAUCUUCAUCUGCUUUUUCACUCAAGAAAUCAAAAUAAUCACAACCUACUGUACUAAUCAGCGAUCUCAAACAAAAACCAAAACAUUUCGAGCCACAUCGAGGCAUUCAACGAUUCCUUCAUGGUCUCCAGCUGCAGAGUAAGCCUAUUGCAGGCUCAAUCACAGCAAUCAUCAUCAAGAAUUCUACAACCUAGAUCCCACAAAAGCCUCACCAUGAUCAUCUCCUUCUCGUUAAUCAUCCUGGUUUCUGUCAUCACAGGCACCAUAAUCUUAUCCCACCUGAAAAAUGGUAAAAACAACCACACCACCGAGUCACUCAGGCCAAACUCAGCAAACUUGAAGACCUUAUGUUCCGUGACUCACGACCCUGAGUUAUGCUUCACCUCUAUAUCCCCCGCCAUCGAGGAAACUGAAACCGACCCGGAUGAUAUUUUCGCCGCCUCUAUCAAGGUAGCCAUUGCUAAUAUCACCGGCCUGGCUCCGUUGAUGAAAGAAGUUUUACUGAGUUCGAACAUGAUUGGAGCUGAGUCAGCUCUGGAAUUCUGCACGUGGGCAUUCUCCGACUCACUGAGUCACCUCGAUAGGACUUUAAAGGCAGUACUACUGGAGAAAGAAGGAAACUACCGGGUCUUUUCUUCCGUUGACUUUGUGACGGUGGCGUGGACUUCUGAUCGGGGGGAAGACAUGAUAACGUGGCUGAUCAGCGCGUUGAGUGCUUUAGACAACUGUGGUGAUAUUUUGGAUGAGGUUGGGUCAAUGGCUGUAAAUGACUUGAGCUUGAAGGUGUACAGAGCUAGGGUGCAGGUCAACUACUGCAGCAGCUUUCUCUCGUUUAAAGAUCAGAUAUUGCCAUUUUUACUCUUUCAUCAGCUGAAAAAACUGACAAAAUGGUGAGAGUAUAUUUUGAGUAUUUGCUCACUUUAAUUACGUGUAUGGACAGGAAAUUAUUUGAAAUUUUUUUUGAAAUAUUAUUGUGACACUUUUUGUGAUAUAAUAUAUAUAAAAUGGCUAAAAUGAUGAUAUGAAAAAUAUAAAAAUAGGUGACUGAAAAACGUGUUUAUGAUUCAAUCAAAUUUUUAUUUUUUGACAAAUGUUUGGCAAUUCAAACCAAACUUUUGCCCUCAAUGCCACGUUUUUUAUUUUCCACGAGCAAUGAAUCGGUACUAAAGGUAUAUAUUUGGAAUAUAUACUUAUAUUCCCCCCACCUCUAUAUUUUUUUGUCAUGUUUGGUUUUGCGUAAAUAUUGAUGUAAAUUAAUGGACUAUAACUUAGUGACACCUUUUCUUAAUAGUAAAUUUUCUCCCUUUUGAGAUAUGGGAUUCAUGUUUUCUUGCUUUCUCUGGUUCAAGGGCUUUUAAUCAAGAGCCCUUGAUUCAGUGAUGGCAAAUUCUAAGGUCAAACGUAUUGAACUUGGGAAACAAUUCAAAGAAACUAAGUAAUAUAAUAUGGAAGAAAAGAAAAACUCUAGUACCUCAAGUAAAUGACAAAGGCAUAGAAGAACUAGUUAAAUAUUAACAAAUUGUAAGUGAGGAGCAUCUCUCUAAUUGUCAAAUAAAAUAAACAAUGAUUUCUUACAGCUAGUUUGGAAGUUUAGGAUAGAAAAUAAAGGAAGAGAAAGCAUAAGUUAUGAAAAAAAAAAGAAAAGAAGAGAAAAAAAGAAAAUUUAGUAUUGAUGUUGUUUGAGGGUAUAAAAAAAAGGAAAUAAUAUUAGAUACAUAUGUCAAUAAAACUUUUUUUAAUAAAUAUUUAAAGAUAAAAAUGGUAUCUUAAAAAAAUUUAUAAUACUUGCUUCAACUUUCUUUCAUUUUUUGCCCAUAUUUGGACCAAAUUUUUUUUUUAACUAUCAGAGCCAUCCAUCCAAAUCUUCUUAUUUUUUUUUCUUUGCUCAACAACUCGAAAACAUCACAAAAGAGUUAUCUUCUCUCAUUUUCUUUUCUUUUCUUUUCCCGUCAAAUCUAAGCUCCCAAACUAAACGUUAGACUCAUUACAUAUAGUGGUUAAGUUUAAGACUAAAUGUACAUAAUGGUUUACAGAUAAUGAAUAACCUUCAAAUUCUAGUGUCAUAAUUAGUGAUUGUUGAAACCAACAACGUUUGACUCUUGAGCUCGGAUGCUUUGCUUUGGCUUUAUCUCUUCACACACACACACACAAGGAACAAGCAGUCCUACAGGAUCAUCUUCAUCUGUUCAUGCCAUCAUUCUACUCAGAAAUGAAAAACACAAACUGAUCAGUCACCUCACCAAAAUCAGACCAUUUCAGGCCAUCAUGGACUCGGUCAACGAUUCCCUCAUGGCCUCCAGCAAAGUGAGUCUAUUGCAACACCAUCCACAGCAGCCAUCUUCGUCAAGAAAUCUACUAAAAACCUACAAAACCCUCAUCAUAAUCAUCUCUUUCUGUUUUAUCAUCCUUGCUUCUCUCAUCUUAAGCACCAUAAUCUUAUUCCACAUGCAUAACCGCAACAACUAUAACCUCACCUCCGAGCCCACCGAGUCACUCUGGUCGAACUCGGCAAACUUGAAGACCUUUUGUUCCGUCGUGUCUCAGGACCCCGACUUAUGCUUUACCUCUAUAUCCUCCUCUAUCAAGGGAACCGAGACCGACCCAGAUGACAUUUUUGCCGUCUCUAUCAAGGUAGCCAUUGAUAAUGUCACCAGCCUGGCUCCAUUGAUGAGAGAAGUUUUGCUGAGCAGGACUGGAGCCGAGUGGGCUUUGAAACAUUGCACCGAGUCAGUGGCCGACUCACUGAGUCAACUCAAUAGGUCUUUGACUGCAGUGCAGCUGGGGGCAAAGGAAAACCGCCGGGUAUUUUCGUCUGAGGCCCCGGUCGACUUGGGGGUGCAGCCGUUGACUGCUGAUCGGAGGGGAUACGUGAUGACGUGGCUGAUUAGAGCAAUGAGUGGUUUGGACAGCUGUGUUGAUGUUUUGGAUAAUGUUGGAUCAGUGGCUGUAGAUGAAUUGAGCGUGAAGGUGUACAAAGCUAGGGUGCAGGUCAGCAACAGCAGAGAGUUUCUCUUGUACAAGGAUAAAAUAUUGGAAUAUUUUGUCAUCCAUCCAGCUGGUAACACUACUCAUAAUAGGUUGAGAGUCAAUUUUGAGUAUUUGUCCACUUUAUUUAUGUUUUGCCCUGAAUACCUUGUUUUGAUUUUCCUUUUUUGUUUACUAUUACGUAUCAAUUGAAUAUUUAUUUUUAUUAAAAAGAGAAUAUUGUAUUAUUGCCUCUAAGCAGGAUCUUAAUACUUGAUUUUACUACGUUUAUCCCUAAUUACUUUGUUUGUUUAUCUUUAAUAAUUAAGGUGCAUUUCAAUACUUUUUUCCGUUUUGCCUUGUAUAAGAAAAGUUAGAACUAUCCAAUUUCAAGAGCAAUUUACAGAGUGUUCCAAAGUUGAAGGUCUGAACGUCGGAUCUCUUACUUACAUUUGCUCCCCAACCAUCUAAUCCAUGUUAUCCAUGAUUAAUAGGUUACUACAAUGAGUUCUCAUAGCUUGUCGUCCAAAUUGAGUUUCAACUAUGACAAAAAACUUUCUAAUGAAGUGAGCCACGAUUCCUUUUUUUUUUUCGGCUUAUACUACCCAACCCGAGUAACAAUUUAAUUACGAAAUCAACAAUAGUAUGAAAAGUGGUACUUAUUCAAUUGAAGCAAAAAGCAGUUGCGUUCAUCAUCUAAUAAGUCGAUAGGCAAGGACAGAUGACUGGGAAGCCUCACCAUGUUUGUGAGGACUCGAAAAUUAUUUUAUAUUUCUCUUAUUUUUGAAUAUGCUAAUUUAUAUUUUAUUUUAAUUUACUUGUUUUAAUAUCUUAGAUACUUGAAUGGUUGAGUCAAGAUUUUUAUUUUUUUUCUUUUAUAAUUUGGUGCAUAUUAAGUUUCUUAGUACAUUAUGAUAGUGUGAUCAACUAGUGAUUUAUGUGUACUAAAUUUGGUGGACAAGAAGGGGUGUGGUGUAAGAGAGAUUAUGUGACUAGAAGUGUUAAGAGUGAAUUAGAGAACACAAGAUGGAUUGGCUAGUUUAGACACAAGAGAGACAAAGAGAUAAGCAUGCAACCAUAAGCUGCCAAGUGUCAACGAUCUAGACAUUUUUGACCAAGAUUUUCUUUAGUCUUCAUCUUUCCAAUUUAACCAAAAAUUCCUUCAUUUUCCAUUCUUCUUGGCUGAAAUUAUAAAGAGAAAAAGAGAGAAAGAGAGUCCCAAGUUCUAGCUUUAAUCCUUUGCUUGAUUUGUGAGAAAUCCGACGAGCAACCAUAAUCCACUCCAUAGAUCUUCGAGGUAGCUAUUGGUGAAGUUGUUGGAGAGAGAAAGAGAUUGUUUUGCAUUUCCUCUUAGGGUUUUAAGGUCUAUUACUAAGAAACCUUUCAUUUCUUUUUUCUUGUGAUUUAAUCGACACAUGAGUUGAUUACGGCGGAUUUCAUGGAAGAUUUAUUGAUUUUGUUAUGGUAGCUUGAAUUUUUCAGCUUUGAUAUGAGGUUUUCUAACUUUGAGUUGAAUUUCCAGAUUUAAUAGGAGAUGUUCUAGUUUUGAUAUAAAAUUUCUAGUUUUGAGAUGCGAUUUUCAGUUUUGGUAUGCAAAUUCCAGCUUUGAGGUGCAAAUUUUCAGAUUUGAUAUAGCUUGGUUAGAGCUUUAUAUAGGUCCAAAGUUGAUAGCUUUCUUGACCUAGAACGGAGACCAUGUACCCUGUAACAUAUGAUCUUGAUCGUUAGUGGUUUUGUCAUGAAACUAGGGUUGGAAAUGAGAGAGCUAACUUGAAGAAUUUAGGGGAUAUGCUGUUGGAAUUUCCCCCCUUAUAGGUCAAGUAGAGAGAGUGAGAGUCGAAGUGUAAAUUUUGGGUAUUUUUGCUUUCCUUUGGUAUAUGAUCUUACUUCAGACACUUGUUACAAUCUUAGUCUUUGUAUGUGUGUUAGUUUUGCCAAAACAAGAGGUUUAAACGAAAGAGUUUUCUCCAAACUAGUUUCUAAUCAGAAUUUCCAACUUGUACCUUGAAAGUCUUGUCCCGUUUUCUUUCAACUUUUGACUAUAAUUACUGACUUUGUGCUCCAUAUUUUCCUUGAAGUAUUGGUUUAGCAUGCACGUGGGUUUUUCCUUGGAUUUGAACAAGAAAACUUGGCACUUUUGAAAGGUCAAUUGGGGUUAAACCUGCAAAUCACUUUAUUGGCUAAGUGAAGUUUCGAAACUCAUAGUUUUGUAUUUAUAUUGGUCUCAAGUGGUUAGAUUCUUGAUAUAUUAUAUGACCAUAAGAUUUGAGCAUGCCCAAGAGGAUGAACCAAGGUUUGAAGUGAAACGAUUAUGAUCCAUUGGUGAGUGUUCCUUGUGUUUUGUGAAUUAAAUGUCUUUAUUGUGGUUUGACUGUUAAUUGUAUUUCAAUGAUCACUUUACUAUUAAUAGGUGAGUGUGUACUUUACCGCACUUGACUUAAGUGAAUGUGAAUUUUUCAAUGGUCAAAUGAUUGAAUAUUACUUGUGUAUGAAUGUAAACCAUGUGUACUUUAUCACAUCUAUUGAAUUGAGCCCUUGCCCUUCGUCGCUAGCCUAUUCGAGCCAGAAGCGGACUCGAUCGGGUAGGUUGGUAACCUUGGACCACUGUUUCGGUAUGUUCGAGUAUUACCACGAAAUCAGGUGGAGUAUUGGCCAAUGAUUGAAAUGCAAUGAAUGAAAUUAUUGAAAUGAAAUGACCAAUGUAGGGAUUUUUGUUUUCAAAUGUCGGAAGUUAUAAAGAAGAGAUGGGCAGAGACUGAAUGAAUGAAUGAAUGAAUGGCUCUAAAUGAGCUCGUAUCCUUUAAAUGAUUGAGUGUUUAUUUUUUGAAUGCCUUGCGACUGUUUAUUACUGUGCAAAGUGUGUAAAAUUGUUAAAUGCAACAUUUUCGUGAUUUGACUGGUGUUUUGCUUGGAUGUUAAAUGCAAUAUUUUCGUGAUUUGACUGGUGUUUUGCUUGGAUGCUUGUUUGGGAAACUCACUGGGCGCAAGUUCAGCCCAUUAGUUUGUUUUCCUUAUAGGAGUUGAGGACCGGAGCAGAAAAGCUUGAAUUGGAGUGUAAUGAUCCUCUUGCACAUGUACUUUUGGCAGAUAGGUUGUAUUUUGAUAUUUGGUGGUGUAUCUUACGUUUCACUUUUGGUUUGUAACUAAGAUUGAAUUUUGGUUGAAUUGUAAAGCUCUGAUGUUAAAUUGGGAGGUUUGAAAGGUUAUUUUGAUAAUUUAUUGUAGUGAGUCCUGGCAAGAAUUGGACAGACGGUCCGCCAAACCCUUGGAUACGCCCUAAGGGGAGGUGAAGUCGUCACAAUGUUGGAGGCAAGCUUAUUUUCCUCUUUAUUGGUGUUGAAGGCAAGCUUGCAAAUUUCUCUAUUCAUGCCAAAAAAAAAACAAAAAGAAAAGGAUGUAGGAGAAGUAUUGACAAAAUAGAAGCCCAGUAUAACACACAAAGACACCUAUAUCUUCAUAUGGAUAUGCCAUGAUCUUGUUCCAUUUCAGAGAUCUUUCUCAUCCAUGUAUGGUUUCCUGCAAUUUAGGUAAUCAAUCCCUGCAUGUGAAUUUUUUUUUUUUUUUUGUGGAAAGCAGUUUUAGGAUAUAUGCAUAAUAAGGUUUCAAUAGUUGGCUACCUUUGAAAUAAUUAGCUUCAAUAACGGUUUCGCUAGUUUGAAAUCUCUAAAUAGCAGAAGGUUGUGUAAGCACUUCUUUGGAGAUAAAACUUGCUAUUGUAUUGUUCUAUGUCGUCAUGCUUCUGGGAAUUCUGCAAGUUACAUCUAACUUCCUCUAGAAAGACUACUUGGUGUUAAUAAUUGGCUAUCCUAGUUAAUUUCUCUAAGGUGUAGCUACAGGAAAUAAGUUAAUACUAUUAUUACACGUGUCAUCUGCUAAAAAAGAUAUUGACCUAGUAGGGGCUACUAACAUUGGAAUGGCAGGUGUCACUAGGGCUGCAAUCGAGCUCGACUCAACCUCGAUCAAUACCGAGUUCGAGCAGAUCGUUAAUAUAUACGAGUCGAGCUCGAACAGCCAUUUGUUAGGCUUGAUAGUUGGACAAGUUCUUCGAAAAACUCAAGUUGAUAUGAAAUUAUAAAAAUGCCUCUACAUCAAUUAAAAUAGAGCUGACUUCGAGCUUCUUGGAAGCCACAGCUCGUGAGUAAAAAACGAGUCGAGUUCGAACUUUUCUUUUUCUAAAUCAAGUUGAGCUGGAGCUUCAUUUCUUGGCUUGAUGAGCUCGAGUUCGAACUCGAACUCACACAUUAACAAGUCCAGAUUGGAUCGAUAAGUUCAAAACUUGACUUGACACGAUUCAACUUGUUUGUAGCCCUAGGUGUCACCUUGCCUUCUGUACUGAGGGUCAGGUUGGGCUGUGAGAAACUGUAUUAACUUGACGCCUGUAACUAAGUGCUAAAAGGGUAAGAUUUGCUGUUGCCAUAUUAUAAACGUUGACAUAGUCUUGCUCUCAAUGACUCUACUCUAUUCAAACUAGUUUCUUUUUGAGUUGUUGCUCUGUAUUUGUAAGGUCGAACUUGGGCUUGUAUAUAGUGUGCCUAUUGUUUUUGAGAUAUCUGUUCUCCUGAUAAAAGGAUCAGAAAUUGUUGUAGGUGUUUUUUAGGGCAAUUUUACGUGGUCGUCAUACUGUACAAAACUUUGCCUGAUUGAUCAAAGAACAACUUACUUGUUGGAACCCAAAAUCUAGUAAAACUGUAAAAAAAAAAAAAAGCACAGUGAUGAUAGGAACCAGAGUUAGCUGUUGUUGAAGAAGCCAUGUACUUAAUUUCCAGAUGCUAGCCCAUUAUUAAUACAACAAUACAGAAUGGCAGAUUUCUUUAAGAUCCUUCUUGAUCAGCGUUUUCUGUGCAUAAUUUUAGACUUAGCUGUGCCAAAACUCAAAAUGUCGGCCUAGAUCUCUCUCUCUCUCUCUGUUUCUUUGUUUUUUUUUUUUUGGCCCAGGUCUUUUUUUUUUUAUUGAAAUGCAACAUGUCUGGAGUAAUGAAUUUGGACAUUCCAGAGGCCAAUAGAAUGUUCUUUUGGCUGCAUAAUAGAGCAGUAGUUCUAGUUUAUGAGCCAAAGUUUUAAAUUUUAAUGCGUGCAUGAGAAUAUUCUGCAAUGAUACCGAUAACUAUUUUGUUUACUCAGGACAGGACAUGGGUUCUGUCUGCAAUACUACGUAAUUUUGGACUCUGUCUGUGUUCUCUUCCGCAGAGAACUUCCAUCCACUUUUGUUCUUUAAUUGAACUACUCAUGCUGAAUAAUCUCUUUUCAGGACAUCAUCUAAGGGAUUUGUCUUUCUUGGUUACUGUGCUGUUUUCUUUCAAUGGAUAUCUACCAACGUUGCUGCUUAUGCUAGUUUUAACAUAGUAAAGAAGCAAAUCUUUUCAUCCCUUUGAUGGCUAGAUUUGGCUACAGAUCAAGUCUUGAGUUAUUCAAUGGUAUAAAAUUUUUAGAUGCAGUCAAAAUUUUAUUUUUGUUUUACGUCUCAACUCUCUCUACUUUGCCAUUGACUUAUAUAGGAAAAGGUACAUCCUUCUAAAAUGGAAUAUUGAAGGUACAUAUACGAAUCUUUGCAGUAUCCCCUCUCCUUGGGGAAUGAGUAGUACUUGAAAAUUUCUGAUGGAGACAAAUGAGAAAAAGUAGCUCAUCAUAGAAAGCUCAAACCUUAAGCUACAAAAAUAAAGGAAACAAGGGUAGAGGUUUGCGUUCCUAAAACAACUGAUACAUUACAAUUUAUGCUUUGAUCAAAAGGCUUAUACAAUAACUUGAAUAUAAUAAAGGUGCUUGGAUUAGGAAACAAGGAGCCGUAUGUCCAUUUUCUUGUUUUCUAGUGGCAUUAGUUCAUGACUUGCAAACAUUCUGUUGUUGGAGAGAUAUGCCAUCCUUCAUUCCAUGUCUUAUUUUAUUUACUCAUAAACCUGUUAGUAUCUGAUAGGAAGUGAGAACUUUUCCAUCACUUUGUCUCAAAUGAGCAAACAAUAAAUAUGAGGCUCACCUAAAUUGUUGACUCAUAAGAGGCAGAGAUUAAACCAGUUCAAUAAUUUCUUUUCCAGCCUAGGUCUCCCUUGUCUAACAUUAUUAUCUGUGUGCAUGCAACCAAUAUUUUAUCUAUGGCUAAAGAUUACUACAAUGAGUUUUCAUAGGUUUUUCACCCAAAUUAUGCUUACCUAUGAUAAUUGUCUUUCUAUAAUUUAGUUAGGUUCAAUGAGAAAUGCUAUAUUGUACAGUUCGCCUAAUAUGAAUUAUUUGGCGUGAUUUUCUAGUACUUCAGGUAUAUUUUUAACUUUUCUUUUGUUUGCCUCGUAUGUAUUUCUUGUUUCUUAUGACAUGUGGUCAAGAAUGUUAGACAUUCUUUUUCUUUUUCUUUUUUCACUUGUUUUAUCUUUUCUUUGUAAGAAUAUAAUCGAGUCGAGUCGAACACGAGUAGUACACUACUCGAACUCAAUUCAAGUUAAAAAACUUGGAUUCGAACUCCAUCUCGAGUUCGUCAAACUCUUUAAAAUUGAGUUCGAGCUCGAGGUCAAUUUUAUUUUGCAUUACUCAAGUUCGAGUUCGAACUUCUACUCAUCGAGUCCAAUCGAGUUUAUUUUGAACUCAAUCAAGCCUAAUCGAGUUUAAAAUAUAUAAAUUUAUAUUUUAUAUAAUUUUAAACAAGAGACAAAAUAGAAUCUCAUACUAAUAAAUAAAAAACUAAUAUAUAUAUAUAUAUAAUCAUGUGUUAUAAGAAAAUUUGCAUCCCUACUUCUUUGUGUUAUUCUAUAAUCAUGUGGCCCCAUAAUCUUCAACUUGCAAAAUUUCGUUGGUUGGAUAUUCCUAUGUUCCUCUUCUUCGGUUUUAGAGUUUUUUGUUUUUUUACUUUACUGUCAUUUUGCUAUUUCGAAGAGUAGAGUUUCAUCUUUACUUAGCAAAGUUGCAGCACAGGUAGAGAACUUCCAGUUUGAUAGAAUAGUUUCGUCUAUUUGACGCCCUUAGCACAUUAGAAAAGAAAAGAUAAUAAACUAUUAAUGUUUUAAAAUUAUCACGACAGCUUAAAUUGCAAUACUUUUGCACAAAAAUUUAUCUUUUUGCCAAAAACAUUACAAUGAGCCCACUUCUUAUUUGCUGCCCAAAUAGACAAACACUAGAAGCGAGCAGCCAUGGUGUGAUUUGAUCGAAAAUUUUCAAGAGCACCAAGGAGUUAGAAUUAUUUGGACAUUGAAAGUUAGCCUCAUUGAAGUUUAAUGACAAGGAUUCAAGCAAAUGCAUACACCGAAAACUCCAUGACAUUCUCCAGAAAAAGAACCUUCACUCUUGCAGGCUUUAACGCAGUCUGAGUGAAAGACGCAAGGGCCAUGAAAAGAGCCUGAUAGCUUUCCGCACAGUUGGGCGGCUUCAACUUCAACACUUAUAUCACCUAUGAGUGACAAACAGCCAAAAUGUGAAUUAUAUACACGUUCAUGCAUGGGAGAAAUGGACCAGGAUAGAGCCUGUUUAAAAGUAGAGAAUAUUCAUCCUUGCAUUAUGCCCUCAGAGUACACUUUUUUUUUUUUGGCUGGAGCGAUAACAUUUUUAUAACCUAAUUUAUCCUAUUCUACGGGAACGGGAGACUAAAGAUGUUGUGUAAGAGGUUUGCCGGUAUACAGAUUUGAAAUAGACUUGAAAUAGAUACAGUCUUCAAAAUACACUUGAAAAUUGAAAUAGAUACUUUUGCACGUCCAAAUGUGUGUACAGAAGGAAUAUCAAAAUGUUCACGAAUUAAUUAAGUUUCUUUUUUAUUGAUCUACAUAAAAGAGAUGGACCCUUAUUUGUACGUACAUCGACUUUUGGACUUAUAAAUGUUCAAAUAUGAAUGAACUGCCAUACAGAUUUGGAAAAAAAUAUUCAAGAAUGAUUAGUUGAUCAAGAAGGAAAUCCAACUCGGUUUGCUAAUUUAUUAAAUCAAAACAGAAAAAAAAUAAUUUUGCUACAAUCAAAUACUUACUGGAAAGGAAAAGAAAGAGCAAGACGAUGGCGCCAAUGAAUUUCCUCAUAUCCAUCCUAUACUUCAGUUGCUUCUCCUUCUUAUUUGCCUUUCAAGUUCAACUUUGUUAGUUUCUUUGGUGCAAAUGGGCUUUUCUUAUAGACAUGGAUUGGCAACGGUGAAAGGAUCAUUGAAGCAUUAAUUAUUGAUACUUAUAAUAUUUAAUAUGCGUAUGCCAACUUUCAUACUAAAAUAGGACAAAAUACAACUUUACCCCCUUGAAAUUUAGUGAUUUUUCACAUAAUUUCCUAUAGUUUCAAAAACUAUAUAUAACUCCUUCAUAUUUGGAUUAAAGUGUCAAAGUGACGGAAAUGAUCUUUUGUAAUGGAACUCAUGAAAAUGUCAAAAUUACCCUUGUUUAAAAAUUAAAAUGGGUGAAAUGACUAAAAUAUAUAAAUAUUUUAUGCAUUACACUCUAACUUCAAAGGCCUCUAAAAUAGGCUGAUGGUUUGGAGCACUAAUCGACUUCAACUUCAACAAUGAUAUCAAAUAGAUGUAUAUACACGUUCAUGCAAGGGAGAAAUGGACAAUUUAAAAGUAGAGAAUAUUCAUCUUUCCAUUUUUUUUUCAUCUUUCCAUUAUGUCUUCAAAAUACACCUGAAAUUGAUCCUCUUGUACAUCCAAAUAUGUGUGCAGACGGAAUAUUAAAAUGUUCUCAAAUUAAUUGUCUUCUACAUUGAUCUACAUAAAAGAGAUGGAUCCUUUUUGGUACAUUUAAUUUACUUUUGAAGUUAUAAAUGUUGAAACAUAGUAAAUAAAGUGCCACACAAAUUUGGAGAAGAUAUUCAAGAAUGAUUAGUUGAUUAAAAAUGAAAUCCAAUUUCGUAUGCUUAUUUUUCGUGCAAAACAGAAAACCAUGUAUAUUUUUGCUAGAACCAGAUACUUACAGGAAACGAAAAGAAAGAGCAAGACAAUGGCUGUGUAUAUAUUUAUAGGUACUAAAAUAUGUCACCAUCCUUUCAUUCGUGGUAAUCUAUUCCAGCAUGAAUGGGAAAUGGAGACAAAUAUGCAGUUCGUAGUUGGUUUUAGGCGGUCCACUACUGUUGCUGUCUUGAUUCUAUAUCUCAAUCGGCAGAUUCUUUCCUCUUUAUCAGAUUUCAUUUGGGAGUUUGCAUCAAUUUGUUAAAAUAAAGCUAGAUUAGCUCUAAAGAAAUACAUUGAAUUCAUUUUGCGAAUGCCAUGUGCUCCUUUAAAACUUGAAACACGUCUUAGACUGUAUACAUAAUUUUUGUGCUUAUUUAUUAGUACAUCCUAAGCUUAUAUGGAAAGUAUGUUGCUCAAAUAUACAUUUCUUGAAUUUAAACUUCUAGUUGAUCUUGGCCAACGAGAAGUAAUUAGUGAUAAUUCAUUGUCAAACUUCUGUGACUUCUAAGUCAGUUUAACUUCUGCAAAUUUUGACUUUUUUUCAAGUUUUAAACCAUUGAAAUGAUAAGAAACCUCAAUGACGGGAUUUUUAUAUCAAUGCAAGUUUAUUUCAGAAUUUUACCUGUUGGACUGCAAGUAUACAGGCCACUUAGUAGUUUUGGGCAAAUAUCAGGUCGAUCCCACAAGGAGCAAUGUCUACAAGUACUAGGUCCUUAUUUUCUCUAUUAUUUAGACUUAUAAUGAAUUUGAGCAGAGAAAUAAUAUUGCUACUGUCUACAAUUCUGAAUUAAUAAAUUGAAAGAUACAAAUGGAGAUUUUUCACUAAAAACUUGAAUCUAGGGAUAUAGAUUCCACUAAUGGCAUAAACAACACAAAUGAAUAGAUUUACCUCUUGUUAUUAAUCUCGUUAAACCAGGGAUUUAUUUCCAAUAUUACCAAAUUUCAUUCUCAUGAUAAAAUGGCCUAGACCAAUCCAGUUUUCCCUAUUUUCAUGGUGAAAUACUAGUUCUACUCUGUUUUCCUUCAUGAAAUACUAGAUAAUCCACUUAAGUGUAUCUCUAUUUUCGUGAACAUACAACUCAAGCUCUACUCAUGUUUUUCCAUUGUUACUACCAAUUCUCAUUGACUAAUAACAACUAUAAGCAUACUAUUGGUGAUCAAACAACAAGAAGUAAUUACAACUGCACAAAUAGACAAGUUAAUACAAGAUACAACUAGUGUAAAUCACAUUCAAUUCAUAUCAUUUAGCCAUAAGUUUCAUCUACUCCCUAGACAAAGAAGUUUAGCUACUCGUGAAUGAUAUAACAAUCAAAUUCACAAGUUUAUAAAUGCAAAACAUCAUAAAGUACAAGUACAAGAAAGAUAAAGGAAAGCUUAGCCAAGUAAUGGUGAAGCCCUCAAAUUUCUGCUAUGUCUUGUACAAGAUGAUUACAAGUUAAGUCUCCAAGUGCUUCCUCAAGAACUUCUAGCUAGAGAGAAAAAGAAAUGUUACAAGAAGAAAAACUAGCUACGUGUGGUCCUCUCCUGGCUUCUCCUUCCUUUUCUGCAUAAAAGGUGGUAGAAAGGCACUUUCUUCUCCUUCAUGAUUCCAACCACUUAGAUUUUGUAAAGAAAGUCAAAAGAAAUGUUAUUUUGACUUGUCAAUAACUCAUUUUGUCUUUCCUUUUGUUGCAGAAGCAUGUGCCACCGAAUUUUCUCACCCAAGAUAGCUGGAAAGUUAUGUGAAAAGCGAGAAAAAAUGGUUGUGCCACUUGCAGAAGAAAGAGGCAGAUUCGAGCCUCGGAUCCGAGGGGUGAAGAAUGAUCCGAGCUCGGAUCAUUGCUGAUCCGAGGCCUUUCUCUUAUGGAUCCGAGCUCGGAUCGUAUGACCUCGGAUGCACUGCUCUCAGAUCUCCAUUUGUUCACACGAAUCCGAGCUCGGAUCUGUGCUGGUUAAUUUCCAAUUUUUUACUUCUUUCCUUUUUCUUCAAUUUUGCUCCUAGUAUCCUUGUACUUUAUCCUCCAGAUGAUCCUUACAUUUUUCGUCAUCUCGUGCAUAAAUUCCAUAUAUCAAUACCCUUCACAAUUUCACAAAAUUAACAUGUUAAUCCACUCAUUUAUCAAAUUUUGAACACUUAAACAAUAUUUAAGCAAUUAUCACCAAAAAGAGUUCAAAUAUAGCUUUAAUCUCCUCAAAACAUACCAAAAGUUCAUGCCAAACUUGUACAAAAUGUAUGUUAAAUAUUCACUUAUCACUCAACACCAAUCAUGUAAUUGGCACACCAACUAAAAUCUACCAUGUUACUGAAUACAGAAAAAGAACAUGAAGGGUAUUCAUCUAGAAUGAAGAAGGGGAAACUGAGGAGAAGAGAUUGCUAAAGAACAAAGCACAGGUAGAGAAGACAGAUGGGCGGCGACAACGAUCAACGUUAGUUAUGCUUAAUAUACUUUUCUUAUAAGUUAUAUGCCCUCUAAUAAAUUGUGUUACAUAUAGCCAUAUCAAUGGGUUGGAUCUUACCUAAAUCUAACUCAGAUGCAAUAUACUUGAGUAGAGUUUAUAUUUAAUUUGUCAAAUUCAAAUAUUACCCAAAUCCAAACCCUUUAAGAGAGUCAUGCGUCUGGCAGGAUUUGGUUUCUAUGAUCCAGACUCAAAUCCACAUCCAAAUCAGAUCCUACCUAAAUCCAUGUUUAAAUAAUAUAUAUAUCAGUAAAUUUAUAAAAUAAUCUAAUAUUCUAUGUUCAAUGCAAACCUUUUUAGAAAAAGGAGAAAAAUAAAAGAAACAGAUGAAGAUUAGUUUUAAUUCUUUAAAAAUAAAUAGUUUUAGCUUAUUAAUUCUUUCAUUGAAUUCAUAAUAUUGCAUUCAACAUCUAGAAUGUUAAUUUUAUUAUUUGAAAAAUAAAAAUUGGAUGGUAUUUAUAUUAUUUUUGAACUCUAUAUAUUAUCAAAAUAUUUUUACUUUCCUUGUUCAAAAAAAAUCCACCAAUGCACAUUGAAUACUCAAACCCAUAAGGGUCUAGGUUUGGGUUUACCUUUUAAGACCCAUAACGGUUUGGAUCUAGAUAUGAGUAUAACUAAAUUUAAUAAAUUUGGAUUUAAAUUAAAGGAAUCCAAUUCAGACUUUAUCCACUGACAUGACUAAUUACAUAUGCCAUUUUGUCAUUAUCAUCAAAAGAACUAAAACUUGUAAGAAAAUCUUUUUCGUGUUUGCAAAUCACAUAACUAAAAAUAAACAAAAAAGAAACAUUUGCGUUUAGUGGCGCAAAAAUGGAAAUUAUGAGAGGGUAACAGAAUCUUAUGAGAAACAAAAAGAAAAAAGAUUGCCAUGAAGGUGCCAUGCUAUUUCCUCAUACAUCUCCAUCCACAAGAUUCUUUGGUAUUGAUCUUGGUUGAAGCUUCAAUUUUGUUUAUGCAGACCAGAAUUUUGGACAGAGCAACAUUGCCAGAGGGGGCCGGUAUAUGAUUCUCAAGUAGCAUUUUAUAAGCAUUGCAGGUGUAAUUGAAAAAAAGAGAGGAAGCAUUGUGUUUGGAUAGAACAUUAUUUUUAAAAAAAUUAGAAUAAUUACUGUAACACUUUUUAUAAUGUGAUUUAUUUGUAUAAAAAGGUGGAUAAAAAAUUUAAUUGACAAAUGUAUAUUGAUGUUAACAAAUUAUAUUCUACAAAUGAUUCAUUCAUUUUUGGCUUUGACAACAAAAUUAGCCAGGGAGGGAGGUACGUCAUUUGAGGGUUACUAGUUGGUUCCCUAUGAAAUUUUGCAAACAUGCUCCAUAAUCAUCUUGUUGUCACGUAUACCUUCUUUCUUUAAAAAAAGGAAUAAUUACUUUUUUUUUUUUUUUUUUUUUUGUAAACCUUCUCAAGAAUGCAAUCUGAACGUUGAUUGGCAGUGGCUGGAGGAUUGCAGUGGACAAGAAAGUAUUUUUGCCUUUCACAAGAUUAAAAAAAAAAAAAGAUUCAGAUGAGUGUCAAUACCAAUUCUUACCUGGUAUUCCAAAGGUUACAGGUAUAAGCGUGAACUACGCAAUAUAUCAAGAAGCUGAUAUAUAUCCUCCCAUGAUAGCUUUGUAUACUCUAGAAAGCCAAAGUUUUAAGGAGUCCAUUACCUCAAAACCAUCUCGAAACUCGAGUGUAGCAGUCUAUAUAGAUGAGGCGGUUGAGUUGAUAGACCUUUUAGUCAUUUGACAAGCCGAAGAUGCAAAACAAGUUCAUGAAGCCUAAGUUAGUAACUAUCCAUAUCAUAAUCGUAUUGCACACGUUCAUAUGUAUAGUUUAAAAAAAUUAUAUUUUGAAAACUAUUCAUGCUUUUUACAUAAGCUUAUAAAAUAUGAAAUGAAUUUUUGGCGUAUUAUCUUCAAAUGUUUUUUAAAAGUUUAAAUUUUGUGUAAUAAUAAUGACAUAUCUUUCAAGUUAUAUAUAUAUAUAAUAAUAAUAAUAACACUUGCAUACAUUAUAAUUUUUAUAAAUUUAUACAUGUAAAUAUAUUUGAGUAAUAAAGCUUCAAUAAAUUUAAUGCUUGAUACACAAAGAGAGCUAAAAGUGGCAUUAAUAUAUCAUAAUCUUUGAAAUUGUAAUAAUUUUACCUAUAUUUUUAGUUUUAUAAAUUUCAAAUAUAGUCGAACUAUUGAUGUACGAAUUCAUUUGCGUAAUUUUAUCGAACUUACAUUUUUACGCUGAACUUUUCAUCAUGCUUUUGAAAAAAAUGCAUAUAAUAUAGAUAAAUAUUAUAUUUUGUAAUAUACCCAUCGUGCAUUUUUACUGUCAAAACAGAUGCAGUGGAACGGAAGAACAAACAAGAACAAGCAAGAACAAAUUUGGGGGAAAUCAAAUUUUAUUAGGGUUCAGAAUGUAUCAGAUAUUUUGUACAGAAUGGAUAUGAGGUAUAUAUAUACAACCAAAUAACCAAAACGGAUUGGACCCAAAAAUUAGGCCCAAAAACCGAGACCCAAACUAAAACGGGUACGAUAUCUAAUGUAUACCGUAAGUUUCGGGGGCCCCCACUGGGGGCAAUGCUGCCCCCCAGGCCCCCCAGCCAGGGCGCGUCUAAGAUCAGUUCAGCAGAGGUCGAAGAUCUGGUUCAAGGCAUUUCAACAUUUACUAACUAUGCAUGCAGCUAUUAGGGAAUUUAAAAUUCAUUUCCAUUUGAUCAAAUGUGGUUGACAAUUCAGCAGCAUACGGCCGUUUGGUAAUAUUUCAUUCAAAGUGCGAAAGUGCCUUUAAAAAUGUAUCGAUUUUGUAAGUAAGUUGACUUGAUUUAAUUUGCUUGACUUGGAAUUGCUUCAAUUUGAGCCUAUUCAAACUUAACGUGUUAUUUAUCAAGUUGAACUCAAAUGAGUUUUUAUCGAGUUGACGUUAAAUCGAGCAUGAGUAGUUUGAUCUUUUUACCUGUAAAAUUUAAUUUUAUACUAAUCUAAUCAAAAUUGAGCCAAGUUUGAGCAUUAACAAAAUACCAAAUAUUGUUCAAACUUGAUUUAAUUAGUUGAUGAAUCAAACUUGAAUAAGCUCUUAUCGAGUCGAACUGAGUAUUGACUAGCUCUAUUCAUCUUCUAGUCCUAAUUCGCAUUUUCCUUGGUUGUCUGAGUUUUUUGUUUUUCCUUGAUUAUUUAUAUCUACUUCUUGAAUUGAAUUUCUUCAUUUUAUAACAUUAGCAACAGUACAAUUGCUAGAUGCCAUUUUUGUUUCUUUUCUUCCUUUAUGACUCAAUUCUGCAACCAAUUUCAAGGACAAUUUAUUGAUAAUGGGAUUGAUGCAAGGAAAUUUUCGUUUCUAUAUUAUUGUUGUUUUGCAAUUUUGGAGGAGCAGAGUUUCAUUUUCGCUUAGCAAAGAGAAGUGGAGGAGUUUUGGUUUGAUAGAAUGGUUUUUACAAUUUUGGGCACCAAAUAAGCACAUUAAACAAGGAAAAUGGAUCAACUCUUAGGUGGCGUUUGGUAAAAGGGUUUAGGAACGGGGAAUUGGAAUAAAUCUCAUGAUUCAUGUUUGGUUCACCACUAUCGGAAUUGAAAUUUUGGAAUGAUUUCUAAAAAUUUAGCAUUCCACCAUUCCUUAAAAAGUUGGUGGGUUUUGUCCAAAACCCAAGUGUGAUUCCCAAAUCUUAUAAUUACAUAAUAUUUAGUAUAAUUAAUAUUUAUAAUAUAUAUGUAUAUUUAUAAAUGUAUAUUAUAUGUGCAUAUAUACAUGUAUAUAAUAUUAAUAAAUUAUAUAUUUAUAUUUAUAUUUAUUAUUUUUAAAAUAAUAACAUUUAAUAAUAACUAUAUUUAAUAUGUAAUAUACAUUAUAUUUAUAUAAAAUAUUAGUAUAAUUAACAUUUAUAUAUUAUAUAAUUAUAUAUUUAUAUUUAUAUUAUAAAAUUUGUAUAAUUAUAAUUAAUUAUAUAUAAUAUUUAAUUUAAUUCGUUACAAACUUAUAAUAAUUAUAUAUUAUAAUUAUUUAGUUAAAUAUAAUUAUAUUUAUAAUAUAUAUGUAUAUUUAUAAAUGUGUAUUAUAUGUGCAUAUAAUUAUAAUAUAUACAUGUAUAUAAUAUUAAUAAAUUAUAUAAUUAUAAUUAUUAUUAUUAUUUUAAAUAUAAUAAUAUAUAAUAAUAACUAUAUUUAAUAUGUAAUAUAUAUUAUAUUUAUAAAAAAUAUUAGUAUAAUUAAUAUUUGUAUAUAUUACAUAAUUAUAAUUAUAUAUUUAUAUUAUAACAUUUGUAUAUUUAUAUUUAAUUAUAUAUAAUAUUUAAUUUAAUUAGUUACAAACUUAUAAUAAUAAUAUUAUUAGUUAUAUGUAUUAUAUAAUGUAUAUUAAUCUAUGUAAUAUAAUUGAUAUUAUCAAUUAUAAUAAUAAUUAUACAUGUUUACUAAUAUAAAUUAUUAAUUAGUUAUACUAAUUUUACUAAUACAUUUAUACUAAUAUAUUUAAUUAGUGAAAAUUUCUUAUAUCCCAUUUACAAAGAGUCAACAAACCAAACAUCAACUAUUGUAAUGAUAUACAUUCCUGGCACUGAAUCAAACAAAUGUAUUGUAAUGAUUGAUUCCAUUCCAAAUCUAGGAUGAAUGACUACGAAUCUGAAUCCGAUUCCAACAUGCGAACCAAACGCCAUCUUAAUGUUUUAAAAUUAUCACCGACCUCCUAAACUGUAAUGCCUUUGAAAACGAAAUAUAUCCUCAUGCCAAAAAUGUAAAAUUGGACCCACUUCUUAUUUGGUGUCCAAAUAGACAAACCCUAGAAUAGAGCAACAAAGGUGCCAAUUGAUCAAAAUUUUUAAUAAAAGCAAAGAGAUAGAAUUAUUUGGACAUCGAAAGUUGUCCUAAUUGAUGUUUUAACACCUGAAGCAAAUGCAUUGGCCGAAUAAUGGACGGUUACAUUCUCCGUCAUUAAUUCCUUCUAAGUUGCACCUAUUAGGGCAACUAUCGUCAAAAGAGAUGCAAGCGCCAUCAUAAAAGGCUGAUGGUUUGGGGCACCCUUUGGCUUCAACUUCAACAAUGAUAUCACCUAUCAGUGACAAAAAAUCAAAAUGUGAAUUAGAAUAUAUGUGUAUAGACGUUCGUGCGAGGGAGAAAUGGACCAGGAUAGUGUCUAUUUAGAAGUAGAGAAUAUUCUUCCUUCAAUUACGUCUUCAAAAUACACUUGAAAUUGAUUCUUUUGCACAUCCAAAUAUGUGUCCAGAUUGAAUAUCAAUAUGUUCACAAAAUAAUUAAAUUUCGUCUAUAUCGAUCUGCAUAAAAGAGAUGGAUCCUUAUUGGUACAUCGACUUUUGAAGUUAUAAAUGUUCAAAUAUGAAUAAAAUGCCGCACAAAUAUGGAGAAAAUAUUCAAGAGUGAUUAAUUGAUCAAAAAUGAAAUCCAACUUGGUAAGCUUAUUUUUAAUGCAAGCCAGAAAAACUAAUUUUGGCAAGCAAUAUUGUUAAAGCAAUUAUCUUUGUUUCAAAGCGCAUUUUAGUCAAAUGCUAAGAUUACUCUUAAUCAAUCAACUUUAUAUAUGUUCAUUGAUUUUUCUAGGAUCCAUUAUGCAUUAAUUACUCCUCUUUUCUAUCUCUAAUUAAGUAUUUUAUGAUAGGGUCUCUUACUCUUCUUUCUAUUAUUUUCAUUUCUCUCUUUCUCACCCACACACUAAUAGAUAUAUUCUUUUAUAAUUAAAUAACAUAGUUUUUGCUUUAAUCUUUUCUUGUAUCUUUUUGGUUCUAUGCACUCUUGCUUUUUAACUUAAAUUACAUUGUGUUUGAAAAAAGAAUCUUUGAGUAAAAUUUGAAAAAUAAAAAAUAUAAGAGCAUGUAGAAUUAAUAUAUGAGAAAUUAUUAAAGUCAAGGCCAAUUUAGUAAUUAAUGUGAAAAUAAUUGAUGAAUUAAUGUGAGAGACAGAGAGAGAUAGAGAAAAAUGUGAGUGAGUAGGAAAAAAUUUUAAUUGGAGAGAGAAGAAGAAGAGUAAUUAGUAUAUAAUGAAUUUUAAAAAAUCAAUAAAAAUAUAUGAAAUUGACUGAUUGAGGGUAAUCUUGGCGAUUGAGGAAACUUUACUCUAACAGAAGCAUUAUUACCCUAAAAAUAUCGCCAGCCAAUAAUUUUGCUACAAUCAAAUACUUACUGGGAAAGAAAAGAAAGAGCAAGACGAUGGCACCAAUAAUAAAUUUCCUCAUAUCCAUCUUCAACUUCAAAUGCUUUCUUCUUCUUAUUUGCCCUUCAACUUCAACUUUAUUUGUUUGUUUGUUUGGUGCAAAUGGGCUCUUCUUACAUAUAUAGAUUGGCAAAGGCGGAGGAAUCAUUGAAUCAUUAAUUAUUGAUGCUAAUAUUUGACAUGCAUAUGUAAAAAAUAUGUCAUCAUCCGGUGUGAAGAUAUGGGUUAGGUGGUGUAGGGAGAGAAAGCGUAAUCUCUCGAUUCUAAACUCAAAUCCUCCCAUUUACACCAUUAAAAAAAAACAUUCAAAAAUUGUCAUCAUCAUUCUGUUUGUGGUGACCUUAUCGAUUUACCCGGAAUGAAUGGGAAAUGGAGACGAAUUUUCUUCGCUGGAUAACUGCCUAGACGUUACGUGUUGUAGAGAAUAAGGUUAGGGCAAAGAAUCUUCCACUUUUGCUGUCUUUACUCUUGAGCUCAAUCGGCAGAUUUUUUACUCUUUAUCAGACGUGAACGGCCGGCUAAUUUAAAUACUUUUCCGAUACUUUCUUGUAAUUAGAGACCCUUUUGCUUUGUAUUCAUUUAUGUUGUUUUUUGGUGGGAUAGGCCCAGGUUGAGAUUGAAGGACAACAUAAAUAAACCCGAAAAGAAAAUAGAAAAGAAAACCCAAAUAUAAAAGAGAGGAUGAUUUCUCCCAUAGUCGAUAUGCUUCAGUCGGAGCCUUUGCAAUGGAUAGAGUUAAUCAUACCAAUGGAGUUUGGUAUCACACGUAAAUGCAAUUAAAAUCAUUAGUUCAAUGAUGAGUUGAUAAGGUUAUGGUCAUUUUCUUCCGUUCUGCUUUUAUUAUGCUCAUUUAAAGCUCAAUGUCUACAAAAUGUAUAAGGCUAGAACUCCAAAAAUUGCAAUGGCUAUUAUGCUCAUUUAGGUGCUUCUUAAUUGUUACUGUUUUGCAGAUCAAUUCAUUGUCUAAUUUGGUGUUCUGAUGUUAUUAAGUUUUUUAAACGAUUUAAUCUCCACAUAUCAUUGUAGUUUAAAGUUGUGUUUUUAAACUUGGAUCGGAUCGGUCGGUUCGACCGGUUAAUCGGAUUUUACCGAGUUUUUAUACAUCCGAUUUUUUAAAGUAAUUCGGACCGAACAUUUGGUCAGUUCUCGGUUCGAUCGACCGGUUGAACAGAGAACUGACCAAAUGUUCGGUCCGAAUUACUUUAAAAAAUCGGAUGUAUAAAAACUCGGUAAAAUCCGAUAAAAAAUCGGGUUUGACCAGCAAAUCGGAUGAACCGGUUUGAUGUCAAAGUUUUUUUUUUUUUUUUGAAAAGCUCAAAGCAUUUUCAAUUUUAUGUUUUGGUCCCUAGGUUGUUAAAAAUUAUUAAUAUAUCUCAAAUAUUUCAUACUUUAUAAAUGUUAUCCUAAAGUUUGGUGUUAUUUUUCAAUUAAAUCCAUAAUUUUAAUUCUAAACUUGUUAAUGUUCAUUUAAUAAUAUAAAUUGCUACUUGAUCAUUCUAAUUUCUUUGUAUUUUCUUAUUAAAUAUAUUUGAAACACCAAAUAUAUAUAUAUAUGAAUAUACACUUAUUAACAUUAACAUGCUCUUAAGUAUUUUACAUACAAUAUUUUAAUUUUUAAAUAAUUUUUAUUUAUGACGUCAUCCGGUUCAAUCCCGAUCGAAUCCAGUCGAAUUCAUUGAUCCCUGACCCUAAGCUCGACCGAGUCGAUGCCUGGUCCAAGUCUGAAAACAUAGGUUUAAAGGUUGUUGACAGUGUGAAUUUGUUGUCAUUUUUUGUUAUGAUUAUUAUUGCUUUUGGCUUUUUUCGAUUAGAUAACACUUGAGUUAGUUUGAUUUAAAAUUGAUUUUGUCGCCUUAUAGAAUACAUUGGUGUACACAGAAAUCCUUGGGAAGAGAAUAGUAUUGUCUGAAGAAGGAAAACAAUUCAUGAAAAUCGUCCAGAGAGAGAAAGAUAUGCAGCCAUGUCUUUAGAAAAAAAGCUGGAACUCAGUGCAAAGAAACGUCAAAAGUAUAUCGCAAAAAAGCACAAAAGGAUUAUGGCCGGAAAUUGUGACAUGGUACUCCUAUUGAUGAAUCUUGGUCUGACUCUUCUAUUUCCAAAGUUUCUUUUGUGGUGAAAAUCAACAUGUAGCCAAUCAUCAAAGUGCUUUUAUUAUCUAUCAAACUUUACUUUAAUUUUGUGUAUUCCUUGUGCACUUUAGUUACAGGGCAAGAACUUGAACACUACUUCCAAUAUAGGAGGAAUGGCCGAAGUAGUAAUUUCAACGUUAGUAAUUUUAAUUCAAUAUACCUGUGGAAUAGGUUGAGCUCCUCCUUCUUGGAGAUUUCUUCUGCAAAUCUGCUAAAGAAAGCAUGUGGUUCCAUAUUUUGAUUUAUAUACCAAAUAAGGUCUCUUUUGACGCUUAAAUUGCAGUUCAUUGUGUACUAUCAUCACUAGACUUAAUAUUUUCCAGGUUUUGCUGCAUCAUCAACUACUCUCAUAAUCCUUCUUUUUUCGAUGUUUCAGAAUAUCCAGGUAUGCCAGAAAAAAGCAAGAUUUUGAUCAUUGGAGGAAUUGGAUACAUUGGCAAGCUUAUCGUUGAGGCAUCCCGCCUUUAUUUUGAUUAGAGGUACCACAAUUUCUGAACCUGUUUGGGGAAAUUACCCAUCGAAAGCUUCAAGAACUUGGGUAAUACUUUGGUACUUUUCAUGAGUAAUCUUGAAUUCUUUUCACCUACCAAUGUUUUAUUGCUUUCAGGUUGAUCAUGUUCUGACAGGAUCAAAGGGCUAAGGUUCCUCUAUAUUGUGGAUUCACAGCUGAUGGUUGAAUAGCAUUUUAUAGUAAUGUUGACUUGCUUAAAGGUUCUUGUGGUAAGUCUCAAUGAUGCUUCUACUACACAGCUUUUGGAGAACUCAGAAGUUAUGAGAUCCAAAGAAUAAGAUUAUUGUAAAUUCCAACUAAAGAGGAAGAAAUAUGGAGGGAUAAGCUGAUGGCCAAAGGGCCUGCAGUUCUUGCGGCCACAAAAAAGUGAAAAGGAGUAGAGAGGAAGAGAGUAAUUUUUAGGACCAUGUAAUGGGUGUCAAACCACCAAAAUUAAAAUUUAUACUAUAAAACUUAAAUUCAAAUAUAGGGGUGAGUAGGGUUGUCUUCUUAGGGACUUGAUGAUUUAUUUCCUUCUAAAGCAAGAAUUAAAUGGGAAGUUUGGAAAAUUAAAAUAAAUAAUCAACGUAAAUAAAAACAAUUAAAUAGAAGAGAGUUAAAAUUAAAUUAAUAACAAGCAACCUCUAUCUAAGGAAAAAAUUUCGGAAGUGGUUCAUACAACUGCAUAUUGAUGCAAUAAUUAUUUCAUCUAUUCGUUAACAAAUAGGUUAUAAUUGUCAAAUAAGCAAUGACAAUCAAUUUUUCCUAAUAUACCUAUUAACUAUUUUUCUAAUCAAGAAAUAACCCUAGAUAUGCUCGUAAGAUUUAACUUCUUGAUUGUAUUAAAAACUAGAAAAGACCUAUUCUAAUAAAUAAAUAGGCUACCAGGGUUUAUUUAAAUUAAAUCAUAUGUUUUCCUAACAUGAAACCAAUCAAACUAGUUAUCACUAAUUUAAGAUAAGUAAACAAUUACGGAUUUAACUGUCUCAACCAGUAAUAGGUUAAGGUUGAAUUAAAUAUCAAGCUGUUGAUAUUCAAACAACAAAAUAAUCAUGAGAAAUUAAAUCAGAAAACAUAUGAAAGCAAUAUAUAAAAACAAUUUGAUCUCACAGUUAUAGUUGAACCAAAUCUUUUAUCAUCCCUUGACUAGAAUAAGAAAUUUAGUUGCUCCUCAUUGAGAAAACCCAAGCAAAAAUAUAUGAAUUCUUGACAAUGUUAUUGUUUCACAUGAAUAUUUGCAUUACAUGAAAAACAAAAAAUAAGGACGGAGUAGUUUUAUGGCCGUGAAAUUGGACAUGUCAAAGGCCUACGAUAGAGUAGAGUGGAAAUUCCUUGUUUCCAUGAUGGACAAUAUGGGCUUCUAUACUGUCUGGAGAAAGUGGAUAAUGAGCUGCAUUUCUUCAGUAACAUACUCGUUCAGUAUCAAUGGAGUACCAAAAGAGUUUGUAAUCCCAGAAAGAGGAAUAAGGCAAGGUGAUCCCCUAUCAUCCUAUAUAUUCCUAUUAUGUUCAGAAGGUUUCUCCAACUUAUUGAAGCAGACAGAAGUGGACAAAAGGAUCUCAGGGAUGAAAAUAAGCAGGAAUGGACCAAGUAUGACUCACCUAUUUUUUGCAGAUGACUCCCUAAUCUUCUGUAAAGCUAAUAGAGAGGAAGCCAGUGAUCUUAUUCAAAUUCUGAGGAAAUACGAGAGAGGUUCAGGUCAAUCCAUAAACCUGGAAAAAUCCACAGUUUUUUUCAGUAAGAAUGUGAGUCAACAGAAGAAAGUGGAAGUGAGCCAAAGUCUAGGCACAAUUCAGGUUGCAACUCAAGGAAAAUAUCUGGGGCUUCCUAUGGUGAUAACAAGAUCUAAAGAGCAAGUUUUUGGCUACAUGAAGGACAGUGUCAGAAAUAGAAUGAAUAGCUGGAAGAACAACACUACAACAAAAAUGGCCUUUAGCGGCAUUUAAAGGUGUCAGUAUAGAUAAUCUAACAUGACACUUUAUCUAUCCUCACACCUAGGGCGAGUGUUGUCCCUUCCAAUGUGGGGAUAGCCUCAAAUCUUUAGCAGCAUUCAAAUGUGUCAGGAAAACCAUGCUGCUAUAGCUUUCCCUCUGCCAACAAAAACUUUUUUUUGUGAUAAUCGAAAGUGUCAGUAUAGCAUUAGAACAUUAGUAGCAGAUCAGUAGGAUAUCCAAUUUAUGAAGGCAUCUUGAGUUGUCUUAAUAUAUGGCUUUAAGGACACGUAGCCAUGUGAAUUUACACUGCUUUGGACGACAUGCCCAUUUGUCAUUAGUGUUUUUCGAAGCUAAGCUAUGCUGACACUUUUAAUUGCCAGGAAUUUUUUCCCUAUUUUUUUUUAUAUGGAAGCAACCUGCAAUUAGUCCUCCCCGCUGUACAUUCCAUCAACCAGAAUCCCAAGGGACUUGUAAAAUUAACCCAAAGAGCAGAAUGCAUAUAGCAAUUUAAAAGAAGAAGUCGAUACUCAAAUAUAAUUCAUUGGAUUAAAAGUCGGUAAUAAGUACAAACAUAGCAAGUACUAAAAUCCCAAACAAGUACUAAAACAUUCUCAUGUACACAAACUUGAAAUACUCUCUUGUGCACAAACUAAAAGAUUCUCAUCCCUAACAAGUUGAAAGAACUAACAGUAGCUUCCAAACUUUCCAAUGAAAUGAGAGCUUUCAGUCAUAACCACGAAGUCCCCAUCAAUCUUCAGCUGGUUUCACCUGUGCACAAAGUUUGUGGGGGAUUAUUAGAUCAUCGUACUAACAAGAGCUUUCCAGAAAAGCCACUAUGUAUUUGCUAAAGAUCAAAUUAAAUUGUCGUGAUUCCAGAGGCAAAGCCAUUCAUGAUAAGACCUAAGAGCCACGAUGUAAAGACAUGAACCCCUUUUCCACUACUUUGGGUUAGGCCAUGAGCCAUGUCAUUUUGUUUGAUUCAAAGUUAGGAACCAUUUUAAGGAUUUAAAUUUGUUCAAAUUUUCUGUAUUCGACGAAAUAAUCACUUCCAGGGGGAAAUUUUGCAACCCACUCACACUUAAGAUCAAUUUGCUAUCAAUGAAAAACUAAACCUUGUAUCCACUCAGUAACAUAAAGUCAACUGCUAACAAAACUAGUUACAUGCAUUUCAUAUCGGCAAUUACAGGACAGAUCAAUGCAUAAAGUUAAAAUCUUUCAAAAUAAGUAUUAGCAACUCAAUGCCCAUAAAGCCAAUACAUAAAUGUGCAGCAGUAGCUGAUCAUGAAGCUUUAGUUGCAUUUACUUCUUAAAUAUUAGCUAGAGAAAAGAUCAUAACGUUUCCCACCUGGAAGCUUUAAUUUCAUCUAUUAGUUACCACCUCAUAGUUGCCAACAACCAUAAUCACACCACUCAUCCUCUUAUACCAAUCACAAAGUCCAAUAAACCCAAUCUCCUGCCCCCUGACCCUCCUCUUCCCUACCCCAAAAAAAAAAAAGAAAAGAAAA